GGGAGCUGCAGCUCGCGGCGCGUGGGGGAGGAUCGAGUUCACGAGCGUCCCUCUCGCGGUUCACGAGCGCGCGCGCGCAACCGGACAGCGCUAGCUAGCUAGCUAGCUACUGGUGGAGGCUUGCCGCUACACACCCGCGCCCGGACGCCUUUUCCUAAUAUUCACCCGUCCUCCAAAGCAAAAUAUAGCUAGGGAACCAUAUCGCUGCAUCGGUCGCCAUAUGCAGGGUGUUUUUCCUGGAGUUGCAAAGCACGCACCAACCGCAGCAGCCCCACGGGAUCCAAGCUGCCUGGAACGCCUGCGCUGUAGUGUUUUCUUGGCCUGCUUUGGGGGUUGGGAGGAGCGGCCGUGGCCGGGUGGGGUACUGGGGUUUGGCUAUAGCUGCUUAGCUUUCCCAUGGCUACUACGGGGGUGUUUGGAUCCUGGAGCUAAAGUUUAGUCCGUGUCACAUCGGAUAUUCGGAUGCUAAUUAGAAGGACUAAACAUGAGCUAAUUACAAAACUAAUUGCAGAACCCCUAGGCUAAAUCGCGAGACGAAUCUAUUAAGCCUAAUUAAUCCAUCAUUAGCGAAUGUUUACUGUAGCACCAUAUUGUCAAAUCAUGGACUAAUUAGGCUUAAUAGAUUCGUCUCGUGAUUUAGCCUAGGGGUUGUGAAAUUGGUUUUGUAAUUAACCUAUAUUUAAUACUCCUAAUUAGUAUCCAAACAUUCGAUGUGACAGGAGCUAAAUUUUAGCCCGGGGAUCCAAACACCCCCUAUAUGUGUGUGAAGAUGAAAGCUUUGUGGGAUGCAUGAGCUACUGCAGACGGAUGGGUUUCCGUGGGCUGUGUGUUCUGUACUGUGUGUUGAGCAGUUGAGGUAUGCUAAUCAAUGAGUGGUGGUGGUUGACAUUGCGAGGCUUCCUUUCUCUCUUCGAAUCAAUAUCAUAUCGUGUAUGAGUAUGACUUGAGGACACCGGACACAUUGUCGUCCUGUAGUGCAAUGAGGCUGCGAUUCAGACCAUGCGCAUACUCCAUAAGAGAUAAGCAUGAUGUUCACCUGCUCUUGACACGAUUGCGCUACGCUACACACCUUAGAUACCAUACGGAUGCCUCGUAUAUGCAUGGUUCCAAAUAUCAGAUGUAGCAGGCAAUAUAAUGUCAACGUCUAAAAUGGCUUUUAUUUAUAGCAGAUGGGACAAUACCCCUGUCCCUACAACCGCAGAUAGAGUGCUUUAUACAACAAAAAAGUUAAAACUUUCGUAGAAAACAAAUGUGGCCAUUACCAUAUAUAUGCACAUACCAUAUCUCUAUAUAUAAUUAGUGCCAUCAGCAACAGGGAAACAUUCUCACUACGUAUUACUAAUCAUCUCUGCUAGUAUUAGUUUUGCUCUAACAAUGCAACAAGUUUGUUUGAGGAAAUAAAAAAAAGAUUGCAACUGUCUAGCUCCCAGCUAGAAUUGCAUGCUGCAGUGCUGUCAAAGAGCCAGAGCACGACGCACACGCGUGUGCAAAUGGACAAACAAGCGGUGAUGAAGCUGUCGCCUUGUGAUCUUCUGCAUUAACUCGCAUAUAACUAAAGAGUCACAUGCUAUAGCUGGUUCCAUACCCCGAUGGCCAAGGGCAAUAUAUGCCACCGUAACCACCACAUAUUUUACGACCUAGAUUUAGGGCCCCAGUUAUGCGAUCCAGGAUCUACCCGGCCAGAAGGACAGACGACCAAGCUGACACAACGACGGACGGACGGAUGGAGCCGCAUCUGCAUGCAUGCAUGUUUUGCCUAGUUGUACCGAUAUCGUCUUGCGACUGUCAGGUUGAUCCAGAUUCCAGUUGGAGGCGUGAGCUCGUGAGCCUUUGACAGCUACUGAAAGUCUGAAACAAGAAAGCGUAGGUACGGUACGUAUACGUGCGUACGUACCGGCGACUGUUGCAGGCCGCUGGCCGGGUCGUGUAACGUUAUUAUACGUACGUUCCAGCUGCGUUUUUGUAGGCUUACUGCCUACUAGUACAAGCAAAAUGUUUCUAUCUGGCCCCUUGAUUAUUAAUUAAUCUUCGAACGCGACUUGUCGGUGUACUUGUUGUCUUUCAGAGGGUGCUACAUGCCGUGACGCCGAUGUAUAUGUGUGUGUGUGUGUGUGUGUGUGUGUGUGUUAUCGUCGAACCUUGCAGGGGAUCGAUCUCCCAUUCCAUCUCGUGAGUGAAGAGCACGCACGCGGUCAAUUCGUUGGUGGAAUGAGGCCCUGAUUGACAGAGUAUUGUCUCAGACCUACUACACUAUAGGUUCCUGUGAUGAAUAACUCAUGCAGAUGCAGACCCGGGUCGGCCUAUCUGUGUACCGGCGACCAAGCAAGUAGCUGCGCCAGCAGAGAGCAUGCAUGCAUGUGAACGAUGUGAUGCGCCGCAGGACAGAGAAGCUAGCGAGAGAUGUAGCUCGGCACGUACGUGUCGGCCUCUGCGUCUGCGAGAGAGCAGAGUACGCACUGCAGGUCUGCAGCACUGGGUCUGGGUGUAAGGUGUUGUACCUCGACAUGUGGAAGGAAGGAACCAACCAACAGCGAGUUGGGUUCAGGGCCUCUUGAUUUGGUCCCUGUCUCCUACCGUCACAAGACAUGCGCACCCUCCGUACCUCGGUUCUGCUCCAGCUAGCCUCCAACAAAUCACCGAUGUAAAAAAAGCUUCACAGGAGAUUUGCCUGCCGCAUGCGUUUUGAAUGGACUUCACAAGAGGGAGUGUGGCAUUUUACGGUGGCAGCACGUAGAUCCUAGGAGCCUGGGAUAAAGCUCGCUAGGAUCUGAACCCGCCCUCGAUCUCCGGCGCAGCAGCCGUGUGUCUUGCGAGCCGUGACCUAUGGUCUAUGGAGCCAGAACCGCGCGAGCGCCCCCGACCCGAUGUGGAAGGGCGGUGACGACGGCGCGGGCGGAGGAGGUCGAUUGAUUGCAGGCGGAUGGACGGAUGAUUGGAUGAGGAGUGGAGGACGCAGACUUGCAGAGCGUGGCUGUGCUCGGUUGCCUUUCGCGUGGCUGCGUGGGGGACCCGGCGGGGUUAGUCCGGUUGCGGCAGUUGGGGUCCGCCGGCCGAGGUGCGGACAAGUACGACGCUUCCGCCCGUGACCGUUGCCAUGUGACCCCGGGAGAGCACAUGUCCAUGCGUGAUGCCCUCCCAUCCCAUGGACGGACGGCCGGCCGGCCGGCCCCCGCGCGUGGACGCUUGCUGGCUUUGGCAAGAAUGACCGCGCUGCCAGGACUGGUGGGAACGAUGGCACGCGACACGCCGCGGCCUCCCGUGUGCAGCGUGCGGUCAUUCCUGGCCACGCAUCGCCGGCCGGCCGGCCGGCUUGCCGCCGCCGGUGUUCCACACCACCACCGUUAAUUUCUAGCCACAUAACCCAUCAGCUACUACUCCAUGGAUUACCUAGGUCAUUCCGAGCCACACAUGGGCAGUUUCAGCGGCAGCGCCUAAAAGCUCGGAGUAAACUGAGUUCAGCCUUGGUGAGUGGUGAGUCAUGGGCAGUGAAUGCGAAUCGGUCACCCACUCACCCACGCAUGCCCGGCUUUGGCUUUCUGCAGCCAAUUUGUGGACCGGCCACAUACAUGUGCGUAUGGCUGUACAGUAGCCAUGGCACGAUGGCAGAAGCGCAGUAAUGCUCCUUAAAUUGAAGAAAAGGGAGGGCAGGAUGACCCAUCUUGGGAUCAAAUGUACGGAGGAUCGUGCGUAUAUUGGAACAUGGGCACAUGGCAAGGAUGCCAGGUCGAGGCAACAUCAGUAAAGUUCUGUGAGUUUUGAUCAUGCUUUGUGUUUCAUUCUACAACCCCUCAUAGGAGGUAGCAAUCGCCUUGCCCUCAGCAAAAUUUCUACAGAUACCUCAUUCUAGACAAGUUCAAAUUUCAAGCAUACUCUUCCUCUCGCACACUAAUUAUACGCCAUACAUUGUCCAUAUGUAAAUUGGGAUAUUUCGUUCUAGCAACAAAUCAAAACCAGAAAGAUUCUCCAUUUUUGGUAAAUCAAUCCAUAUCGCCUAAUCUUUAGUGCCCUAAAUUACUAGUCAAAGACAAGAUCAACGCUAUAAUAACAGGGCUGAAGUAAAAAUAAUGCCAGAUUAUUCCCUCGCCUAAAGAUAAACAGAAACGGCAGAUUAUCAUGUACUAAUAGCACAACAAAGGGAAUCAAACGCUACAAAUGACUACGGUGGUGACGGAAAAAGUAACAAGGGGUCGCUACAACUUCACUGAAUCACUGUGCAGAUACAAGAUUGCAGCAAAUGUCGCCCUUGCGUGCAAGUGAGUUGGGGUCCCAUUUCCCAAUCAUUUUCCAUUUCAUUUUCAUCUAAAAUCCUGACAAACGGGAACAUGGCCGGCUCUGAGGUUUGCUAUUUAUACCACCUCUCUUUCCCUCCGCACAAGCCUCUCGCUCCGUGCUCUCUACCUCCUUACCCAGCACAUACACACUCCAACCUCCGCACAGCCAAUAGAUACAGACAGAAGGAUGAAGCUGAGAGCAAAAGGUCUAGGCCUCUUGCUUCUCCUUGUCUUGCUUGCUCUUUGCUCCACCAUUGAUGUCGGCGAGGCGAGAAGAGGCAAGCAUUGGAGGCCUAGGAGCUCACCAAGCUCCUCGCAGCUGAAGAAAGGCAAAGGAAAGAAGAGUACCUCCCACCGGCAACAUGGCAGCAACCGGCCAAGCCCGAAGCCACCAGUCAGCUCGACACCAAGCCCUGGUGCUGGCAAAGGAAAUCAGAAUCCGUACCAACCAAGCCCAACUCCGAGUGCCCCUGUCAGCCCGACUCCAGGCCCUGCCAACGACAGUAGGCAUUCGAGUCCCAAGCCGCCGACUCCAAGCUGCGGGAAGGGUCAUCAGCAGACAUCACAGCCACCGCCAUUGCCACCAGCCUCACAGGGUGAGGUCUUCAACGUGGUUGAUUUUGGAGCCAAGGGUGAUGGAGUUACGGAUGAUACUAAGGUCGACAGCUUUGCUCUCAAAUGCUCUGUUUCAAACUAAAUUCAUAAAAUUAUUAAGCACCAUGCAUUCUCUGAGUUAGAAAUUCUCAAUACCAAUUCCUUUUGUCCAGUUUGUCCUUCAAAUGAUUUGUUUCAAACUCACCACAUGACUUGCAUGAGAACUCCAUGUUGAUCACCUCCAGGGGAACUGUGAUAUCAACAUCUUGUGAUUAGAAUUUAUCAUGUAUAUUUUUAUUACUAAUUCCUGAAUGUUCAGAAAUGUGAAUUUAGCAUGAAUGCUUUUGCUAUUCCGAAUUCAUUUGCCAGCAACACCACAGCCUAUGAUGAUGGUUGGCAUUUCAAUUUUUCCUAUGAACAUAGUAACCAGUUUACUCUCACUACCUCACAUGGUUUCUAGUGCAGAGCCCAAGAAAGUUGUCACUAGUGCCAUAUUUUUUCUGGAAUCUUUUUUGCGUGUCUGCAUGUGUUGCCAGCAAUUUGAUUUGUUCCCUACUUUGGCUUGUUCUUUCCUUCUCACAUGAUUGUUUAAUCUAAUGCAUAAACAGAUACAUUCACACAUCUAGCUGGUCAAUUUUUUUUUUUGUAUAUUUGUAGUCAUGGAGAGAAGAAAGGUUACACAUCAAGCAAGUCAGGAUUCACAAUACGAGAACCUUUUCCACAUCUCUUACAAGACCUUUCUGUGUGCAGAGGAACAAACAAAAAAUUAUUCUAAUCUUGAGAUUCCCAGGCUUUACAGAUAGAGAAUAUAGCAAAAACUCUCUUUGGCAUUAACAUAGUCCCCUUUUUUUCCUUUUGCAAGAACACACUGCAUGAACCAAUAGUACAUUUUUUUGUUUUAAUUAUAAAGCAAAAAAACUAAUGGGAAAUUUGUAGUGAAUUUGCAAGAAAAUAAACCUCAUUUUAAAAUAAUCUGAGAUAUGCACUGUGGCCUUGUUUGAAAGCUCUAUCAAAACUCAUUUCUUUUAUAUUUUCAGUAAAACGAACUUAGAUUUUCAAUUUCUUUCUUAGUGGUUGCAAAAUGCUGCUUGUUCCAACAUGGAGACCAAAAUAAUAAGACGCACAGUGCAAUUUCUGACUAUCUAGCUUAGGGUCUGGGCUUUACAGAGUGUGUUUUCACCUCCUGCUCAAUUGAUUUUGUGAUGCUAGAUUCCAGAGGACUGUCUUUUCAGAAGAAGCUACAGCUAAUAAUUGUGCAUGCAUUUGCAUACAGGCUUUUGAAGGAGCGUGGGCUGCUGCCUGCAAGCAGGGGGCAUCUACAGUUCUUGUACCACCAGAACUAGAGUUCCUUGUUGGGCCAAUCUCGUUCUCUGGGCCUUACUGCAAACCAAACAUUGUCUUCCAGGUAAAUUACGCUGUGUCCCAAAUAAGAUACUCAAAAAAGCAUUCCUGAUUACUUUCAUAGCCUAAACUGAUCAACAAAAUGUAGGACAGGUUUGUAUUUUGUCUAGUUUGAUAAGCAUAUUGAUGGAAGAAUAAGUGCAGCAAGUAAUUCUGUUUAAUGAUGCACUCAUUUUGCAGCUGGAAGGAACAAUCCUAGCUCCAACCAGUGCUAAAGCCUGGGGUUCUGGCUUGCUCCAGUGGCUUGAGUUCACCAAACUAAAUGGAAUAGUAAUUCAAGGCAAUGGUAUCAUAAAUGGCAGAGGGCAACAAUGGUGGACCUACGCAGACCUAGAGGAUGAGGAUGAGGAUGACACAGUAAGAGAUGGCCGCCAAGUGUACCAUUGUCUAUAAAUUACUCAAAUGAAAAGUUGAUUGUGUUAAUUGCUCACCUUGGAUACUUUCUUUCAGUACGAUGUGGAGUUCGAGACAAUGCCACAUAUUAAACCUACAGUAAGAAUAUCACUAUCUUUCUGCACAUAAUUAUCACAUAUAGAAACAAAGUAAUCACAAAUCUGAUUUCGUAACCUGAUGCAGGCAUUGAGGUUUUAUGGUAGUUUCAACGUUUUAGUAGCUGGCAUCACUAUUGUCAACAGCUCACAGUGCCAUCUUAAGUUUGACAACUGUCAAGGAGUGAUGGUCCAUGAUGUGACUAUAUCCUCCCCCGAGAACAGUCUCAACACUGACGGAAUACACCUGCAGAACUCAAAAGAUGUCAGCAUUCAUCAUACAAACAUGGCUUGUGGUAAUUCCUUGUUGCAUCUAAAUUCAAGAGGCAUCUAGGCUAUACUCAGUAAGCUGAAAAGUUUUGUUUUGCCCAGCUUUAACGCAAAGAAAUUUUCAACAACACAAGGCAACUUAUAUGUUCUAGAUAUACUCAUGAAACUGAAAAGUUUUGUUUUGCCCAGAUUUAGCACAAAUAAUUUUUCAACAACACAAGACAGCUCAUAUGUUCUAAAAAUAUAUAAGGCCUUAUCUACAAGAUAACUCAUAUGUUCUAAAUAUAUAAGCCUGAAAGGAUCUACAAAAGUGUGACUUAAAAAGAACUACCUAGGGUCAACUGAAAGCCUGCGCCUCAGUUCUAUCACUCCUGUAUUCUCUAUUCUCUGCAUGCCAAAGGACAGAUUUCAGAGUAAGGGUACAUAAAAAAACUGUUGUAGAUAGUACUUGAAACUUCCAACUGUCUUUUACAGUUAAUCCAAAGUAGAAUAACGUCAAGGUGUCCCAUUUGUCUUCUUCAAUGCAGGUGACGACUGUAUCUCCAUCCAGACAGGAUGCAGCAACAUAAAUAUACACAACGUGAAUUGUGGACCAGGCCAUGGAAUCAGCAUAGGUGGACUGGGCCGGGACAACACAAAAGCAUGUGUAUCUAAUGUUACAGUAAGAGAUGUCAACAUGCUCAGAACCAUGAAUGGUGUCAGGAUCAAGACCUGGCAGGUAAGCUUGGGCACAGACAUACAAAUAAAAUCCUAGGUCAACAGCAGACACUAGUACAUGACAAUAUCACAAAGAAAAACUGAAAAAGGAAAGAACAUGCCAGCUUUUGAUAGCUACACAAGAGGCAACCUUGGAAGGUUCUAAGAAGAAAAAAAUGAUGAUGCCAAGCAAAACAAGAAUACUUAAUCAGCUAAAUAAAUUGAACUUUCGUUUCUUGCAGGGUGGUGUAGGAUUGGUUCAAGACAUAAGGUUCUCAAAUAUACAAGUCACAGAGGUCCAAACGCCUAUUAUUAUAGAUCAGUUUUAUUGUGACAAAAGCACUUGCAGAAAUCAAACAUCAGCAGUGGGCGUAUCAGGGGUCCAGUAUGAGAACAUCAGAGGGACAUUUACAAUCAAACCUGUCCACUUUGCAUGCAGUGACAGCUUACCUUGUUCAGGCAUCUCUCUUACUGGUGUGCAACUCAGACCAGUGCAAGUACCCCACUACCACCUGAACAACCCAUUCUGCUGGCAAGCUUUUGGGGAGCUCUACACUCCAACUGUCCCUCCCAUAGCUUGCUUGCAGCUUGGAAAACCUGCUGGGAACAACUUACAGACAUAUAACGAUAUAUGUUGAGACACCUUCGUCUGUUUAUUGGUGCUUACUCAUGAGUGGUCGUUGUGAUACAUCCGACCCCUUCGCACCAUUGCUUGCUUAUGUCCAUAUAUACAGUUAUUUUGAGGUCAUGUUAUUAGAUCAUUUUAACAUUUACAUGAAAGAAAACACACAUAUAAUCAUUGGAAUGGUCAUACAGCAAGAGUAUGUACUUGAGUUUCCAAAAAUGAGUAAGCACAAUGACAAAGAUUGUUUGCUUAAUUAAGCGUAAAUAGAGCUACAGCAAAGGAUUAAAAGGAAAUUAGUAAAUACAUAACCUGAAGAAUCAAAUUAAUACCUAGAAGUCUAUUGCUAAGGAUAUAUAAAAGGCAAUAGCUUACCAGAAGUUUAAGGGGAAAAUUACAUGAACCAAACAUAAAAAGCAAAUGGCUGUUCAAGGAUACUAGAAAAUGGUUAGAAAAAAGAGGAAUUAUAAAAUAGCCAGUUUCUGGUUGACAAAUGCCACCUGUUAAUUGCAAUAUGAUAUCAAAGUAGUUGAAAAAUGACCACAGAUAUAACUCUUAGGAAAGGGGGUAUCGAUGGGUUCGGCUGAAAUUAUUUUGAAAAAUGGUGGCAAAAAGUGCUCCAAAGAUAUCAAAGUAGUUGCAUAAUAUGCACAGAAAGAGGAUGAUUGAUCAAAUUAAAUAACUAUUCAAAAGAGCAUGCUAUACAAAGUGUCAUUUAUAAGUCGGAUAUAUACAGCAUGCCUAUGCAUAAAUAUUUGUUUGCUGUGCUUUCUAGAACAUCAGCUAAACAAGAGAACAAAACAGUGUAAAAACAAUCAAUAUGUAACAUGGGAAUAACAGGUCCUAUAACUAGCUUCACCAAUCUUUAACACGUAAUGAGGGGAAAAAGAAACUGAAAGCAGUAUCCAGAACUAUAUAUGAUCCAGUUAACCAAAAGAUGGGCAUGUUUCUUAAUUUUUUUCCAACUACAACUAGAUAUGGUAUGUCUCGCUAACUGUCAUGAAAAAGUAUCAAUUGAUGGAAACUUUUUCUUCUACCAUACUCUUCACAUCCAUUAACUGAGUUACAAAUAAAAGUUUCACAACAAUAUUGAUUCUGGGAUGCUAGAAAACUUCUGUGAUGCUAGAAAUGUUACUUUUCCACCAUACUCUAUUUAGAACAAGAUUUUUUUUCUUCUACCACACUCUUCACGUCCAUUAAAACUAAAUUAAAACAAAGAAUCAUAUCUAUUAGAGUACAGUUUUUUCCUCCACUCUCACUGGUUACAAAAUUCAUGGAGCUUUAAGCUAUCAAUCAAUAUUUAAAACUUACAAACCUGUCAAAUAAUUCAAAUGGGAGUAUAGUCCAUGGAAGCAUUCCUAGAUUAAUCUAAGGUUACAAUUUUUGCAUAGACUUUCUAUAUACCUUAAAGUAUAUUGAUGGCCAAAAUUCAGAAGAUUUAGGCAGUUGGUGAAAACCAUUUGUUAAUGGACAUGGUACGUCAUUUUGCAGUCAUGCUUGUCCAACAAUCAAACCGACCAACAAAAUAGUAUAAGAUUAUAUUUACAUACAAAAGUGUAGCGCCGAUUAAGUACAAACAUGCAAGCUAUUACCAUGAACUGCGUGAUAAAACACGAAAAUGAAACUGGUCCAUUAACUAUGAUUCUGUGAUGCUAGAAAUGUUAGUUUCACAAGUAACAUCACUACUACUUGCAUCCUAUAAUCAAAUAGAUAACAGUGGUACACUAUCUGGCUAUAUUAUGAUGUUUUUCCAACAUGGCGAACAAAUGAUGCAUCUGCAAGCUGUAAGCGGCAGCUAUAGACUUACUCCCUCCAUUCCAAAUAAUAGUCAUUUUAGCUUUGUCCUAAGUCGAACUUGUCUAAGUUUGACCAAGUCUAUAGGAAAAAAUAUUAACAUCUAUAAUAUCAAAUAAAUGCACAAUGAAAAUGUACUUCAUGGUCUAUCUAGUGAAACUAGUUUAAUGUUGAAAAUAUUUAUGCCUUUUUACAUAAAAUUGGUCAAAGAUAAAGAAGUUUGACUUAGGACAAAGCUAAAACAACUUAUAAUUUGGAACAGAGGGAGUCUCUCAUAUGUAUAUCUCUGCAGUAUGUUUAUUAAUAAGAAAUUCAAGAGACAAAAAACUCAUUGCAUAAAUAAUUUCAGGGAAAACUGGCUCUACAACUCCUUAUCCUAAGAGUCAUAUAUAUGCAAACAAAACAUUUAAUACAGACACGAGCAUUGAAAAUAAAACCUCAUUUGUAACUAGUGAAUUUGCUGUUUCUAGUUUAAUUGAUAAUGCAGAAAAUUAGACAUAACAAGGCUGCCAACACUGCAACUAAAGUAGAGUUUGUAUGUGAGCUGUCCCAGAAACUCUUCAGGCUAAAGCUCAGCUUGAUGAUGUAUUUGCAAAAUUUCCAGUGUCUGUUCAUAUAAUGGAAAACAAAUUUCUUAGAAUCAUCAGACAGAGAAUGAGAAGGUAGCCAAAUUAGAAAGGUAUCGAGAUGAAACAGACCUGCUACAACCCUUCAUCUUGAAAAACUAAAGACAUCCUUUGCCCCCUUGUAGUUGUCAACAGUUUCAGGAACCGUUAGUCCUGUUGUUUCCUCAUAUUUCUUCUCUAGGUUCUUUUAGAAAAAGGAAAUAACAAGCAAAGAAGUAUGAGUUCAUGUACCAAAAAUUGUAUACACUGACAUACAGCCCUGGAAAAUUGUUUAUGCACAUGUAAUUAAUUUUGGUUAUAUAUGAAAGGCAACUUAAGGUGGCAUCAUUCUGAGAGGGAAAACGUAUGCAUGCAGAUUAAGGAAUUUUCUGACUAAUCUAAGAUUCAAAUCAUGUAAUUAUGGCCAAAGAGAAUGAUGUACGCCAAAAAAUAAAUUAAAACCCACAGUGAUUGCUACUAAUACCAAAUACGAAUUUUCAAUAUAAUCCCUGGUGAUGUAGUCGAAACCACAUUGUACUAACCUUCAGUUCAUCGCGUACGGUUUCAAGAACAUCCAUUGUCAUUCUAUCAAAGAAAAGAAUCCCCUGCAAAUACCCAAACAAUUAUGAGCAUCACAGUGAUGAGCCUCUGGUCAUAUAUGCAUAGCUUGAUGACAUAUUCCCUUCUUUUUAAUCACUUUGCAACUGCAGUAUUGGCACCGUAUGCAUAACCAGUAAUUUAUAUGAUAUUAGACAAUAAAACAUAAGAAAAUAUUUAAUUACGGUAAUAUCAAUCCUGCACGUCCAAUCUAGACUUCUUUUAUGUAAUGAUGGCCAAACCUGAAAGCACCUGAUAAGCACACUCUAGGAUGACUUGAAUUUGCAACCAGAGGGAGUAUAUGUGAUAGCAAAUGAAACAGAAAUAGCAUAUAUGCAUAUAUGUAUAAGCAUAGACUUAAAACAUUGAUUGCACUUCCAUUUGGCAUCGACUUAACAUAUAUUCAGCUGUCACUGAAACAGAACCGAUGCAUCCCUCUAUCAUGAGAAUUAACAUAUCUGACUCAUCAGUUUGUUUUGUGGACAAUUGCAUAUGUUAAGAGACAAAGGAGACAUGACUCAAUGGAUUGCUAGAAAACUUAUGCAGAUGGACCCGAUAGAUAUUGGUUAAAUACAUACCAGCAAAUGGUCAAACUCAUGCUGGAAAACUCUUGCAGGUAGGCCAGAUAAUUUUACUUUGAUUUUUGCCCCUGUAACGUCUUGAGCUUCAAUUUUCACACUUUCUGGUCUCUGCACAGAACAAUGGCCACAAAGUUAGCUUUAUUUAUACGUGCAACUUUUCGUCUGCCGUACAAGCAGAGUCUGAUUUGUUUCAAAAAAGAAAAGGCAGAGGCUGAUAAUUGGAAGAUCAAUUCCAAAAUUACAUACUAUUUUAGCAUGUCAAAGUCAUGUAACAUGUGGCAAAUUCAACCAUAAAUGUGACACUACGUACAUAUCCAAUGCACACUAAGGUCAUAUAAUGGACAGCUAAAGUCUUCUGCAAAGUAACAAAUUUGAUAUGGUAAACUAUUCUCACCACCACAUUGGCAUAUAUUCCAGGAAACGAUAAGCAGCCUUCUUCAAACACAAGCAAUCGUUUCGCAGACUUGUAUACCACUGGGUUCACAAGAACAAUUUCCUCUCCUUCCCCCUUCACUCCAGCUGGAUUGAAUACCAUAAGCUGCACAUUCACUCCGACUUGUGGUGCUGAGAGACCAAUGCCAUCAGUCCUGUACGAAAAACAACUAUUUAAUGAACCAGUACAGUUCCUAAUAAGUUUGGCAUAGUUCUAUCUUGGAACAGCAGGCAUGCCUAUGGUGGAUAUUUUGCUCACAUUUGAAACAUGCCUAUUGCCUAGUGCAAUCGGCUUUUAUUUCAUCAAGCUUGUACAAAUCUAAGAACUACACAAACGAAUUCAACACUUCUUCACACAAAACAAAUGCCACCUCAACAAAACAGGUCACAAGAAGGAUUUCAUGAAAAUAAGCACUAACUAAAGUCAACUAUUGCAUGUAUCCAACCAUGCUAGGCACGCAUAUUUCUUUAAAACAGCAGCACGUCGAAUCGGUGCCUGUUAGCACGAUACCCUCUUGCGCAUUUUCCAUCAAACAGUUGCAGUGCGAGCAACUUAAAACUCUGGAAACAAGCAAGGCUCGGAGUCCAGACUCACUUGUACAUAACGUCGAACAUCUCGUCGGCCAGGGCACGGAGGUUGGUGUCGAAAGUGUUGAUGCGCUUGUUGCGCGCGCGCAGGAUGGGGUCCGGGUACUUCACGACCUGGAGCGGCGGCUCGAACCGGAGGUCGGCAGCUACACACCGUGAACACAGCAUCAACGAAGUAAGCCGAUAGCGAGCAAGUGAGAAUUCCCCUAGUGAACGGAGGAAUUUCGGAGGAGGAGGCGGUGGCGGCUUACCUGUGGCGAAGUCGUCGUCCUCGGCGGGCGGGGCGGCGGCGGUGGAGGAGCUUAAGCCGCGGCGUGCGCGGGCGGCGAGGGGCAUGGCCGGGCCGGCGCGGCGCAGGGACGGGGGCAGGGCUCCGGAGUGGGCGGCGAAGAGCGGGCGAGAGGAGGCCGCGAAGCUGCGGAGGCGCGGGCAGAGGUGGAGGCAGAGGCCCGCGGCCAUUGAGCGGCGCCUUCCCACUUCCGCUCGAUUUUUCCUUUUCUUCUCCCCACUGACGAUUGGGCGUUCGGCGAGAGAGGACGGGCACGCAGUGGCCGCACGACGGCACGAGGAAUGACGCCGUGACGAAUUCAACACUUCUCCACGCCCAAAAUCGGGUGAGCUGGGCCGGUCCGGGUCGAGCGAUUGUCGGCCGAAUCCAAUUUUUCCUACAGCCCAGCCCAGUAAGAUAUCUUGAUUGGACCCAAUUAGUCGCCAAUGUUCUUUUUUUAGAAAUUAUAAAGGAUAACCCAAACACACAUGAUCUAGAACAGGAAGAACAUCUCCAUGUUCAGUACAACCGAACACAGCUCAGCUGUCCUCGCAAAGUGAAAGCGCUCAGCCACAGCUCUCUUCUCCCACCAAGAAAACGUGCCCUACGCCGCGCCGCGCUAUAGCACGGGCCCGGCCACGUUCCUCGUCGGCUCGUCGCACGUCGCAAUCAGCAUCCACGGCGAUCGGUCGUUGAUCCUUCGAGAAAGUAACCAGUUCCUCUCCGGAUCGGGCGGGUCGGUCGCCGAACCAGUAACCAGUUCCAUGCGUAGGCGAGGCGUGGAAUCACUUCCAUUUCCGGAAAGGCGGCCAUGGCACGAGGCACCAGUAGUGAUCGACAAGUGGCGAUCGACCUGCAGGCUGAGACGUGAGAUCAAGCGAUGCGAAGGUGACACCAGCUGGAAGAGCUACGCAAGUACGCAUGUAUGGCCUAUGUAUGGCUACGCACGUGACGGAAACCGACUCGUCGCCGUCGAUCCGUCGCGCACCGAAAGCGAGAGCCUACGCGUACUGCACUGCUCGGAGAUGCGAUGAUCACUUCUGUGCUGCAGCACGCGAUAAGAUUAGUACAGCUGUGUUACAAUGUUCUUCUUCCACUGGCAAGCUGCGAGAAUGGAAAUAUUCACCGGCCAUGAAUGAUCGCAUAGUAGUUUCGAGCUGGGGUAGACUUGUACGCGUGCUUCCGGAAAUGGAAGCGGCUCACUCGCUCAGCGAAAGCAGCCAUUCUCCUUGCCCAAACGAGGCAAAGGUUGGAGGCUGCAAGCCUGCAAACCAUGCCAGCCAUAAGAAAGAGCAUGUGGCUGCAGCACAAAUGUUAACAUGUGCGUGAUAACGUACACGCACCGGUCUACCGUCGUCAGCGCGCCGCGCGCCUAUAUAACGACCGCCGGGCGCCGAACGAGGAACUAUAGAUCAACUGCACAUCAAUAAUCGGUCAGUUCGAUUCGAUUCCACGGUCCACUCACAAAGAGCUUUGGUGAGGAUGGGCAGGACGAUGUGCGGCUGCGCCGGCGAGCCGGCGGUGCGCAAGGGGCCGUGGACGCUGGAGGAGGACCUCGUCCUCGUCGGCUACAUCUCCCAGCACGGGGAGGGCUCCUGGGACAACCUCGCGCGCGCUGCUGGUAUGCCUCGCCCCGUCAAUCUCUCUCGCCCCACAACUCGCAUGAGCUCUUGGUGUGCGAAUUAAUGAUGUUGAAAGAUUUGCGUGGACUAAACCAUUUCUGAUGUGUUGGGUUCGAUCAGGGCUGAACCGGAACGGGAAGAGCUGCAGGCUGCGGUGGCUCAACUACCUGAGGCCGGGCGUGCGGCGCGGCAGCAUCACGCCGGCGGAGGACGCCGUCAUCCGGGAGCUCCACGCGACGCUGGGCAACAAGUGGUCCAAGAUCGCCGCGCACCUCCCGGGCCGCACCGACAACGAGAUCAAGAACUACUGGAGGACCAGGAUCCAGAAGAGACCGGCGGCGCCAGCCAACACCCAGCAGCAACCGUGCCGCGCGCCUGCGGCUGCGCCGACGACGGCCACGGCCGCCAGCGAGGGCGCGUCGUCGUCGUCGUCUGCGUCGGCAAGCCAUGGCAGCUCCGCGGCCGAGGACUACUACUACUGGUGCAUGAAGCCCAACAACCCCGAUCAGCAAGCCUGCUACUCCCAUAAGACCGUGGCUGCUGCUGCGGCCGUGGGCCUCGGUGGCUGGAGCGCGUCGGCGGCGUUGACGAGGCAGGACAGUUCGUCCACUUCCACCACCGCCGGCGACGGGUGCAAGCUGACGGGUUACAGUUACCCCUACUACUCCGAGUUGGGUUCGAUCGCCGACGGCGUCAUGAUGGUCGACGCGGACAAUUUUUGGAAUGUCGUCGACAACUUCUGGGGGACUUUACCGUUUCCAGAUGCUACAUUCUGACGCGACCAUGCAGCGUGAUUUCUGACUUCUGAGGAUGCCUAGCUGUAGAAGGGACAGAAAUGGAAGAGUGCAUAUAGUGCUAGUAGUAUGAUAGUAACAUGAAUCCUCUGCUAUAGGUGUCAGCGUGUAGUUGAUGGCUUUUUUUAUCAAAUGCUUGAUGUCGCGCUUUUUGUUACCGUACAUUAUUUGUGGCGAAAUUAAGCUCUGCACUUGUGUGGCUUUCUGUUUCUGAGGUUCUGGUGUUUCAGAUUUUACUAGUGUUAGUGCCGUGGGGCGUGGACCGUGCUGGAACCGUGGGCGGUAUGCUCACUUCAGCAACACGAAAAUUUGAGUAAGCAAAGAAUUUAUACUAGUGUUAUUAGUUAAAGCAACUUUCAACCUCGGAAAGUCAGAAUUCAGCGGCGGCCGAGAGCUAGCCCGAGAGAGAACAGAGAAGCACAUGAGCUGCUGCUCAGCGCCCAAGGAUUUCGCAAGGACGCGAGGUGGUGUGGAGGCCGGGGCUCAACCGCUCAACGGUCCUGGAGGCUGGAGGCCUCGUGGCUCGCACCCGGCGGCACCAGCUCCCCGGCCAGCGUUCGAUUGCGAUCGUGACGGCAGCCGAACGUCCGAACCCGCUUUUGCCUCGUCCGCUUCCUUCGGCGAGCCAAAGCCCAUUUCGAUCAGUUGGGCCCUUACAGGUUACAGCAUAGUCUGGAUCCGCCGUACACUGAAACCUGCAUUUGAAUUGUAUUCAAAUGAUUGUAGUCAGAGUACUUUCCCGUCAGAGUCCGAACGCCGAGACGGAAAAGCAGACCCUCCCUCUCCCUUGUUCUGCAUCGAACGGCUCCGCUCUGCUGUCUUGGCUGUCCAACGAGCCAUCAAGAUCGACUCCUUCCUCCACAAACAAAACGUGCUCUCCAGCGCAGCAGCACGGGCGCCCACACGUCCGGUCCCCCGUCGCCUGUCUCAAUCGGCAUCCACGGCGACCCGUCGGGGGCUGUGGAGGGCGUGGAGCCCCGAUCCUUUACCCGGAUCGGGCAGGUGGCCUAACCAUGUCCGAGAGUAGGCGAGGCGGCAUCUCCUCCGUUUCAGGCAUGCUACGGCACGAGGCACCGCUAGCUAGUAACAUGCAGGCGAAUGAAGCGGCGGCCAGCGUUCCAGCAAGCGAAGAUGUGAUCGAGAGCGACGCAGGAGGGCUGACUGGCUGGGAGAGCUACAUACGCGUGUCUACGGGCUAGGGCUACGCACGUGGUGAAGGGAAGAACUGAACUGACUCGUCGCCGCCAGUCCAUCGCGCACCGAAAGCGAGAGCCUGGGAGUGCUACACUGCCACUGCACUACUCGGGAUACACACGAGACGCAAGCGAUAAGGUUACAUGCUUACAGCUGUGUUUCUUUCACUGGCGAGCUGCGAGAAGACGCGGUGAUCCGAUGGCCGUUCAGCCAGAACCAGAAGUGUGUUUUAAUUUCCCCGACUCAGGAAACAGAACAUCGUCCUCACCGUACACACAGCACAUGGAUGUUUCGUUCAGUUAAUUUUACUUCAGAAGAGUUUCUUUAAAAAAAAGUAAUUUGGAAGCAUAGAUCCGUGGCUUGUUCCAAUCUGAUCCGUGGCUUGGAUUUGGUCCAGACUUUCUUUUUUUGAAAAGGAAAGGAUUUGGUCCAGACUUUCUUUAGACUUGUACGCGUGCUCCCCGAAAUGGAAGCGCCUCAAACGAAAGCAGCCUUCAUCCUUUCCCAAUCGAGCCAAAGGCGCAGGCCGCAAGCCAGCCAUUCCAACAAGAACGUGCGCGCGCUUGAUGACGUCCACGUACCCAUCCCGCGGCCGGCCCGCGCUGGCGCGCCUAUAUAAUGACCGGCGCCGAACGGUCUACAAGCACACUAGCAAGUGCGUGCGUCAGUUCAGUUCGAUAUCGCACGGAUCCACGCACAGAGAGCAAGGAGAUGGCUACCAGGGUGGCCAUGGCGUGCGGUCGCGCCGGCGACCAGCCGGCGGUGCGCAAGGGGCCGUGGACGCUGGAGGAGGACCUCAUCCUCGUCGGCUACAUCUCCGAGCACGGGGAGGGAUCCUGGGAUAACCUCGCGCGCGCUGCUGGUAAGCAUCGACCGAUCAGUUUUUGCCGUUAAUUUCUUGCAUGCGUUCUUGAGCUUUCGAUUGAGGGUUCAAUUUGCAUGGACUAGCUGAUUAAUUUGUGACGUGUCCCGAUACGAAUCAGGUCUGAACCGCAACGGGAAGAGCUGCAGGCUGCGGUGGCUAAACUACCUGCGGCCGGGGGUGCGGCACGGCAGCAUCACGCCGGCGGAGGACGCGGCGAUCCGGGAGCUCCACGCGGCACUGGGCAACAAGUGGUCCAAGAUCUCCAAGCUCCUCCCCGGCCGGACCGACAACGAGAUCAAGAACUACUGGAGGACCAGGAUCCAGAAGAAACCGGCAGCAGCAGCCAAAGCCCCGCACCAGCAACCGCCGGCGGCCGUCGUCAGAGAGGGCGCCAGCUCCGCCGCCGGGUACUACUGCGCGAAGCCCGACCCCGCCGAUCAGCAAGCGUACUGGUCCCAGAAGGCCGCCGUGGCAGCUGCGACGGCGGCGGCGGGGGUCGGAAGCGGCGAGGGCGUAUCGUCGUCCACGCCGACGAGCCAGGACAGCUCCACCGGUGCUGGAGACUGGCGCAUGCAGCAGACGAGUAGUUGUCCCUACUACUCGGAGCUGAUGAUGAGCUGGAUCGCCGGCGGCCACAGCGAGACGGGCGUCGGCGUGGACGCUCUGACGACGCACUUCUCCUCGUCCGGCCAGUUCAGCGACAGCUUCUGGAACGCUGUGGAGAAUUUCUGGGAGACGAAACCGGUGACAGGUGCAUUCUGAAGAGUGCAUGGCGAUAGUUUCUGGCGUUUCAGUGUUCAGUAGCUCGCUAGAACUGUCAGCAAGCUCGAUCGGUAUACAAGUGCAGUACCUUAGGAGCAUACUGCGUACGGACAUGCUUCUUGAGGUAUGUCGUAGUAUAGUUGCAUUACUAGACCACUAGUUGAAUGAUUGCUCUUGUUGCCGUAUUUGCUGAGUGAACAGCUGAACAUGGCUAAUCAACAAUGCACGUGAGAAAUCGGCAGCCGGGCGAUCGACCUCAUCGCCGCGCCAUCGUGCGCAGUGUCUCCUAUCGUGUGCCAGCUGAAGAUAGAGCUGCCCAGAGGAAUCGAUCGCUUCUGCUUCGAUUGUUAGGCGAGAUGCAUGCUCAUCUGAACGAUCUUUCCCUGUCACAAUGUCACGUACUCUUUUCUAUCCCGAUGCAAGUUUCACAUUUGGUAAUGGAAGGCACGCGUAUAGCUGGAUGUAGAAUGGGGGCAUCCAGCAUUUCGGGAGCUAUGCUUGAAACGGAAAACUCGGCACGAGGGUAAAGGGGAGUGGUUGAGGCGCUGCGUUUUAGGUGCUCGAUCGAGUUGUCCAUUUCGAUGAACAAAAGCAGAUGAGCUUAACUCUGGAGAACAGCUGCACGCACAUGCACCUGCUAUCGAUCGACCGCGUGCAGGAAAAGCACACUACUCUAGGUUGCAGCGAGUGAGGUGUGUGUUCGUGACAUUCAUGUGAUGUUAAUCAAGACAAAUUUAACUUUGGAAAGGAUCACGCCUUUCUUAGUUACCACCCUUCUGAGCGUUCAACUGGCUUAUUUUUAAUUUUAAUUUACAUCUUCAGGACCACAAGGAAAAAAGAAUAUUGAACCUUGUGCUCCGGAUACAAGUGCUGCAAUGUUGAAGAUUUGCUAUGGCGUUUCUCUGCAAAUGCAAAUGGUCACUCUUCACACAAAAAAAUGCAAUGAUCACAAUCCAAAUGUUUUUUUAUAUCUAAUAAAGGUAUUUCUGUUUCGUUCAUGCAUGGCCAAAUGGUCACUAGGGAGUGAAUUGGGCAUAGUUCAGUUGAUUAGAUUUUUUUAAAAUCUAGAUUUUUUAAAAAUCUAUCCACUGGAAUUCAAGUAUCUAACUUAGCACAUAUGCUUAUAUUUUUAGGUAAUUAUUUUCAACGAUAAACAAUAAUGCGCACACACACGCCAAUUUCGUCGAUGCCAAAGCCCGCCAAAUUAGUACUACCUCUGUUCCAUAUUGUAGGUCGUUUUAACUUUUCGUGUAUAGUUUUUGCUAUACACCCACGUACAACGUAUGUCUAGAUGCAAAACAAUAUUUAUGAAUCUAGAAAAACCAAAACGAUUUAUAAUUUGAAACGGAGGGAGUACAUCAGAUACACUCAUCUUCUUUAAUUACUAAAAUCACGUCACGAUUCUAUUGUAAACCCUCAACGUCAACCUCCGCAUACCAGCCAUCGCCCAUCGGAUGGAGCCGAAAAGAAGCGCUGAAUGUCAAAUUCACCUAUAGUGACUUUCGUGCUCAGGUCCCUCGGAGACCUUCGAACCACUAAGUCUUUGGGGUUCAGUCCUCCUUUCAUUUCAUUGUGAGAUAGGCUGUGUUUUUUAAAAGGAAAAAGGAAAGAAACACCAACAUGAUACGUGUUGAGGGUACUACUUCUCCUUUACAAAUUACUCUUCUACAAAUAUAAUUUUUGAUACGCAGAUAUAUAUUAUAUCUAGAUUGAUUAUUGAUAGUAAAAGUUAUGUAUUUAGAAAAGUUAAAAUGAAGCAAAUAAUGGUAACUGGCGGGAAGGGAUCUUCGAGACGUGACACGUUACGUAAGCGAUGACGAACCACACUGGUAUGUUUUGGGCGGGUGUUCCCGAUUCCAGCGGGUCGGUCUCUCACCAGAUCACCCCCCACGUUCGCAACCGAGUUUGGAGACGACUUCUCGGUUAUCGUCUUGUCGGUACCUUCGAUAUGGCGUGCAUGCUCGUCUUCGCCAGACGGCCAGAGAUAGCUGUUUUACUGUGAAUUUUGUCGUCUCAGACGAAGCAAAGUAACGAGGCAAACUUGGUGGGGAGGUCACGGCAGCAUAGGAGUCGAGUCAAUUUUGCUUCGCUUCCGAAGCAUUCCGUUCGUGCAGGCAAAGAAUUCAAGGCGGUAGCAUCUCUGUGCGCUGCACACGCGUGGAAUUAAGGCCAUGUUUAGUUGUCUAAUUUUAGUGCUAAAAUUACUGUGCUAGCACUGUAGCACACUGUAGCAUUUUGUUUGUAUUUAUGAAUUAUUGUCCAAACAUUGACUAAUUAGGCUCAAAAGAUUCGUCUUGCAAAGUACAACAAAAUUGUGCAAUUAGUUUUUAAUUUCAUCUACAUUUAGUACUCCAUGCAUGUACCGCAAGUUUGAUGUGAUGAGGAAUCUUCUUUUUGUAUAGUGCAAAGUUAGGAUUUGAGGGUGACUAAACUGGGCCUUGUUUAGUUGGCAAAGUUUGGAGGUGCCAAAUUACUGUUACAGCACUGUAGCACAAUGUAGCGUUUCGUUUGUAUUUGUGAAUUAUUGUCCAAACAUUGAUUAAUUAGGCUCAAAAGAUUCGUCUCGUAAAGUACAACAAAAUUGUGCAAUUGGUUUUUAAUUUCGUCUACAUUUAAUACUCCAUGCAUGUACCACAAGUUUGAUGUGAUGGGAAAUCUUCUUUUUGCAUAGUGCCAAAGUUGUAAGUUGGAGGUGAACUAAACAAGGGCUAACACCUAACUCGGAACUAACGAAGUGGUUAAAGUCUACGGCUUACGACUGGCGGCAUCGCACUAUACAAUCUGCCACUUGCAGAGACUACUUUCCAGGAACCUGCUACAGGGCAGGCAAUUCCUGUUCGAAUUCUUGCAAGUGAAGCCACGCACUUGGAGGGCGCCCCAAGCAAUCACACAUCAUUGGAGGCUCGCAUAGUCGCAGUCGCGGUAGAGCUGGGACUUGGAUCUUGCUAUUCGUGGGCAGUCCGAAGCACAAUAUUUUGGCAUGGUUUGUAGUACGGCACGAUAAAUUUUGGACCGUGUCGGCACGGCACGAACGUGAGGGCCGUGCCGUGCCUAGAAUCUCGGCAUGUCGAGUGGCACGGCACGGCACAUAUUUUGGACUGUGCUUGGACCAGCACGGUACGGAAAUAGCCUAGUAGCAAAUUUAUAGACUAUAUCGUCCUAAUAUCAUUGGUUCUAUGUGUCAUAUAGCUUAACAUAGCUACUACCAUGAAGAAAAUCACAAAAUCUACCUUAAUCAUGAUAACGAUAGUUCAUAACAUAACAAUGUUGCAUUCUCGUAUGGCCACAAACAGUCAUAACAUUCGCCUACAACAUCUAUUAUAAUAAUGUUUGUUUCCUCUAUUAAUUUUAUAAUUUUUUUCCUACAUUUGAGAGCAAAGUAUGUGCGAGCAAAAUGAGCACCAAUAAAAAAUAAGCACAUAUAUUGCGAGAGCUAUAAUUAGGCUGAACGUGCCACGAGCCAUGGGACCUAGUAAAAGACUCGUGGUCCCAUGCCGGCACGGCACGACAUGCCUAACGGUCCCUGUAAGGCCAGGCACGAUGCGGCGCGAGAGGGCCGGGCCGGGCUGGCACGGCACGGUUCAAGUCCGAGCUCUAGUCGCAGGGAUGGAGAUCACCAAGUCAGAGACGACUACUAGAGUACCAGUGUCUUCCGCGAUGAUUCCGUCAGGAAGUAGAAUACUACAAGCCCAGUCAUCUGGAGCCUAUAAAGUCAUGGAUAUCUUCCGCUCGAAAGUUUCCAGGAUUCUUUGCCACUCCGCUUUCUACGCCCUGCCUCGCAAAAUCCAUACAAAAAGAGUGUCCACCUGAUCUGUUCCCAACAGCGCCGGCGCCGGCUCGCGGCCAGCCAUGGCGAUCGAAGGUGAGCAGCGGCCGCUGCACAUCCUCUUCUUCCCGUUCCUCUCGCCGGGGCACCUCAUCCCGGCCGCCGACAUGGCUGCGCUCUUCGCCACCCGCGGCGUAAAGUGUACCAUCCUCACCACACCCGUGAACGCCGCCGUCAUCCGCUCGGCGGUGGAACGCGCCAACGACGCCGAGGGCGCCCUGGCCAUCGACAUCGCCGUCGUGCCUUUCCCCGACGUCGGGCUGCCCCCCGGCGUCGAAAGCGGGCCGGCUCUUAAUUCGGAGGCCGACCGCGGGAAGUUCUUCCACGCGAUUCAACAGCUCCGGGAGCCCUUCGAUCGGUUCCUGGCGGAGAGCCGCCCCGACGCCGUCGUGUCCGACAGCUUCUUCGACUGGUCCGUGGACGCCGCGGCCGAGCACGGCGUCCCGCGGCUGGCGUUCCUCGGCAGCAGCUUGUUCGCGCGGGCCUGCAGCGUUAGCAUGCUGCGCCACAACCCCGUGGAGGCCGCCCCUGAUGACCCCGACGCGUCCGUGCUGCUUCCUGGGCUGCCACACCGCGUUGAGCUGAGGCGCAGCCAGAUGAUGGAUCCCAAGAAGCGGCCGGACCACUGGGCCUUCUUCCAGCGCGUGACCGACGCGGACCAGAGGGGCUACGGCGAGGUGUUCAACAGCUUCCACGACCUGGAGCCGGACUACCUGGAACACUACACCACGACGCUCGGGCGCCGCGCGUGGCUCGUCGGGCCGGUCGCGCUCGCCAGCAAGGACGUGGCGACGAGGGGCGCCGCCGCCAACGAGCUCUCGCCCGACGCGGACGGCUGCCUGCGGUGGCUCGAAGGUAAGCCGUCCGGCUCGGUUGUGUACGUGUCCUUCGGCACGCUGUCCCAUUUCUCGCCGCCCGAGCUGCGCGAGCUCGCUCGCGGCCUCAACCUGUCCGGGAAGAACUUCGUCUGGGUCAUCGGCGGCACGGACACCGAGGAGCAAGAGUGGUUGCCCGACGGGUUCGCGGAGCUCCUGGCGCGCGGCGACCGUGGGCUCAUCAUCCGCGGCUGGGCGCCGCAGAUGCUGAUCCUGAACCACUCCGCCGUGGGCGUCUUCGUGACGCACUGCGGGUGGAACUCGACGCUGGAGGCCGUGAGCGCCGGCGUACCGAUGGUAACGUGGCCGCGGUACGCCGACCAGUUCUACAACGAGAAGGUGGUCGUGGAGCUGCUCAACGUCGGGGUCGGCGUCGGGUCCACUGACUACGCGUCGAAGCUGGAGGCCCGGCGCGUGAUCGGCGGCGAGGUGGUCGCGGAGGCCAUCGGGAGGGUGAUGGGCAACGGCGAGGAGGGGGAGGCGAUAAGGGAGAGGGCCAGGGUGCUCGGGGAGAAAGCUAGACUCGCGGUGGAGAAGGGCGGGUCCUCGUAUGAUGAUGUCGGACGGCUGAUGGACGAGCUGAUGGCUCGCAGGGGAUUGUGAAUAUCUGAUUGGUGGAAGCACGUCAAGAGUGGGAGACUGCGGAUUUGGCGGCGUAUGCAAAUCUGAAUUGUUUUCGGGGAUUCGCUUUUAAGUACAGGGGUUAGGACCGUGGUAACAUUGUACAACCGGUAUUACUACUUCAGUACUUUUGUAGUUAGUUCCCGGUCAAAUAAUCGAUACUAAGGGGAGUCUGAUUUGCCAUUACUACCUCGUCUAAAAGAAAUCUACGGAGUUGUUCCUGAAUUGCUCUGAUUUUUUCCAUCUCGAGGAGUGCUUCCUUCAUAUCUCUCAUCUAUGUCAUUGGCAAAUGCUAUUAUAUAGUAGAUUAAUGGAUCUCCACAAUUAGAACUAAUUUAUUGUUAAGAAAUUUGUAUACGUACUCUGAAUUCAUGGUCGGUUAUAUGCUUGGGACCUACAAACACAAGGAUGAACUCACAUACGUAGUAUCCGUAUAAAUUAUUUCUCGAAUUCUGUUUCAAACACUAUAUAUAUGGCAAAAGAAGUUAUGAAAUAUUUGUUGUGUUUAAGAAAGUGUCACAAGAUGUGGAAAUUUAACACAUAUUGGGAAUUCAGGCUUGAAAUCAAGUUCUUCCUUAAAUUCACAUGAUGUCGACAGAAGCGAGCCCAUGCUUUGUUAAGAAUGUCUAUGAGAUUUUUGUAUUGAUCUCUUGAUUUCCUCAAAGAGUCCAUGAUAUAGACCGCGCUUCGAUCAACCGCAAUAACAAGGAGUAUCCACUGGAAACUGUACAUAUAUGCAUAGCAAAGCUAGUUAGUCUUAUAUUUAACUGCUACUUCGAAAAGAAAAAAGAUGGAAAACACGCUCACUUGAAGUUGUACGAUGGAUGUAUGUACUUCUUGUGAUGUUGGUUCUCUAGGAACUUAUACAUGUUCUUCAAGGUCCGAUUUGGUUUAUUUCUUACAGUUGACUUGUUUAUAAUAUCCGUGUCAAUGAAGCCGAUGUCAUAGUAUCAUUUCCUUCGGCAAGUUUGAAUCUUCAUCCUGCAUGAUACAAAAUCGAAUAGGAGUUAAGACAUCGCACAAUGACUAGAGCGGGGAUUUUGAAGUUAGAGCAAAUUAAAGACUUACACAACCCAAGAACUGACGAGUGACUUGUCAAGUGCGUCUUGAUUUUAAAUGAAAUAGAGUUCCUCUAGCGGUACAUUUAUAAUGUCUUCCCUAUGAAAGUAAUGUUGAUCUCCAAUCCGAACUUCGAGCAUGAGUAAACCGUUGAUUGAAGCCUCCAUGUACCAUUGGUGCAAUUUGCAAAUCUUCGUUGGAAGAUGGUCCACCAAUUGUGCCCACAUAAGCGGUUUCCCUAACUCAAAUUUCCAUUUAGUAGCCCUAGGGUGCUUUGGGAUGUGAUCCUCCCCUCGAAGUUGAGCUAGGGUGAGAUUUGUAUCGUUGGCAAACAGGAGCAGGUUCUUAUCAAACUCCGAAAGCAUCUGAAGCGAGGCAAAUCGAUUGGUUGGAUUGGAUUCCGAGCUGUGGAAUACUUGACCCACUUUUCUUCUUUUUCUAAAAAGUCUUUGUUAUUGAGCGGUCAUAGUCAGAUAGCAGUGGUUUCUCUGUCUUUUUCUCCAUACUUCUAGUGAAAGCUCAAAAUUAACCUUAUCAAGUGGUGGAUCUUUAUUCACAGGAGGCUUUGGUGCGAAGUGAGUUUUAACCUUAGCAUCUACUACUGCGUCGAUUUUCGCAUCAGUCAUCUCGUAAGCUUUCUUGGACUCUGGUUGCUUCUCCUUCGGCUUCUUCUGCUUCUUCUUUGUAGUCGCAGUAGGCGGAACUGAAGGCGUCUUUCGCCAUGUAGCCUUGCUCAUAACAGGGGAGGUGGACUCAUGCUAGGAUCCCUAUCAGCUGGUGGAGAGCGUGGACUCAUGCUAGGAUCCCUAUCAGCUGGUGGACUCAUGCUAGAUAUAAUUUGAAUUUAUAUCUGAAUAUUAUGUCGAUUAUUUGAGCAACAAGAUGGUUCUAAAUAAAAAGAUUCUCGUCGAGAUCUACAAUUUCCAUGUAAAGUUUAUCUCCAUCUGAAUUCAUAUGAAAAAGUUAUGAUUUUUUGAAUAUGUGCUAUCCAGAGAAGGAAAAUUCCGCCGUUCAGCUGAUGGUAAGCUUGUUGUAGUGCACAUUCCGCUGUUUCAGUUGGCUAUAGCCGUUUCAAACGGCUGUAUGCGUAUAGAUUUGCAAUUUUUUUUUAUCAAGACAUAUAUUUUUACAAAAUGCUAAAAUAAAAAAUAAAAAAGAUUCGAUCAGCUUCAAUUCAGUUUUCGUGAUGGCCCAAAUCUAGAAAGCCUCAAAUGCUCAAGCCUUGUCCGUCACGUUGCCAUUUUUGAACCUGGACCAAGUUUCUGUGAUGGGCUGAUGGUUUUGUAGCUUCUGUUUUGUUUUCCACCCGCCGCGCCGGCCCAGCCAGGCUAUACCGGGCGGGGGAGCAGCAGCUGUUCAGUUUCAGUUCCGCUCAAAUGGGGAAAAAAAGGGAACAGUUGUUCCGUUGACACGAAACAGUCCAACCUCCCUAUAAACAUGGCGACGGUGGCAGCCUGAAAAACAGAAGCAGUCGUGCCCCAGAUCAUCCGUAGAACCCUUGUUCAUCUCCCCAGUUUCCACAGGGUCUACUCCUCCCCGGAGCCCCCCAUUCGAUCCUUCUCAUCCCAUCCCCUUCCGCCGAUCAACACUGCACGCUACCCUCUCGCAAGGCCGGCUGUCCGGGGGUAGCCAGGCGCCACGGUGGCUGCUCCUGGAUUUAUCUACCAGCGCCGUCCUCUUGCGCCGCCCGGCGCGAUCUCGGGAGUCCCCGCCGGCGAAGCGAGGGGUUCUCUGAUCCGCGGCUUCCUUCCCCCGGGUACGCGCUGUUUCUUCUCUGCACAACUCUGAUCAUGCGUGCUUAACUGCUUACCCUAAAUUUCAUUGCGCUUCUUCGUGGAUAAUCGCAAUGCUAGAGACACUCUCUAGUGUCUACGCGCCCGUGCCGUUUCCAAAAGGCCGCGGUGCCGUCGUUUCCACCGAUCCGUUGCCCCGACCUCUCUCAGGAGACGGGAGGUGGAGGGAUAAGGGAUUCGUAGGGAUGGGUUUUUUUUUUUCACCAUAAAACAAAGAGAAGGAACAGCAAAACGACAUGCUUGCAAUCGAUCUUGGAAAUGUACCCUGGAUCCAAGUAUUCAGGGUACUAUUUUUUUUUAUUGUUUGACUUCGGAUUUGGGAUUAGCAUCGUUUCUCUGCCUCUCUUUAUGUUUGGCGACAUUGUGCUGUUUAUAGGCUGGAGCCAGCCGUCGUAGACUCGUAGCAGGUGCACGUCUGCAUAACAGCAUAAACAUAACAAAAUGUAAUCCCGGGGCUGACGUUCUAUUUAGUAUUUACUAAAACAAAGUUUGGUAAUGAUAUGCAUGACCAUUUCCAUUGCUUGCAUCUGUAGCAGAUUAGCAGUACAUCCUAGCAAGGAAUAUAAUCCUACUGCAGUAAACUAAAUGUACCAUUACCUAUGGGAAGACAGUGGACUGCUAUUUUGAACACUAGCUAAAUACUCCAAAAUCUUCCACAAAUUUACUACAGAAGGAACAAUGGUAAGGUAAAACAUCCGUUUGCGGUGUUCAAAAUGAUGGACGGAUCUCGGGCGACGAACUGACGAUGAGGUUCGCAGCCGUCUGAUCACCGUUUCAAGUGUGGUUCGGCAGGUUGGGCAGCCAUAAGACCUGACGUGCGCCCCUUAACUUUGGCUACACAACAUAGUUAAAACUGCAUCAAAGCAUGGCGUGCGCGCCUUAACAUUUCCGUUUAGUCGGCAACCAGCAAAAACGUGUGAGCGAAGCUAUUCCUAUGAUUAUAUAAACCAGCGGAAUAAUCCGAAUUGUUGAGUUAUUAUCCAUAAAUUAAACCAUUUGGUCGGUGUUUCGAUGAUGAUCACUGAAUCAUGGCUUAUUGAUGAUUAUUGACAGGCGGCAAAGCUUUGGCGCCAGCGGCGGUCGAGCUUUCGAGCGUGCGCACGGAGUCACGCUUGCACAUCGGGCGGUAAACAAUGGCGACAACGCCAGCGCGCCAGUACCGCUUCCCCGCGCUGCCGGAGAAGGAGGAGGAGGAGGACGACCAGGCGGUGACGCGGUGCAGCAGGCAGUCGUGCGGGACGUGCAGCGCGUCGGCUGUGGCGAGCUGCGUGGCCCUGUGCUGCUGCCCGUGCGCCGUGCUCAGCUGCCUCACGCUGGCGCUCGUCAAGGCGCCCUACGCCGCGGGCCGGCGGUGCGUGGCCAGGCUCGCCCGGAGGCGCCUGCGGAAGGCGAGGGCGAGGCGCGUCCGUGACCUGGACGACGAGCAGCAGCAGGGCCCGCGCCGGAGCAAGGAGUGGGGCGAGCUUGCUCGUGCGGCCGCGGUCGGCGUCGAGGCCAGGGCGAAGGUGAGCUCCAGGAUGGACGCCUCGGAGAAGGUGUGGGCGGACAUGUACCAGGUCGGGCUCUGGGGUUUCGGCCGGCUGUCCUUCUCGUCGCCGGUGGCCGGGGGAGGAGGCGACUGCGACAAGGACGGCGACCCUGCUUCUGAGUGAGACGUGCACUGGCUCAUCACUCUAAAGCAGCCAUGUCUAAUGUCUUCUUGUACAAACCUUUUUUUUUUGUUUCCUUUGGCAAUGGCCUGUACAAACUUCCCUUGCUGGACGAGACGCGCGUGUGGAUUUUGUGAUGGUGCGGAUCGUGGGCUUGGCAUGGUAUUGGGGUGCGCUCUGCCUGGUGUGUCUCGUGGGCGACUGCCGACUGAUCACCUUCAUUGUUGCAGCAGAACUCUGCAACAAUUGCACGUGAUUGUACAAACUGCUUUCUGUGGGUGAUGUGUGGUGCUUUUGUUCGUGGCUUGUUGGGUAACACGGUAACAAGACUGUUGCAUCAUAAACAUACCUUUAUUGCUGCAUCAAAACUAUGUACAAGAUUGCACUCAAGCCUCGGUACAAUCACUGCACGCACUCUCAUCUGAGCUCUCUGCUCCUUCCCAUCCACAAGGAAAAUCAAGAGGAACGAGCUCUAGCUAUUGCUUCCGUCAGCAACUAGCAGGCCCGUCACUCCGUCAGGGCAAACCCAGGAAAUCUGCCUGAAUUUUAGAAGCAUCAGCGGCUAGCCUAAGCCCUGCUUGCAGAUAGAGCCUUGGCUAGUCAAACGCGACGGAGUAGUAGGUGUCGUACGUGCACCUCCUCCUGGCGGACAUGAGCCUGCCCAGCUUCCGCUUGCAGAGCUCGAACCUGGCCGGCCGGUCGUCGCCGGCGCCCUGUGCGGCCGCGGCCGCGGCCGCGGCCCCACCCGGCAUCGCCAGCUGGCGCUCUAGCUCGGUGAACUCCUCGGGCCGCCGGACCACGUGGUCGUAGCAGAUGUACCGCCCGCCCGCGGUGUUGUCGCCCAUCGCCUCGUACGCGCGGACAUGCGCCUCGGCCACCGUCUCCACGUUCGCCGUCGCGAGCAGGCCGUCGGACAGCAUGGCACGAGCGCCUGCAUGCGGCCCAGAUGUCAAGCGAGCCGGUCAGAGAGAUGAACAACACAUGGUACGUACUGUACGAGCCAUUGCAUUUCGCAGUACGGACCUUUGAGAUACGCGAUGGACGCGGUGGAGUUGCGGCGGCGGAAUCCCGGGCCGGUGACGAGCGCUGGGCAGAUGGUGACGAGCUUCAGGUCUCGUCCCCGGGCUGCCCUCCACGCUGCCUUCUCCGCUGCCGUCUUGCCAAGUGCAAACCACAGCUGAAACGAUGCAUCACAUUAUUAGAUUUGUUCAAUUUUUCAACAGGAAAAACAAAAGGUACUAUUGGCCGGUGCCUCGUUGGUAAAUGUUUCAACGGUUGCUGAGUGCUUUUCAGCACCAGCGAACCUGAAACUUGGUGGUGUCAACUUUUACAAAGAUUUCUUCCUAUCUGUCACCUUGUUGUCGCGGCAGAAGCUCUCGUCGCUCCAGCAGUUCUCGUCGAUGAUGGUGGGGAACCGCCGGUCAUGAGGGUAGUUCUGCCUCCACACGCACGCCAGCAAGGAAGAGGUGAAGACGCAUUUCCUGACCGACUCUGUCCUGACGCACGCUUCGAUCACCCGCUCCGCUGCUUGGGCUUCUAACCGUGCCAUGUGUUUCUGUCAAAAUCAGGGAUCUCCAUAUGUUAAACAACAAAUCUCUUCAGCCUGUAUGUCAUUUUGAUGUUCCAGUAACUACUAAAAUUUGAUUCAAAAAAUCUUGCUGGCAGAAGAAACAGCAUCGCUACUAAAAAAAAAGGUCAAGAAACAAGCCCCAUUGUCUGCAACAGAUUAAAUUGCAUAUGAGGUCUAGAUAAGAUGCGUUAGGCAAUUGACGAAAAGGACCGGACUAGCUUAGCCACCUAGUCAAGAUUUUAGCGAAUUUAAGACGAGCAUGUUAGUCCAAGUCUGUCCAGGACAUUUUCAGUAGUAGUUACCACAGCAUAUGACAGCGAUCUUCUGGCUGUAUGUACUGUACACUCUACUGGCCAAUUGGGUAUUCGACAAAAUAGUGAGCAGGUGAGCACUAAAUCCUCCACCCUCCUGUUGUUUACCACCAAUCACCAUAGGGUGCUCGCUUUCAGCCUGGAAUCUAGAUGCUUCGGGUGAUUAGGGACCUGCACCUGCCGGUCCUAACUGCUAACGACUUCACGCAGCCGGAGCCAAUUCAGCGAGGGAGGCUCGAUCGUAUGAUGUAGUGUUUCCUAAUCACUUUGGGGUGUUAUAAACCCAUCCAGAGUGGUUGCAUGAUAUGUUGACGCCGUGAAUAGGUGGUUGCAUUGUCAAACUCUUGUUGCCAUGUGAAAUCAAAACCAGACGAUAAACCUUGAGAUCCCUGGCGCUAGAUUAGGUGGGCGAGUAUGAUGACACCGCUUCUAGAUGCUUUAGUGUAUCCCAACUACUACACUGCAAGACUUGAGAUCCCUCGUUCGUCAGCAGGGUUGCCUUCAGAUCAGUUGGAACUCCGAAAUGUCAAAUGUCCAGGACGCUGCACGGGUACAGCCCGUGAAGGUCCGAAUUAAGAAGUCUUUCUUCAGGAAGCUGCACAAGAAGUACAGCUCGAGAACGAGAAGGUCCAAAUUAGGAACACUUUAUUCAGAAAGCCACUUAAUUUUUUGCCAUCUUUUCCUUGUCUUGUGGCCUCUUCCGACAAUCCUAUCCUACCUAUAGUUGCUUUUGCACCUUCAACAGAAGUACACUUCUAAAAUCACGGGUUGGUGAGUGUCGUGCUGAAGGUACUGAUUUUUUUUCUUCUUUUUUCUGGUCAGCAGCUCAGCACAUGCUACUAUUGUACUGUGCUAGGCUAAGGUGUAGGGAAUCCACUUAUUCACACUCAAAAGGGUAUGUAAAAAAAAAGACCAGGUCUUGUCUCACAGUAGGUCACACACGCUAACCAACAAACCAACUGUUGUGGUGGAACAGAUUUUCGCAUCGUGUGUCCGUGUCAGGAACUCAGGAUAUCCUGCAGUCCAGGAUCCCUUGUCUGUGACACAUGCUAUCACGCCUCCAACGUGGCGGGCCACGCAAAGGCCGUUCCUGAGGCGUGCGUGCGUCCACGUCUAGUGCUACUUCACUUUCGCUGAGCAAAUGAACAUGGGGGCGCAACGCCAACGCAGUUGCAUCGUGUUCGGUGUUUCAGCCUCGUCAACGCUUGCCUGGUCCUAGUGUCCUUAAAAGUGUCUCUCAAUGAUGAGAGCGACCUGUCUCUGUUGCCCCCCAAUUUAUUCCUCUCUUAUUUCAUAAAAAAUCACCGUAGUUUAACAAGUUUACUAUUUAGCAGAGGCACUUGAUUAGUGCUUGCUCUGUUUUGCCUUGGGCCAAUCGUAACCUCUCUUCCUGCUAGAUCACGGCACCAUCCUGCGAUCGCAACUUGGUGCUAACCGAACCAUAUACUUUCUACCCCUAACCCAAUGUCCUGCUUGCCAUUUUGUUUUUUUACUUUACUUUAUUAGCGAUUUCCGACUUCAGAAACCUUCUAUUCUACAUCGAAAGGCCCUUGCCAGUUAUCAAGAAGCAACAAAAAAAAAAGACUCGUAACCAUCUUGACUUGUGCGAUUAUUCACAUGUCGCACGAGCAAAUGCAAAAGCUUACGUUUCACGCAUGUUGCUUUCGCCUACAUUUUCUAACGUGAUGUGAGGAGCUAACCAUUCAGAUUUACUACUAAGUACUACUGUAGAAGUUAAUAAAGUUCGCCGUACUACUCACCGUGUAGCCGGACAUGCCCCCAGGGUCCACGAAGGCGGAGGUGUGAAACACGCCGGCGCAUCCGUCGAAGGCGCGGUGCAGGCUCUCCGGGUCCAUCACGUUGGCCAUCACCGUCCACACCCCGUCCCGGCCGUCCUCGCCGAACAUCUCCAUCUCCCGCAGCUUGUCCACGUCCUCUGCCAACACAGCACGCACGGGACAACCUGUCCGUGUCAGACCUUCACCUCACGGUCAGAAAAUCGAAUAAUGGAAACAGUUGAAAUCUCAAUCAGCUUCUUCUUUUUUGAAGGAAAAAAACUCUCUUAUUCAGCUUCGCUGUAUGAAGCGGCAGCGAUAACUAUCAACCGGCAUGGAUCUGUUCGUAGUUUGUUUGUUUUUUGUUAGCCUAUCCUAAUAUCGCAGUCCAUUCCUUAUCCCCGACGAUUUGGUUCGCCCAUGGGAACCUGAGAUACGAAACCUCUAGCGGACGAACGCAUCGCGCGUCAGAGAAAGACUCUACAUCGAUCUGAGUUCUGCAGAUGGCCCAUUGGCAUUCAGAAAAAGUUGCAGGUUGAGGUGGAGCUUUCAGAAACCUAAACCCAUUCACCUGGUUCACCACGGCUACAUCUAGUACUCAUUCGUGCCAAAUGGUUGUCGUCUGCUUUCUUGCAUCGAGAUUUCAGUGCGGGUUCAGGCCUUCAGGGUACCGUCGGCACCAACAAUUACUUGGCCAAGAAUCUGUUGCUAGCCGAUGUGGCUUAACCAACCUACGCAUAGGGUUUGGUUCGACUAGGAAACGUAGAGGGGACCCAUUAUACUCCACUAACGAUUUGUUAAAUCAGGUGGUGGUGUCAAAGGAGCACCAGUCAAAAAACUAAUCAUCGUGACUUUCACAGGAGGAGGAAAAAAGAAGAACGACUAAAACGUGAUGCAGUUGACCCCAGAGGAUUCGUUCUACGGUCACGUCUCCGUCAGAAAACAUGGGCAGCCGUGGAAAAAUACAGCCUGAUGAUCUGCUCGUGUACGAUUUGUGGACUACUCCGAAUGAGUCGAGCAAACCGGAAGAAUCACAGGAGAUUCCAAUUACUGCGUUCCAAAAGCAUCCGAUUGACCAAAUAUCCAAUGUGCGAGGAAAUAAACCACGCGCAUGACAGCGCGGACGGUAGCUUAGCUUCCAACCAUGGAUCUAAAAACGUGCAGAUUAACUAACCUGUGAGAAGCACUCUGCGUGUUUAAUUUGGUUUGGCCGUAUAAUAUUUGGCAAUCAUUUCUACGUGGUCAAAGUCUGACGCUCAGCGGACGUAUUAUGGUUCCGUCCUUGCCGUUGCAACGGUGCAAGUUGUAAUAUCCUAAUCCUUAGAGUGCCUGCGGGCAGUGUCCAUUUUGUAUUAGGGAGCAAGUUAGAUCGAUGAUAGAUUGCUCUUGGUAUUUGGGAAACGCUACCGUCCGAGCGUCCGGACGCGUCGGAUGUCGUUCCGCUCUUCUCCGCUUCCUAUCCAUUCCCACAGUUCUUUUUCUUCCCCAUUCCCUUUCUCCUUCAACCUUCCACCCGGUGUCCUCCUCCUCCACUCCGGCAGCCUUGUCUCCAACCCGCGCCCCACGUCGGCGUCCUCCUUGCCCACCUCAACGGCGUCGCGCUCCCCUACCCGGCGGCCUCGUCCCCCACCCGCGCCCCACGUCGGCGUCCUCCUCCCCACCUCGAUGGCGUCGCGCUCUUCCACCCCGGCGGUCUCGUCCCUCACCCAGGCGGCACACCUCCCCCCACUCCGGCGUCCUAAACCCACCGGGAGCGCCCAACGCCCUUGGAUCCAGUGACCCUCUCCCCAACCCCGGCAAGAUCCGAGCAAGCCCCUGACCCUCCCCUACCUCGGUCGGCGGCAACCUCCUCAGAUUCGGCAGCAUCUCCUCUCCUUCGGCCGACAACGGGCAGGCUGGUUGUCGUGGAUCUGAGUAUUGCAAUAGGUACCUCAUGGUGUUGCAAUAGUUAUUUUCGGAUGUUGCAACGGUGGCUUUUGAUGUUUCAUCUGUUUUGCAACAGUCUGACUUGCCAGCAAUCGGGUGUUGCACCAACUUGUUCAUGAUGUUGCAUAUAGUUGUUUUCUUUGUUUCGUCUCUUCUUCUUUUGUUGUUGCAAUGUUGUAAGAGAUGUUUUUUUGUUGUUGCAAUGUGUCUGUUUUGAAUGUUGCACGAAGCAAUUCGGGAUGUUUCAUGCACGUAAAGGUGUUGCAAUCCUCAGUGUUGCAAGUGUUGAUUUUUGAUAUUUCGAUAGUUAUUUUUCAAUGUUGUGACGGAGCGUCAUAUAAAAUAAAAUUAUUGGACGUCCGGACGCUAGCAUUUCCAAGUAUUUUUGUCGUGUUUCUUUUGGUCUUUUCAGUAGAUCAUUCUGGUGGGGCAACCUAUGGGAAAACUAGUUUUAGAAAAAAAAACACCAAAACGACUGCUGUGAAAACUAUGUGACAGAGCCAUACUAUGCUUUGGAAGUGGCCAUCAUAACUACCACCCGAUUAUUAUUUUUCUUUUUACUAAACAGGGAUAAGGAAAGAAAGAAAAGGCAGCGUCUGCUCUAGAAAGUGACCAAGAGUAGAACGAGCCAGUGAACAGUAACUCCAUUUGGGCCUAUAGGUUUAGUGUGGCUACUGGCUACAGUGCCGGGGAUAUCAUGAGCCACAUCCAUUGACCAACCCGCUCGCGGCAGUUGGUGAAUGGUGACGCAGCAGCGUUGCAUCGUGCAGAAAGAAAAAAGAAGGAAGAGGCCAUUGCAAGAAGCCGCUGUCCCUGUCCCGCCAGCCAACUCAUCACGGAGGAACGAAAAGCUCAGCCAGAACGCCAGAUGAAAUGAAACCCCGCGGCAGCGGUCUUUUUAUCAAACGGGGAGAAUAAGAAACGGAGCAGAUGAAAUUCCUCCUAUUCCAGGCAUGCCGCAUGCCGAAGCAGCCCUCCAAAAAAACGGCAUCCCGAAGCACGUGACGGGUCGCCGGUUGCGGGCGUGAGCGCACGUGUCUUCGGCGCACGGCGCCGCCGCGUGAGCCCAACAUCUCCGCUUCGCGUUUACCUAUUGACCACCGGUAGCGGUAGGUAAAAUGGUAAUCCUGUCAACCGCGCGUGGAUUCAUCCACCCACCAAUGAAACGAGCGCUCAAGGCUCGCGCGCGAUCGCUUUCUGGGCCCGAAAACGACGGGGUCUUCCACCAUUUUAAUUUACAAAACCCCUCUCCCGGCCGCCGAGGUGCGGCGAGCGGUGGUGUGACGAGAGCGAAUUGCGACCGGCCGGAGCCGGGACCCGCGUGGCAGCGGUGCGGAAGGCCAGCAGCCGACCCGCGACGGAGGCGCAGCAGAAGGCAAAGACGGCAGGGAACUAGGGAAGGAAGCACCGAAGCAGCAGCCGGGUAGGUGGUGGGCGAGGGGGGCUGACCUUGCGUCUCGAGCGCGAGGCGGACGGUGUACCCGUGGCGGAGGAGGCGGUCGACGACGGCGAAGCCGACGAAGGAGAUGCCGCCCGUGACGCAGACGGCGCGCGCCUCGGCCCCGCCGGCGUCGGCCCCCGGGGCGCGCUUGGCGCCCGCGUGGCCCGCCGAGCGCCGCCACCCGGCCGCGGCGCCGCCGUGCCCGCCGCCGCCGCCUAGGAGCGCGGCGCGCAGCUCGUCCACCUCCGCCUGCAGGCUCUGCGUGCUCCGCAGGACGCCCAUGCCUGUCGCGCGUGCGCGAGCGUGUCCGCGGGGCCGGCCGAUCCCUCCCCUGCCUGCCUCUUCUUUGGUGGUGGAGUGGUUCGCGAGUGUUUUCACGGGUGGGGUUGGUGCGCGCAGGGGAUCGGGACGUGGUGGUCUGGUGGAUAAAUAGGGUGGAUGAGGGCACUGGCCUCUGCUCUCGCUGCGUAUGAGCUCUUGUCGCGCGCGCGAGUUUGGCUUGGUAGGUAGGCUUGUGCGUUGCGGGCGCGGCCCGCGUGGCCAGCCACCGAGUCGUGGACUGCUGGCUGCCUCAGGCUCUGUCUGCUCUUCCGCUUUGGCCCGGCUUGUUUUUCUCAGGCAGUCAGGCUGAUGAAUCUGACUGAGCUCACAGAACGCGGGGGGUAGUUGCGCUGGGCGGCGAGGAUUGCUCGGCCGUUGCUAUCCGACGGUCUAGCACUGGGCAACAGGGGUCUACACUUACUCUAGUUAGCAUAUUUAUUAAUUUCCGCUUCUGAUCGGACAGGACUAGUGUCGAAUUAUCGCAAUAAUUCGACACUAUGGAGAAGAAAUCGGGAUCCGAUAUGCACCCUGCUGUUCUGUCCAAUCAAAAGUAACUGGUGCAAGCAGAAAAAGGGGAAGCAAUGGCGAGUAGCGCCUCCUUCCACCACCUGACGCCUCUCCUGCUGCCCUGCCUUCUCCACAUCUUCUCUCCCUAAUUCCUCUUACUUGCUCCUCAUCGCGUCAUGGAUUUCUCCAAACUCAACUUUCAAAUUGGUAAGGAUUUCAGCUCCAAGGUUCAUAAGCUCUUUGGCUUGCCAAUAAACUCUGCGGGGAAGCCAGCAGGCAACAGUUUUCUCCUACUGGUAUCUUUCAGUCGUAAAAGAUUCAGACUUUCGGAUGACUCAGUUGUCAUUUGUCUGCAAUCUGUCUUGGAAGGAAUUGCCAAGGAUUUUGCAGUGUUUCAACUUGAAGAACAAAUUUUCAGGAUUGCUGUCUCUUUCAAACAAGUUGGGUUUUUGACUCUUAAUUUGAAUGAUGUUGCUUGUGAGUUCUUCAAGCUACACUUCUUUCUUUGUAACGAUUUGGGUUUUUGGAAAGCUCUUCUUUUUGCCAUAUCGAAUUCCGGUCCCUCCUUUCCUUGGGAGGCUGCUUGAUCAUCAUCUUAGGGUGCGUUUGGUUUCGAGGACGUGACGGGACGGGAUGAUCCCAUUUUUGCAAGUGUUUGGUUGGGAAGCAUACGGGAUAGGGUCCUCCCUAGUAGGGAAUAUACCGUAAAUAUUCGGGACGCUCCCGUCCGCCAAAAACGAGCGGACGGGGUCGUCCCACUUCAACGCCGUCGCCUCCCGUCUGUCACGCGAGAGGGAGCAACAGCGAGCGGGCGAGCUCCAUCGCGGCCGCGCGGGCGAGCUGGAGCUCCGUCGCGGCCCUCCAUGGCUGGCGUGGGUGAGCUCCGCUGCGGGCGCACGGGCGAGCUGGAGCCGUGACCGGAGCUCCUGCGGGCGGAGGCGGGCAUGGCCGGGGCGGACGCGGCCGGAGCUCCUGCGGGUGGAGGCGGGCGCGGUCGGGGCGGAUGCGGCCGGAGGCGGGGGCGCCCGGGAGGAUCGGGGGCGGCGGGGUGGAGCACGGGCGGUGCGGGCGUGACCCAGGGACGGCGGUGGGGUGGAUCGGGGGGCAGCGGGCUGACCUAGGGGCGACGGGGUGGAGCAGGGGCGGCGCCGCGGGUGGAGCAGGCAAGGCUAGCGUGGCGCAGGUGGAGGAAGAAGAUGUUGUUAGUAUGACAAGUGGGCCCCACACACGGUGUUUAACGGAAGGAGAAAACGGUGCUCGUCCCAUCUGUUGCAAUCUCUCCAACCAAACAAAAAAUUAGGACGAACCCAUCCCAUUCAACCAAACAUGAAAUGGGAUCAUCCCAUCCCAAAAAACUGGGACGGGACCGUCCCGUCCUACAUUGUCUCCCAUUCAAACACAUGCUUAUGCUCAGGUGGUGAAAGAUGGUCUUCCUCCCCUCUCGGGUGCUAACAAAACUCCCCUAGGAACUAAUCCUGCAAGAUCAAUGGAUCAUUCUCAGCAUCGAGGCUUUGCCAACAUGGAUGAUCAAAGCAAGAACUUCUCUUCGGUUUUCCAGUGUCUGAAGUUUCCUCGUCGAUCGGUGUUUGAGAGAUUGAGUUUUGAGAAAUCUUCUGAUAAUUUUCAAGUUUCCAACAGUCACCGGGCUUCAUUGGUUCCUGGGUCAAACGACCCAACUUUCUCGAGGCUCGGUACUGUUGCAGGGCUUAGCAAUUACUGUGUCAGAUUUAUCUCCCAACCACUCUAAAACCUCUUGCAAAAAUGAGAUAAAAUGUUAGCACUGCAAACAAUGGGAACAUGUAUUCAAAUCAUGCACGCUUUUUCACAGUCUUCAAUGUUUUACUGAGUUAAUUGGGCUAACGGCUACCUGUAACUUCUCAUCAACCAUCACAACCACUUGCUGGCCUCCCAACGCUAGGUUAAAUUGGUUUAAAAGGGAUGUGUCGCUGGAUAAUGGGCCUGGUCCUAGUGGGCCUCCUUGCUUCUCUUCACUAGAAGACCUUGGCCGUACAGUGCUGGGCAUCCAGAGCGACACUGCCCCUUCGGCUUCUUCGCCUCCACCAUCUUCCUCCCAAGAAAACCCUAGUGCCACUAUAGCAAGCGCUGGCGACGAAGCUCCCUAGCCGCCAGCGAUGGCGUACCUGGACGUUGAUCCAAUGCCAAUGCUUCUCUCAGGGUUCUCAAGGGUGCUCGUGGAGGGAACACAGAAGUUCGUCAGAGUGGUCACCUCAAGAGCAAGACCCUCCAAUGAAGACCCGGCGAUCGUCAUCGUUUCCAACCUGCCACUGGGUGAGAUUCCAUUCGCUGAUAUCUGCAAUAUCAUUCUGGGUUUGCUAGAGGAGGAUUAUGGGCUUCGAGUCACGGAAAUACAGAGAUGUCCCUUUGGUAGAGGUCAGGCUGAUGUCCGCUUGAGUCGUGCUUCUGACAGAGAUAGCCUAGUCAUCAUAGCCCCCACCAAUUUUAUGGAAUGAGUCUAGCAUUCGUUAAUCACAACAGGGGGGCAAUGCUAGGAGAGUGGUUUUUAAUAGAGAGUGUUGGUUGAUGUUGAUUGGUUAUCCACCUGACAACCAUAAUAUUGAGGAAAUAAGGGACUCGAUCAAAUCGUUUGGAAGAUUGAUAUGCUAGCAGAAGGAUAAUGUUCUAGCAAGGAUAAUCAUAAAAGCAAGAGUCACAGAUUUACUGGAUUUCCCUCAUUACCUCAUCUUUUUGGUAGGUGCUGACUUUGAAGGUGUUUCUUUCACAGUGCAAUGUAAAAUAAUGCAACAAGAUAUACUUGGAGGUCAACUGCAGAAUGAGGAUAUACCUCUAGGGGGACUAGAUGAUAACUUUGUCCCUCCUGGGCUUGGGGGUAAUUCUCAAGCACAUCACUUUGGCCAUAACCAGCUCCCCCAGGUUUAGCAUCCCCUACAGAAUGGCAAUCAGGCAGCUCUUGAUAUCCCUGACUUGAAUGUAAAGCCUUUUGAUGAGGGUCAACUUGAGGUAGAACCUGUAGAUCAAGAUGAGGAAGAACCAAUUGAAGAUUUGGAAGAUGCAGCUAACCAAGAUCAGCAGGUUGAGCCACAUCAACAGGAAGGGUUGGACUUGCAGCUCAGCAUCUCUGUUUCCUAGGCCUCUUCCACUAGUUCAGUGAUGGGGGGGCUGUAACUCUUAUCAGUUAGGCAAUGGUGGAAACAAUCAAGACAACAUGAUGAAUAUUGACAUUGACAAUGCAGUGGUUGAGGAGCAUGGUAACCCUGACCCUGAAAUUUUCUCGCUCUACCAGUUAUGGCUCAGGAUCAAAAUGUUGAGAUUCCAAAUGGGAUGAUAAAUCAGGGUAUUAACUAGGAUUUCCUGAUGAACAAUGCUGUGGCUAAUGAGCAGGCCAAUCCACCUAAUGAGCCCCCUUACCCCAGUUACCAGAAAAUCAGAAUGACAAUGCAAAUGAGGCAGUUGGCCUGAAUGAAGAGAAUGAAGAAAAUCAAAUUGAGCAACACAUAGACAUUGAUCAGAACUUUCUUCUUGACUUUCUACCAGCCAUCCAACAGCAAGAUAACCACAGCUCAGUGGCACCUCUCAACUUGAAUGUGAGCAUCAAUAUGGCACUCACAAACUUUGAUGUCAGUGGGGAAGCUGAUCCAGGUUGGAAUGCUUUUAAGGGUAACUUAUAGGGGGCCCCAAAUCUCAAACCUGAUUGCUAUAGGAUUUGGGCCAAGCAUUUCUCUCCAGUGCACUGUCCUAAACGUGUGGUUCAGAUUCCCUCAGAUUGGGCCUCAUUCUUUACUGUGAUGCUACUAUCACCCUCUCAUUUUUAAUGGACCAAGACAUUCUUGUCAUUACAGGCUUGGAAGUUCAUGAUAAGUUGCACAAACACAUCCUUAAUGAUAUCUUUUGCUCUCCCAGUAGAUUGUCCAGAAAAGGCAGAAGUAAAAUGUGACUCUCUCAUGGAAAUUGUGGGAAGCUUCCCCAUUCAAAAUGACACAUCUAUGGGUGCACCUAAGAUCUUGAGUGACAAAUUUUUCUCAGAAGAAGCAAAGAGGUCUUACCCCCCGGUUGAAACUGAAGCAAGAAGAAGUCCUAGAAUCAGGAAUCAUAAUGAUGGAUUCAAGCACAAUAGUUGUGCCAGUAAGAAUUGUUUGGCGUGUGCUGCCACCCCUCCAACUCUUACAAACAAGAUUAUCAAGAAGGUUGGAGAGGAUUUCUGCAAGAUCAAGCCUGAAGCAAUGACUCAAGAUGCACUUUCCAGCAAGAGCAAGACCAAGCAGGCAGUUGGAGAUAAGAAGGCCGCCAAGAUGUUGAUUUCCUCCAAGAAGGACAAAGGAAACGAGAAGAAGGAUGAUGAUGCAGUGGACCAAGAGUCCAAUAAAAAGAUCAAGAAGUAAUAGGGACUUUUUUGUCCAACAUUUUGUUAUGUUUUAUCCUAUCAUGAUGAAAAUGAAUCUUAUUUUGUUAGUCUGUAAGGGUGUUGGGAUGUGGACCCUUUUCACCUCUCUUAAGAACCUGUGGUUGAACAUGGCAGUACUUAUCUUUUACUUGAUGUUUUACUGCUCUAAUCUAGUGUUUCUGUGGAUGAUUGUAUGCUAUGCAUACAAUUUUCUAUUUAUAUAUCUAGGAUUGCAUCAAUGAAUCACGGUUAAAAUAAAAGAAGUUGGGUUAUCCUAAGUUGGAAUAUCAAAUGAAUAAACUCUGAUGGGAAAUGGAGUGCUGUCAGGAGUAAAAUAAAUUAAUCCAAAUGUGAUGUUCUUUGCCUUCAGGAGACGAAGAGAUAAUUCUUUGAUGCUCAAUACAUCAAAAACUUCUACCCAUCACAAUUGGAUGAAUUUAUUUUCUUUCCAUCAACUGGGAAUUCAAGAGGAAGUCUUAUCGCUUGGGACAACAAUAAAUUCAGUGGUCACUUAGAUUUUCAGAAUGAAUAUGCCCAAUCAGUUGAGUUCACAUGUAAAUUAACUCGUGAAAAUUGGAUAUUAACCAAUAUUUGUGCACUAUGUACUUUAGAAGGGAAAGUAGCUGUCGGGGAUAGAUCCCCAGUACACGUAAGGAAGGAAGAAGAUAGACUUCUACUAGGAUUCCCCUACAAUCCUACUAGGACUCAUAUCCUGUAAUCCUACUAGGACUACUCCUUGUAACCGACUAGUAAUCCCAACCCUGGAGUAUAUAAAGAAGGGCAGGGGUCCCUAGAUCGGUAGGCCAAGACCUCAUAGAACCACCAAGAGGACCAAAUCCUCAACACCAAACAACAUGCAAGCGCAGGGUGCAAUAUGCAACACUCUAAAUAGGACAUAGGGUAUUACGCUACUCUGGCGGCCUGAACUUCUAUAAAUCCAUGUCUUGUGUCCUCGCUUUUACCUUCGAGUUUCGGGUCCGACGAUCCCCCACCAACCAAUCUACUACCUCAAGAUACCCCUCGGUAGUUGCCGGGUAUAAAACAAUGAGAUCUGGCAUGCUAGGUAGGGGUGAUCAUCGAGAUCAUCAGGCGAGCUUGAAGGACCUCAUCUUCAACAUCAAUCUACUUGGACCAGCAUGAUGAUGUUUCGUAUGAGAUCAAUUGGCGGAUCAGCUCAUAUCUGCGUCAAGUUCAAGGCAGCUAGACUGGAUUCUGUAUCCCAUCUGAUUUCUUGCGUGGCGCAAGGCUUAUUGUCACCGUGUCAGAGUAGCUACAUUCAUCAACCAGUAGGUUCACUGCUAUCUCGUCCUGCACCGAAUCAGAGUCGAACGAAGACUCUGUUCUCAUCCGCAUGCAAGCAUCAAGAUCAAGGCAGAAGAUCCAUCAACUCCGUAAUUGAGUUGAAGUCGGGAACUCAUGAAGCAAUGCUAGUCCGAAUCAACGAAGGCUAAUUGAAUAUUGCAUCUACAGUUAAAGGUUGCCGCAUUGCCAUGCAUUGAUUCCGAGAGAGAAUAGACAUCAAGAAAAAUUCAAGAGGAUUACUGCACGAUUGCUGCUGCCGCUGUCUCCUGUACGGUCGGAAGAUCAAAUUCAGCAAAAAGUUGCUACAUGCACAUAAGGCCUACUAGGAAGCUUCAAGAUUUUUUCGCUGAACAUACACGAAAGAUGUGCGCGAGCAUUACUACACCAACUUCCAGCCGCAUCGACUCGCCGAGGACUAUUCGUCUCGACUAGAAACUAGUCGAGGGCGGGUUUCACACCAUCAACAACUAGUCGGAAUCGACUCCGACUAGUCGACUUCAUCAACAAUUGUCGCGGCUUCAUGAUGACCGCCACGGCUUCGUUGACAAUCAUCCACGAAUCAAGCUUGUUUUUUAAUUAUUUUAUAUAAUUUUUCUAGCUUGUUUUUCGCAUGCAGGGCAACGCGCCAAGUACUUUUUUGUGUACGCCUCUCAACGGAAAUUACCCUCCAAAGCUACACUUUACCAAUGAUUCCUACAGCAUAUUGACCGACAGCCAUGGGCUUGGUACACCGAAUUACGAAGGUUAUCGCCACGGGUUUUGUGCACUGAGUUCUGAAAGCUCCACCACCAGCCUUGGUACAUCGAAUUAUGAAGGCUACGGCCAUGGGUUUGCUGCAUUGAGUGCUGGAGGCUCACAACGACUACACCCUAAGGAGGCACAAAUGUUAUGCGCGGCAACACGCACUCUUCUCGCCAAAAGGCAGAAAAGUUUCAUCGACUACUUUACGUGCAAUCGCGCUCUCUUUUGUAGCAAUGGCAACUGCUUAUUUUCAAUGUCUUCUCUUAGGGUUUGUUAAUCUACUCGAGCAGAACACGCCUCAAUCCGUGGGAGCCUCAGAUCUUCUGUCAUGCCUAAAUGCUAGGACGUGUAUAUGAGACAAAAGUCUCAGACGCCUAGCGACAGUGCCAGUACGCGUACACGAGACAAAGAUCUCACACGCAGUGGCAAUGGCUAAACAGGAACUGAGAGUUUAAACGUAACAGGCUAACUACUUGGGAAAAAUAUGGCCAAAACAAGAGCAUAACAUGAAACAUUUACAUUCAUCAUUGAAUAAAUUUCGGUAGUAUCUUCGAAAUUCUACAAAUAUGCUACAUCAUGUAUGCAUCUCUUUUUGCAGGUCAAGCUUUGACGAUGACUCUCCGAGACGCUCAGCGUACCUACAAUGGCUACGCUAGCUCCCAGGCUUUGGGGCUAAGCGCCAAUUACUACUCAGAAUAUCUCCAGUGGCUUAGCUAGCUUCCAAGCUCAGGGCCUAAGCACCAAAUAACUACUCGACGUGGCUCCUACGGCUCACCUGGCGCAUAAACUCGGGGGUUGGACGUCGUAAAACCACUCAGAUGACGACUAGCGUGAAGACUAAAGCUUGCUAGACCCCCAAAUUGAUUAAUUAAUCAUUCCAAGGCUUGGGGGCUGAUUAGCUACACCCAACCGUUGUAUUUUUCAAGACAAAGGCAGAAGAUUCAAGAUUUUGACCCUCAACCUGAUUAUUUGAUUCAACCUAAGGCUCGGGGGCUACUCCAUAUGGAGUGCGACUUUCGCCACCCUCCAUAUCACAUUCCAAAGAUGAAGAUUACAGAAUCUAGAUGAUCAGGACUUGAGCACACCAUAGCCUCAUGGAAGUUUUGAGGAACUUUGAAGAUUCAGCCAGACAAAGUACUCAAGGAGCACUAAACUACUCGACGAGGAUCUAAAAAGUACUCAAAGACUGCUACAUUCAGCUAUGAAGCGCUAGGAGGUUUGUCGAGGAUAGAUCCCUUGUACCCGUAUGAAGGAAGAAUACAGACUCCUACAACGAUUCCCCUGUAAUCCUACUAGGACUCCUCCUUGUAACCGACUAGUAAUCCCACCCCCUGGAGUAUAUAAAGGAGGGAAGGGGUCCCUAGAUCGGUAGGUCAAGACCUCAUCGAACCACCAAGAUGAUCAAAUCCUCAAUACCAAAAAACACCCAAGCGCAGGGCGCAAUAUACAACACCCCAAACAGGACAUAGGGUAUUACGCUACUUUGGCAGCCCGAACCUGUAUAAAUCUGUGUCUUGUGUCAUCACUUUUACCUUUGAGUUCCAGGUCCGGUGAUCCCCCACCAACCAAUCUACUACCUCAGGAUGCCCCUCGGUAGGUUUUCCAGGUAUAAAACACUACUAGUAGCAUUCUUAAACUAGUUCAAAAGGAUAAGCAUGCGUAAUGAGGUCAAGUGGCUCAUUGUAGGGGAUUUCAAUCUUAUUAGAAGGCUUGGACAAAUAAGCAAUUGAAUCCAUUGCUUGAAAGGUUGGACUGGUUCUUUAGUUCCAAUGCUUGGACCUCAUUUCUCCCAAAUUCUUUUGCAUCAGGUCUCUCCAAAGAUACUUCAAAUCACACUCCAUGUGUCAUUACAGCAUCUACAAAUGUACCCAAGUCGCAGAUCUUCAGAUUUGAGAAUUAUUGAUUAGAACAUGAAAAUUUCAUGGUAGUUCUUCAGCAUGGAUGGAACCUGCCUAACUCUUAAAUAGACAGUGCCAAAAAGAUAGGGGCAAAAUUUAAAAAUCUAAGAAGGGUCUUUAAAGCUUGGAAAUCCCAGUUGCCUAACCUAGCUAUUGCUAUUCGAAACUCGAAGGACAUUAUUCAGCUCAUGGACAUUAUUGAAGAAACCAGAGAUUUAACUAUGGAGGAAUGGAACUUUAGAAAUAUUAGCAACAGAAAACAUACUAGAAACAAAGAGGAACUAUAAAUUGGGUCAAGUUUGGGGAUGAAUGCACUGAGUUUUUUCAUGCCAAUGCAUCAAUUAAACAUAGAAGAAACACCAUUAACUCCUUGAUAGAUGAUUCUGAGCAUGAGCUACUACAACAUGAAGCCAAGGCUAAAUUACUCUAGAAUGCCUUCAAAGAAAGAAUGGGAUCAUCUGAAUUCACCUAUAUGUAUUUUGACCUCCCUUCUAUCAUUCUAUCAGAUGACAAUUUGGAAUGGCUAGAAAGCCCAUUCACCAAAGAGGAAAUUGAUAGGAUAAUUGCAGACCUGUCAAAUAAUAAGUCCCUAGGACCUGAUGGCUUCAAUGGAGAAUUCUUGAAGAAAUGUUAGCCUAUCAUCUCACAUGACUUCUACAAAUUCUGUGAGGAUUUCUUUGAAGGGAACAUGUGUCUGAGAAGUAUUAACUCCUCCUACAUUACCCUGGUCCCCAAGAUAGAUAGUUCAUCCCUGGUUUCAGACUUUAGGCCAAUCUCAUUUCAAAACUCUUCCAUCAAGCUCAUCACCAAACUUUUUGCUGGAAGACUUCAGCAGGUAAUUCUGAGGCAGAUUCACAAAAACCAGUAUGGGUUCAUGAAAUCCAGAUCAAUAUAUGAUUGCCUGGCUUGGGAUUUUUAAUAUCUACAUAUCUACAAAUACUCUAAGAAAGAGCUUACCAUCCCAAAAUUGGACUUUGAAAAAUAUUUUGAUAAGAUUGAGCAUCAAGCCAUUCUAGAUAUUCUGAAAUGCAAGGGAUUUGGGGAAAGAUGGAUUGGGUGGAUAAAAGACAUCUUAGGGAUGGGGACAUCAUCGGUCCUUCUUAAUGGGGUACCAGGAAAAGUCUUUUAUUGUAAAAGGGGAGUAAGGCAGGGAGAUCCUUUAUCCCCUCUCGUCUUUGUGUUGGCUGCAGACCUGCUCUAGUCAAUCAUCAAUGAUGCCAAGAACCAAGGAAUGCUCAGAUUACCUCUACCAGGAAGAGUAGGAACAUAUUUUCCAAUCAUCCAAUAUGCAGAUGACACUCUUCUUAUCAUGGAACCUUUCCCUACUCAAUUAUUGUUUCUCAAAGAUAUUUUGCAUACAUUGGCAGCAUCCACUGAUCUCAAGGUUAAUUAUAACAAAUCAGUCAUGGUACCCUUCAAAAUUUUUGAGGGAAACUUGGAAGAUCUCUCAAGAACUUUGGACUGUCACAAAGAUUCUCUUCCUUUCACCUAUCUGGGGUUGCCUCUAGGGACUUCCAAACCAAACAUUGAGGAUUUCAUGCCUCUGAUUCAGAAAAUUCAAAGAAGACUAAGCUGCACCUCCACCUUCCUGUCCCAAGGUGGUAAAUUAGAAUUGGUAAAUUCAGUCUUUUCUUCAUCAGUAGUAUUCUACACCUCAACGUUAAAGUUACACAAGGGAGUGAUAAAGCAACUGGAUAAGUAUAGGAAGCACUGUUUAUGGAAAGGCUCUAAUCUGAAUUCCAAAAAGCCCUCUAAAGCUGCUUGGCCUAUAUUAUGUGUACCUAAAAAUUAAGGGGGAUUGGGAGUCACAAAUAUGAACACACAAAAUGAUGCAAUGAUGUUAAAAUUCUUGCACAAGUUCUUCUCAAAAGUUGAUAUCCCUUGGGUGAAUCUAAUCUAGGAAAAUUACUACAGUAAUUGGCAUCUACUAGGUCAAUACCGAAAAGGAUCCUUUUGGUGGAGGGAUAUAGUUAAAUUAUUGGACACAUAUAAAGGUAUUGCGUCAGUGAUAGUCGAAGAUGGUUCCACAAUACUCUUUUGGAAGGAUCUCUGGAAUGUAAUUGUGCCUUCAUAAGUUUAUCCUGAACUUUUCUCCGUUGCCAAGAAUUCCAACAUCACCUUCAAAGUUGUUGUCAAUAUGCCAGAACUCAUCCAAAAUUUUAACCUUCCUCUCACAACUCAAGCUCAUGAGCAGUUCCUGGAGUUACAAAAUUCAUUCUUAACAUGCCAUUUGUGGAUGGGAUAGAUCAUUGGAGAUAUAUUUGGGGAAAUGCCUUGUUCUCAACAUCUAAAGUGUAUAAAGCUUUAAUUGAACAGAGGGUCGUUCACCCAGCAUAUUGUUGGAUUUAGAAGUCCAAAUGUCAGAUGAAACACAAGGUUUUCUUUUGGUUAUUGCUCAAGGAUCACCUCAGUACAAGAGAUCUUCUCCGAAGAAAGCUUAUGGACCUCGAUUGCUAUACUUGUGAUUUAUUCAUUCUACAGAAGAGGGAUACAAUGGCACACCUCUUUCUAUGAUGUAAUUUUGCCAAGGCAUGUUGGAACUCAAUUGGAGUUUCAGUAAUCACCACUAGGCUGCUCUUGCAAAUAUUCAUGCUCAUCAAGGACAAGCUUGCGGUACCUUUCUUCAUGGAAAUCAUUGUUCUGAUGACUUGGAGCAUCUGGACAACAAGGAAUGAUUAGAUGUUUAAUGGCAUUUAUCCUUUGGUGAACUUAUGCAAAAGGAAAUUCCAAUCUGAAUUCUCCUUGCUACUCUAUAGAGCACGUCUUGCCUUGAUUCCUGCUAUGACUGAUUGGGUGCAAUUUUUGCAAUUUCCAUGAAACCUACAUGUUGUUUUAGUUUUAGCUCCUUCUUUAUUCCUGUUUUCUUUUGUUAUACUUUGAACCUUUAUUUGGUUUUUUCUCCAAUUAAUAUAUAAUCAGUAGGGGCUUGCCCCUCCUAUUCUCUCAAAAAAAAUGAUGCAAGCGCCGACCUGAACGCCUUGAAUAGUGAAGGCCAUGUAGGCAGCUACACUACGCUGAUUCAUGAUAAGGAGAGAGAGAGAGAGAGAGAGAGAGAGAGAGAGGAGUUGCAACGAUGAUGAUGGAGCGGUCUCUGACAUCGAGCACACAGCGCCGCAGCCGCCGCGGCCAGGUUGGCACGGUUUCUGAUGCUGGCGCAGCGGCGGCUUAUGCUGGCGCCAGCAACGAGGGCAAAGCUACAACCGAGGAUUGAAGAAGUGGACGCGGAAGGAGGGGAGAGAGAGGUCAUGGUGGAGGAUUGUGCUAGAGGAAGAAAAGCUCUAACUGCAGCGGUGGAAGUGGUAGUAGCGGCUUUGGGAAGACCUAAAGCGCGGCAUAGCGUAUAGCCUUUGCUUAUGAAGUUCUAGGUGGCCAAGUCAGAUUCAAAGGAUGAGGUGGAAAUCGAGUUGGAGGAGCCGUCGACGGCCGAGUUCAUCAUAGAGGCUCAAGCUACAGGAUUCACAGUGGCUGAUCUUGGAUAGGUCGAGAAAGAAUUACAAACUCCAUUGUCGGUAAGUUCGAAUCAGUCUAAUUUGCACCAUAAAGAUUUGCUUUCGACAAAAAUUCUUGACUCCUUGGUUCAACGAAAGAGGGCUGUUAAUUCAUGGCAAGGUCCAUUACCAAAGCUAAGGAUUUCAGCACCAAGAACCAUAGAUAAUUUCAUGGACAAGCUGCGAGUAAUCUGAGCAACAAAAGUAGUACACGUUCAUGCCAACAGAGCUUAUCAUCGGCAAGUGCUGGUGAUGCUCAUGUUGGUUGCCGAUCGGUGCUAGCAAAAAUUGGGAAAGAACGAACUGCAUGUGCGUUAGCUCAUGAGCUCGGUGAGGAUCUCGCAAGGGCAAUAUCCACGGAGGAGGAAUCAUGAGAGGUUUCAAAACUCAAAACGAUACUCGGAUUAUUGGUGGGCCAAGAUGGUCGAGUGAUGAUUGGGCCUGCAGAUGGUUUAGGCCCACACCAGGGUUGAUCUCUUUUCUCACAGACUGGAACUAGGAGAACAACCAUAACUAUUCCUGCAAGCCAUUGCAAGCUCAAUGCACGUACGCAGAGGUGGUGCACUAUGGUGGGAAGAGAUCAAACAUGGCAGCGAAGGAAGGAGCAUCGGUGCAUGCGAACAACCAGGUGCAGUCGGGUGGUCGUAGUGGCGGCCAGGGCCAACUCCUCACAAGCUGUGGUCAGGGUUACAACCCUAGGUUUAUUCCAGGGUUCAGCCCAGGCUACAGCGAUAAGGGAGGCCAUGGCGGCUAUGGCCAUGGUAGCCAUGACCGUCGCGGUGGCGGCGGCAACUAUGGUGGACGUGGCGGACGUGGGGUGCAUGACAACUUCGACAACAACUUCUAUGGCAGCCAUGGAGGCUACCAUGGAUGCUACCAUGGGCGUGGCCAUGCUGGAGGCCAGUUUCCUAGUCGCGGUCGUGGCGCAGCUGGCUGGAAGGUAGGCCCUGACCAUCAACAAGAGCUUCUGCAGGAGAUGCUUGUAGGUGGCACUGUUCCUCCUCGGCAACUGGUGCUGCUGCUAGUGGUGGUUCUGUAGUGAUAGGAAAAGGCCAAGAGGAGAAAGUAUUACCAGGGACAUGUCUUACAAAGGGUCAUGUCCUUACUGAUUGCACUACGAUAAUUCAUUGUGGUAUGUGUGAUAGUGAUAACCAUGUCACAAAGGCAUGCCCAUAUCAAAAGGGUGCCAAACCUACAACGAUUCCAUGUGGCUUUGCAGUGGUGGGGCUGGGGUUUUAUUACAUCCCGUAUAAUGGUAAAGAAAAGGCACCACGUGAGAACAAAGUCACGGUAGUGAAGGUCACGAAAGGUUCCAUGACUAUGGCAAAUGUCAUAGCGGAACUAGAUCGUCUACUACCAAAUUACAAGGGUACUUGGAUUGUUGAAGAGAAGGGUCCGAAUAGGUUCGCAACCACAUUCCCAUCUAGCGAGGAUUUGAAGUGGAUGGUGUUGUGGGGGCCAGUGGUAACUAAAAAUGUGGAGGCAGUCAUGGAAAUUGAAGAAAGUGGUGAUAAAAAUAUUUACAAAUAUGAGAUUCCAAAAGUUUGGAUCCAAUUCCGAGGUUUGCCAAAAGAUUUCCUGGAGUUUCCUAUCAUCUGGGCUAUGCGUUCCAUUCUCGGAUCGACACAGAUGGUGGAUAUGAAGUUUACCAAUGAGCAUAAUACAGCUAGGUUGAAAGUAGCAGUACUGGCCCUUGAACUAAUCCCUGAGUGGGUGGAUGUUGUCAUUGGUGACUACGUAUAUGAGCUACAAUUUUGAGUUGAAAAGGAGGAGAAUGUGGUAGACCCAGUGCCCAUUAACAUGGGCAUUAAUCCGAAGGUUGAUGAGGAUAAUGAUGGUAAUGUGGGAGAGAAAAAGGGUGAAUUCAAUAAUGAAAACACAAAUGGGAAUGAUAACAUAACAGGAAGUAAAGAUGGCAUCAAUGGUAAGGCAACACCGUCAAUGGGGAGUUCUCAUUCAGGGGCUGUACUAGAUGCAAAGCUACAACAUACACAAGGGGCACACAAACCAAUGGUGAUGCUCACACCUUCUGGACCGCAGGAGCCAUGGAAGGCCGAGGUGAUGCCGGUAUGUGGAGUUGUGAAGAAAGGGGUUUGCCAACAACAGGAGAAGCCAAAAAACCUCACGACCAAUGCGUAUGUCAUGCCCACCCGCAGCAGCAAGCGGAAUGCAGUGGCAAAUGAUGAAGAUUCAGUGGAGAAAGCAACUAAACUAAAGGCAAAGAAGAACCUCGAUGUUACACAGAACAAAGGUACUAAUCUACUUUCGUUUGCCUCACUUGAUGAUUCUACUAUUUUUUCAAAUAUUAAUAGUGUGGAGGUGUCUUUAGGUUCUUCUAUUAACUGUAAUACCUUUGUUAGUGAGCUGAAAUCCACUAAGAUGAGUAGGCUGUGGGAGCUAGAUAAGGAUGAACACACUAUACAGAAUGAUUUAGCUGAAAUUAGUGAUGAAAAUUUAGAGUUUGUUGAAGAGCUUAACCCAUUAGAUUUGAAUCUCUUAUGCAGGGAUUUAGUUGAGGGGGUAAGCGAUUAGGACUGUGAACCAACACUUGCUCUACAUGACUCACGCGUAAGAAAAAUUUGAGCUCUCAUGGAAAGAAGAAAAUGGGGGGUAAGAAAUAAAAGAUAAUUGUUGUUAAAAUGAAAGGGAUUUUUUGGAACCGUAAUGGUUUGUGGGACUCGAGAAAAUUUAAAUUCUUGUCGGAUCUUACGAAAGAGUUAGGACUUGAUUUAAUAGCCUUAUUAGAGACAGGGAGGAGUGCCUUCUCAAAGUCUUUUCUUAAGAACUUAUGUGUUGAUAAAGAAUUUUUUGUGGCAUGCCAAACCCCCUAAAGGUCGCUCUGGUGGUAUGUUGAUAGGGAUUAACCUGCUGACUUUUGAUGUUGGAGAAAUAGAGGAGGGGGAAUAUUUUGUUAGAUUCAAAAUUAGGAAUAAAGAAGACGAUUUCAAAUGGAAUCUGGUGUCAAUCUAUGGUGCUGCUCAGCAUGAGCAGAAAGAAGCUUUUUUAAUGGAAUUAGUACAACUAUGCACUAAAGAAACCUUACCUACCAUCUUAGGUGGUGACUUUAAUAUAGUGCAUGGCCUUUCCUGUUUAAUGCAAUCAUUGAUGCGUUUAACUAUAGAGAAUUGGCAAUGUCAUGCAGGCAAUUUACUUGGGCAAAUAAUCUGCAAAACUAGACCUUUGAAAAAUUAGAUACAGUGUUGGCGUGUACAAAUUGGGAGUCCAAGUUUCCACAUACCAUUGUCCAAGCUUUAACUCGUGAGAUUUCAGAUCAUACAUCAUUGUUUUUAAAUAUGGGAGAUUCAAACACAUCUGGGAGUCAACCGUUGUUCAAAUUCGAACUCGGAUGGUUACUACGGGAUGGGUUAAGACAUGGCUUCUGAAUUUGGCAUAGUGUGCAAGAGAGCCAAACACCUCUAGAGAAAUAGCAAGCAAAAUUAGACGGCUUCGUCAAUAUCUACGAGGUUGGGCUAAAAAUAUUAGUGGUGCAUGCAAAAAAAGAAAAAAAAAACUACCUUAUAAGCUCGACAAAUUAGACAAAAAAGCUGAAACAACAAUGUUGAGCCCUGAAGAAGUAAACCUUAAACAUGUACUAAAUGAGAGGUUGGUAGAGCUUUUAAGGAAAGAGGAACUAAAAUGGUACCAAAGGGCAAAAAAAUGAAACCUUUUAUAAGGUGAUGGAAACACUAAAUAUUUCCAGUUAGUGGCCAACGGGAAACAUAAAAAAACAUGGAUGUUCCGUCUUGAGCAGGAAGGAGUCAUAUGUGGUGAUGCUGAUCUAAAAAAGUAUAUCACCAAAUAUUAUUCAAAUCUUUUUGGCCCAUCUGGUACAAAUAAUGUAUCCAUGGAUGAGUCACGUGUAGGCGAUAUCGCUCAGGUUUCAACUGAGGAAAAUGAUCAGCUCAUUGCAAAUUUUACCGAAGAGGAAGUAAAGGAAGUAAUUUUUCAGAUGGAGCAUAACAAAGCUCCGGGUUCGGAUGGUUUCCCUCCAGAGUUCUAUCAAGUCUUCUGGCACAUUAUCAAGGAUGACUUGAUGGUUUUGUUUGAAGAAUUUCACCAUGGGAUCCUAAUUCUCCAUAGCUUAAACUUUGGUACAAUAAUUUUACUACGAAAAAGUAGUGAAGCAAGGCAGAUCCAGCAAUAUAGACCGAUAUGUUUGUUGAAUGUUAGUUUUAAGAUCUUUACUAAUGUGGCCGCCAACAGGAUAGCAAAGGUAGCUCAUAAGAUAAUUAGACCUUCACAAACUGCAUUCCUUCUAGGAAGAAACAUACUGGAGGGGAAGUUAUACUACAUGAAACUAUACAUGAGCUACAUACAAAAAAGCAAGACGGAGUCAUUUUAAAAACUGAUUUUGAGAAAGCAUAUGAUAAAGUGAAGUGGGAAUUCUUGCAACAAACCUUACGAAUGAAGGGUUCUUCACAAACAUGGUGCAAAUGGGUAGAGGCCUUCACCCAAAGGGGGAAUGUGGGGAUCAAGGUGAAUGAACAAAUGGGAUCUUAUUUCCAAACUAGAAAGGGGCUGAGACAAGGUGAUCCAUUAUUGCCAAUACUAUUUAAUAUAGUGGCUGACAUGUUGGCUAUCAUCAUUGCUAGGGCUAAGGAUGUAGGGCAAGUAAAGGGAGUAGUCCCACACCUAAUAGAGGACGGUUUGUCUAUUCUGCAAUAUGCAGAUGACACUGUGAUUUUUAUGGACCAUGAUAUUGACAAAGCAAGGAACAUGAAAUUAUUGUUAUGUGUCUUUGAACAAUUAUCUAGGUUAAAAAUUAAUUUUCACAAUAAUAAAGUCUUUUGCUUUAGGCAAGCAAAACAACAUGAAACAGAAUACUCUAGGCUAUUCGGUUGUAAGUUGGGAACGUAUCCCUUUUGCUACCUUGGCAUCCCAAUGCAUUUUAGGAAAUUGAGUAGCAAUGACCGGAAGUUUAUCGAGGAACGAUUUGAAAAGAGACUAAGUGGGUGAAAGGGUAAGUUGUUAUCGGUAGGUGGUAGACUGGUCCUCAUUAAUUCAAUUUUAUCUAGUUUACCAAUGUUCAUGCUCUCUUUCUUCGAGGUCCCAAGGGGAGUUCUAAAGAAGAUGGAGCAUUAUAGAUCAAUAUUUUUUUGGCAAAAUGAUCAACAUAAGAAAAAAUAUAGACUAAUUAAAUGGAAAAUUUUGUGCCAAACAAAAGAACAAGGUGGUUUGGGUAUACAAAAUCUGGAUAUACAAAAUAAAUGCCUACUUAGUAAGUGGCUAUUUAAGCUAUGCAAUGAGGAUGGGAUUUGGAAAGAAUUAAUAAGAAAUAAGUACCUAAAUAACAAGACAUUAGGCCAAGUUAUGAAGAAACCAAGUGACUCGCAUUUCUAGAUGAGCCUAAUGAGUGUGAAGGACCGGUUCCUUAGCAUGGGAAGUUUUAAAUUGCAAGAGGGAACGCAAAUAAGGUUCUGGGAGGACAUAUGGCUGGGUAACCAGACAUUAAGAUCCCAAUAUCCAUCCCUAUAUAAUAUCGUUCGUAGAAGAUAUGCUACAGUUGCGAAUGUAUUUAGUUAUGCCUCUAAACAUCUCUUUUUGGAGAGUUUUAGUUAGAGAUAAACUAAGAGACUGGCGUAACUUGGUAGCAAGACUUUUGAAUGUUAACUUACAGGAAGGUAGAGAUACUUUUGUUUGGUCCCUUCAAGUUAAUGGAUCCUUUUCGGUGAUGUCCAUGUAUAAGCAUAUGAUUAAUAGUGGGAUAAUAGUCACUGAGGAAAUUUGGCGUACAAAGUUACCUAAGAAGAUGAAAAUCUUUAUGUGGUACCUAAAAACGGGGUAGUCCUUACAAAAGACAAUCUAGCUAAGAGAAAUUGGAAUGGUAGCAAGAUCUGUUGCUUUUGUUGCGUGGAAGAGACUAUCCAUCAUCUUUUUUUUUGAGUGUUCAUACGCUAGAUUUCUAUGGCAUGCGGUACAUAUUGUUUUUGGAAUUGCACCACCAUUGAACUUUGAGGAUUUGUUCCAUCAAUGGUUCAAACAGGUGGGGCAAAAAUCAAACCCACACUUAUUGACAGGGGCAGUGGCUUUGUGUUGGGCAAUUUGGCUCACAAGAAAUGUGUUGUUUUUGAUAAAUGCCAACCAAAAACUUUUAUGCAGGUUCUUAUCAGGGAAACGCAUUGGCUUCGGCAGUGGGCGUUGUUGCAGCGCAGUGAUGAGAUAAAGGAGACGAUGAUCCAGGCAUGCCAAUCACUGGAGGCAUCGGCUCUUCGCUUUUUUGCUUCCCAUGGAUGAACAUUUAGUUUACGGAUUGGCUUUUUAUAUUUUGGAUACUCUAUUCAAACCUUAUGCGAUGGUGCGUGUAGCGUUGGUCUACUACGUGUAAUAAUGUGUGGACCGAUUCCCUUUUGUUAAAGGAAUGAAGCUGGAACUCUUUCCAUUAUAAAUUCCAUUAUAAAGAAAAGGCAGCUACACUACGCUUGUCAGCUUCCAACAAAUGGAGGCGGGAGUAGCCACGCCAUGCAAGCAACGCGGACCAAAGGUUUUGAUGGUCCUGCUACUCCGAUUUUAGAAUCAGAGAUUCUCUUAACUGUCCGGAUCUUGACUAAAAGCGCACCACGUGAUAUGGCAAUGAGCGACCGUAUGAUGGAAGAAGUAGUUAAUUAUUGGGCAAGAGAGAAUUUUAUACCUUUUAUAAUAAUGAUAACACACACUAGAUUGUCGAGUCGUCCUUUAAACUCCUUCCAGAUUACAGACAUCAUGACAUGAGUUCUCUCAACUUUUUGUACAUGGGACGUGUUUCAAACUGCAGCUACGAAGCAAAGGAGCACAGUACAACACACCUAGGGAGAGUUCGUUCGUUGGGUCAUUCACGUGCCAAGCUGCGACUGGCGAGUGGUGCUCGCACCGAGCAUUGCCGGUGCAGCAGUUGAGAGUAGACGGCAUCAUUUGGGGGGAGUCGGGUCCGGUGUCAGGGACGGCCUCCGUGUUGGUGCACAAAUACAGAGAGCUUCCCCAGAAGUGGUUCCUGGAACAAGUCGGACACAUGCAGGCCCCUACUGAAAAUUGAUGCAGUGCAGUCCUCCCGCUUUAGGGUGCGUUUGGUGAGGCUUCAGGAGCGGCUCCAGCAGCGGCUUCUACUAAAGCCCUACCAAAUGGGCACUCCAAGAAUAGCUCCUCGCGUGAAGCCAUGAAGGAGCUGGAGUUCUUUUUUAUUGGGAGGGAGAAGCCAAAAAUAGUGGCUCCUUCGGCUUCGCCCCGUCCCUGCGCUGUUUUGUACCAGAAUGCCCCGGGCAGUAGCCGUUGCAGCACUAAGACUAGCAGCGGCUAGCCGGAAAAGAGGAGCGGUGGACGCAGCACGACGGCGGGAGAGAGCAGCAGAGGCGGCACGGCGUCGGUGUUGCGUGAGUGGAGAGUGCAGCUAGGCACCAGCAGCAGUGCUGGAGCUAUGGUGGCACCUGCGAUGGGACCGGCGUAGCGGGGCUAAAGACACGCGCUGCUCGUGGGGCAACGGGACGGAGGAAGGAAGAGUGGGGUGGAGGCGGAGGUGGAGAAAGAAGGCGGCUGAGUCAGAGCAGGACGGCGGUGAGGUGGGGCCGGAGCCUUGUGCGGUGCCUGGGGACGUGGCCGGAGCGAAAGUGGAUGAUGGAGGGUCAGCGAACGGGGGGGGGGCAGAGGAAGGAGGGAGGAGGGUCGAAGUAUUGGAUAAGGUAAGAGUGAAAAGAUAAGGAACUAAUGGGAAUGGAUAAGGUAGAAAAGAAAUGGAGAAAGAAAAGAAAAAUAUUGAUCAUUGAAUAAGCCAUACUUAUAUGCAUUAAUCGUUUUGAUUUCAUAUGAAAUGGCAUUAUAAAUUGAGAGAAAACAUAAAAUUCAUUUCACAUAGCUGGGGCAUAUUGGACAUUUGACCCUUCCAUGCAACCAUCAAAAUAUAGGUGAAGUUGUUUUGCUAAACAUUUUUCAAACCGGCUCCAUAUUCACCACAAAAGCCGCUCCACUAGAGGAGCAGGGUCAGAGCUGGAGCUAUUUUUGGAAGAGUUGAAGUCCUACCAAAACUAAGUCCUUAGGGCCUGUUUGGAUGACAUGUCCUAAACAUGUCACAUCGGAUGUUCGGACGCUAAUUAGGAGGACUAAACAUGAGCUAAUUAUAAAACUAACUGCUGAACCCCUAUACUAAUUCGCGAGACGAAUCUAUUAAGCCUAAUUAAUCCAUCAUUAGCAAAUGGUUACUGUAGCACCAUAUUGUCAAAUCAUGAACUAAUUAGGCUUAAUAGAUUCAUCUCGCGAAUUAGACUCCAUCUGUGCAAUUAAUUUUAUAAUUAGAUUAUAUUUAAUAUUUCUAAUUAGUAUCUAAAUAUUCGCAGACAUGUCAUCCAUGCCCUUAAUUUCUGGCUCCUGACUCCCUGUGUCAAACAGGUACUGAUGUGGAAGAAGGACCGGCCAAGGCGUGGUAGUGCGCGCGGACGUGGACUCGGACCAAUCACAAGUUCACUUCCUGUUGAGAGCCUAGCCUCUCUGAUUACUCCGGACCAAUCACCGGGAAGAAACGGGACAGGGCACACAAGAAAAUCGUUUGUUCAGCGUGCUUGCUCUGCUUCGCUCGUAAUCGCUGCGUGACUAGGGCAGGGAGUCGCUUCCCAGAAGCCGCAUUUCAUUUCCAGGCAAGGUGUCAAGGUGAAAAAAGAAACAAGUCGUGCGAGCAGAAUUAUAAGACCAUGACCUCAUAUUAUAUUGCAACAAGUCUUGUAUGAAUACGGCCUACCGCUCUAGAUUGUAUCGAUACAAGUGGAACGUGGAACAGUCCUAAUAUAUUUGGCAUUCAUACACUACGAAUACAAUGCGCGCGACGCAGUGUGUAUAUAUUAAGCCCGCUCGUUUUCCUCCUGUGCCACGGCAUUCUCUAUUCUUAAAUCUGAAGGGUCGUUACGUAAGAGCAGCAUGACGCGCGUGCAGGCAGCUAGCUAUCCGUUUGUUUCUCCGCCACAUUAUUUCUGGGUAUGGGUAGGCCUUACGGUUACGGGAGGCGGUUUUUGUUCUGGUAGAGCCGUAGUGCUACAAAAAGCAUGGACCAGUUUGCGUUGUGUGGCUGUACCCCUGCGUAUACAACCACAUCAGCUCUUUUUCAAAAAAAACACAUCAGGACAUCACUAUAAUUGGACCCUUGCCCCAUAUGUAAAAGUGUGUAUUGUAAAACAACCAGACUUCGUAUGGAUGUAAAGGAGGACUAGAAGUCCUAGUCCAUUGUCUGGUUACUUGUAGGCUCUUACCAAAACUCUAAACUUAGUUCGAAGUAUAUAUAUCGGAGGAGCACCCCUAUUAUAUAUCGAUAUGAGGAAUUAAAAAAAGCUCCAUCUAUAUUGCGCCUUAUCUUCAUGUCUACUUUCUCAUGUUCGUGUGCUUGUCGUGAGAGACGUGAAUCUCACGUGAAAGGGAGAAGAUCCGACCACUGACGUACGUGUAAACACCGGCACGCUAUUUCCAUGCAGUACUCCUGCUGUCCUGCUCCACAUGUUUUCACUUUCCCAGUGACAAGUGUAGGAUAAUCCAGCUUGGAUAUUCGGACGGUCAGAUGCCAAAGUAUGGGGUAAGUUCAAGCCUAACGCAAUAAAACAUUCAACUUGGAGAUUCCUACCGUGCAAUCGUAUAUUUUUCUUUGGAACCGACAAAAAGAGUAUAUGUCGAAUAGAAGAACAGACACUACGUUCAUGGUCCGAAGGUAGUGGGACUGCUCCUGCCUGGCCGGAUAGUUUUACCAGGAAAUGCUCGGACUGGAGUUCACUACAAAUCGGAGCCGGAAGAGCGUUAGUCAAAUCGGUUUGACUAGGUCCUAUAAUUCGUAUUCAGCUUCAAAUAAUACGGCCUUGGAUUCGGUCUGCGUCAAGAGUCCGGCCAGCACUAGCAACCAGCCACAGCGUUCGGCCGGCUCGCACCUGAUGAUGAGCUGAACCACGUACACUACACUGCAGAUGCUGCUCACCAGGGCAGGCUCCACAGCGCCCGGCCAAUUUGGUCUGCAGUCAACCGCUAGACAUACACAUAACACAUGCACCAAAAGGUUACCGUUGGCCAAGCGGUUUUCUUUUCUUUUUUUCAUCUUAUAAGCGACACGAAUGCACGGCUGCACACACACACAAGAAGGGUACCAACAGGAAUAGCAACGUACACGUACAGACACCGUGCUAGUAUCACUGCCUCAAUCAACGAAGCCGCCGUCACCUCCUCCUCCUCCUCCUCCUCGAUUCCCCGCUCUGCCCCGCCUGUCCUCUGUGCCGCGUGCUGUCGGGUCACGGCACAGCUGGGUCCCGCGAUCGACCGAGCCGACGGCGACCGCGGACGGACAUGAUGUAUCACGUCGUUCACGUGCGUAGGUGUUGGUCUGCUGUCGUCUACCUGCGCGCCCGGGAAGAACCACCUGCUCUGCUGCCGCGGUGGCCGUCGUCCUCGCCCUCGGCAGCGCCGAGCUCGGCCGUGGAGAGGUCGUCGGCGAACGCCAUCCGCCGGAACAGCUCGAUGUCCGCCGAGUACUGCCGCGAGUCGUACGCCGUGCUCUGCCCCAGCUUCACGCCGUUGGUCAGGUCCGACGAGCACUCGUCCACGUCCAGCGAUCGCCAAACCUUCCCAGACCACCGUUCGAUUAGGACACGAGGAGUGCUAGUAGCUUACGAGACUUAUGCCAGUGGGUCAGAGCGUGCUGGUUAUACCUGCACCAUCUUCGGUCUCUUGGCGGCUGAGUGGCGCACGCACGCGGCGGCCGCCUCCACCAUCCGCCGCAUCUCCGUCUUGGAGAACCUGCCCUCCAGCGCGGGGUCGGCGAUCUCUCGGAAGUCGUCCGUAUCCAAGGCGUCCAUGAGCAGGACCCGGGCCUGCAAGCAGGAUUUGCGCAUGAGUGCAGCGACGUGACACCAACUGUAGGUGUAUAUGCCAGGAGAUGGUAACAGAAAGACAAAACCACUUGAGGUUCAGGUACCCAUUCGACUAGGCUCUCUUCUCCCAGGGGCUGUGACGCGUCCACGGGCUUCCGCCCGGUGAUGAGCUCCAGGAGCACCACACCGAACGAGAAGACGUCGGAUCUGUCGGUCAGCUUCCCGCUUGAUGCGUACUCCGGUGCCAUGUACCUGCGGAGCAUUGCUGUUCAGUAAUCGCAAAAAAAAGAGAAAAAAAAUUGAUUGAUAUUCAGAGGGUAGACGAUGUGAUGGAUUCAGCAAACGCAAGGCAACUAAUUUUUCUGACAAAACAGGCCAGGCUACAAGCCCAAAGCCUACAAUAAUCUCCAAGACGAACUGCUGGUUGAGCCAACCGAGAAGGCUUAUUUCUAGCCCAUUACCGUAACGUGAUUGAUCUAUGAUGAGUUCAACAGCGACGUGAUGCUUUGCUUACCCGAACGUGCCCAUCACGCGCGUCGAGAUAUGAGUCAGCGAGUCGUUGGUUAGUUUAGCAAGCCCGAAAUCUGCAACCUGUUCGCCAAAUCAGUCGUCGUAUACCAAGACAACAUACAGAGUCAGGCUUUGGAGCUUCGGGAUGUUGAAUUCUGUGCUGCAAGUCAACUAACCUUCGCCUCGAAGGCGUCGUCUAUAAGAAUGUUGGCCGACUUGAUGUCCCUGUGUAUGAUCCUAGGAUGGCCUGCAAAUUAACGUACGAGAGGCAGUUCUUAGCCGUAGGAAACAGAGUGACAAAGCUACCAAGGAUAGGAGCAUCGCACGAUGAAGACGAACUAACUGUCGUCAGUCACUUACAGUCUUCGUGCAGGUACGUCAGCCCACGCGCCGCGCCGAUCGCAAUCUUCAUCCGCUUAUGCCAAUCCAUCACGGGAAGUCCUUUUCCUGCAGAUCACAUCCAACACUCCCAUUCAGCAACAAAGUCUCCACAAGAUUCAUUCAUGGAUGCCUGUCGAAGAAGAAAGCAAGCUACGGAUCGAGUAGUAUCUAGGUAGCAGACCGUGCAGGUGGUGGUCGAGCGUGCCGUUGGGCACGAACUCGUAGACGAGGAGGCGGUGGUUCUCGGUGACGCAGUAUCCGACGAGCGUGACGAGGUGGCGGUGGUGGAUGCGGUUGAUGAUGUCCACCUCGGCGCGGAACUCCUUCUCCCCCUGGCCGCCGCCCACCUUGAGCUGCUUCACCGCCACGCGCCGCCCGUCGCCCAGCGCGCCCAUGUACACCUUCCCGAACCCGCCCUCGCCGAUCACGUUCUCCGCCGAGAACCCGCCCGUGAUGCCCAACAGCUCGUCGUACGUGAACCACGACUUGGACCCCGACAGGUCGUACGAGUUCGUCCCGCUCGGCGACGGCGCCGCCCCGUUCGACAGCUGGUACACGUCCGGCGAAACCACGUCUGUAAAUAAUUAACAACCGCGUUUAAUUUAACAGCUGCGAAGGCAUGAAUGAUAUAACAGGUGAACAAUGUCGGGUGGGUGCGGGCACCGACGUUCCGGCACGACGACGUUGUUCUUGCGUGGCGGUAGCGACUGCCGCCGCCUCCCCCGGUUGUUGUUGAAGCACGCGAAGAUGAACAGCGAGGCCAGUGACAGGAGGAGCCCGGCCACGGAGAUCACGAUGAGCACCUCCGUCUUCACGUUGCUGCCCGAGCCUCCCGCGGGGGGACCCAGCGGCGGGGCGAUCGCGCCGGAGCCAGGCUGGCCCCUCCACGUGCCUGAAGGAGAGCCGGACGCUGGCAUGAUCACCGUAAGGCCCAUUGGUGGAGGCCGCAUCUGGUGAGCCGGACUCUUCCCCGGGGCCGGACGUGGCUGAGCGUCCGUGUCUGGCGGCGUUGAUGGGGCCUCGUGCGGCGGCGGCGGUGUUUUUGAUCCGGAGCCGGACGUGGCAUUUGGGGGAGGUGGAGGGCUCGCAGCUGUCUCUGAAGACGAGGGUGGCGGGGGCGUGGUCGAUUCGAGAGGCGAUGGUGGCGUUGAUGGCGCGGGUGGAGGCGGCGAAGAAUGCGGAGGGGGCGGCGGGGGCGACGUCGACGGGGAAGUGGGAGGAGGGGACUGGUUUGUCGGCGGCGGCGAGGGCGGAGGCGAAGCCGGAGGAGGCGGGGACGCCGUCGGCGACUUCUCCGGCGGACUCGACUUUAUCGAAGAUUGCUCGAACGGCGACGUCGGGCUGUGUUGGCCUGAAGGUGCCGGAGGCGGUGGAGACUGCUGCGCCGGUGGCGGCGGCGGUGGUGUCGGCGGCGGCGGAGACGACGAGGAAGCCUUCGGCGGGGGUGGCGCCGACGACUGCGGCGGCGGCGCAUUCGGCCCCGGCGGCCCUCCCGCGGGGGAUGAGGCCUGAUGCUCGGUCGACGCCAUGAGGACGCGCGCCAUCACAGCGCCGCCGCGCGCUCACCUCUGCCGUCGUCGUUCUGGGGGAUCCUUUAGGAGCCGGAAUGGCAUCUGAAGCGCACGCCGGCAGCGGGGAGGCAGCGGCCGGGCCUCUCACAGUGGCAUCGGGAGACGCCGGUCCGGCGGCAGGCAGGCCGAGCUAGGCGGCGUGGAGACACGGAAUGAGCCUCGCCUUGGCGAGAAGACGGCCGCCGCGUAUUGUGCUUGUGCCCUUUUCCGUUUUCCUCCGUAAUUUUUUUCGUCUGUUUUUCCUUGUCUUGCUUUUCUUGGAAUGGGUGGAGGUGGAACAGAGCAGCUGCAGGGAGCAUCGAGAAACAUGGGCGGCCGUAGGAGGAAACCGCCGCCAACUUGAUUGUUUUGAGCUCGUCAGGAAGACGAUGCCAAUGCAGUGAUGGACAGGUGAGCUAGCUCUUCACCUCUCUAAAUUAAGGUUGCACAUGCUAAAUUUAGGUACAAUGCAGGUGGUGCAGAAGAUGUGAGAAUUGAGGAUACUUAUAGCUAAUGAAAUGAACAGGUAGCGCAACCGCAAAUGAGAGCGUUCCAAACUUCGAGAAGAAAAUUUUGACAAAAAUUCAUAAUGUAGCAGACUCUCCUGAAUUGUGGAUGGAAAAACUAGCACAAAGAAGGUAGGUAAGUUGUGAACUUGUAGGCGUGCGGCCCAUCAUAACCAAGCCCAACCAGUCCAAGUCAAUAAAAAUCAUCUGGGCCAGUAACUCAUUCUAAGUUGGGCUUCUGCAGUUAUGAUGGCCCAUGGCAUUUUCAGGAGUUGUUUAAUCCUACUUCUAAGUUCAAACAAAGCACAUGCUGAAGUGCAUUUGAAACCCCCUCAAAAAAGUAUAUAUUUGGAAUAUUCACACGCUGACUUUAGGUACUCGCAGAUGGAAGAAUUUCUCAAAUAUGAAUUUUAAGAAACUAUGCAUGGUAUAAUUUUAUUCAUAUAAUUUUGUAGAUACUCGUGCAACGAUCCUCAAUUCCUCAUGCAGCUUUGAAUAUUUUUCAUGUUUUCCAUGGAAGAAACAUGCCAUAUGCACGAAGUUCCACUAUGUUAAUUAAUACAUGUCCUACUCGUACUUUGGGUUGUUUACAAAGAAUACCAUCCUCCAUCACGUGUUCUCAGCGAUAAUUCUUGUGUUUUGCCUUUUGCUUCAACGGUGCUAAUCAAUCUAGAAUGGUUGCCCCUCCCCUUUUUUUAAAAAAAAAAAUAGAAUCUCUAUCUCUAAUGUCAAAACGUCAUUAAGACACCAUCACAUCACUAGCAGAUCAACCUCCCAGCACCCUGUAUCAUCCAUUACCAAAUUUAUCAAGCGUAAAAACCACUCUGAAUUUGGGAGGGUCUAGGACGUGGGGGGGCACUGCACAUUGAACUUCCAAACUUUUCAGAGUAGAAAGUCACGGCUGGUCCAAACCUGAUUUCUCAAUAAAUUUCUUAAGGAACACAGUAGUUCGCACCUAAAGGUUUUUAAUGAAGGAAGAACUGGCCUCUCCUUAAUUCGAAUCCCUUUUAUUAAUUUGGCAAGACCGUAUUACAUACGCGUAAAAAUAAAAGAUCACAGCAUUUGCUCCUCUACUACUCAAGCUUUUUUUUAUUUUUGACAAAGGGUAGUACUACUCAAGCUUAGCUGGCUCCCACCAACAGAAGCCGCAAGGCCAAGGAAGCCGAGGCCGGCAAGGACUCUCGGAAGUAAGAAGCUUCCUGCUGCUUGGUCCCCAAGCCGGUCCGCCCUUCAUCUAGAAGGAACAGAGCUCGUUGCUUGGAGUACCAGUCCACCAGCUAGCUGCUGAUUGAGGAGGAUCAAGAGCACAAAAGGCUGUGUGACUCCACGUCUCUACCCAACCCAAGGCAGGUCCGCCGUGGGACCCGUAGCUAGUCAGGGCCUGCCUGCUUAUCCACGCCAGCCGUUGACCCGCUUGAUGAGGAGCUCUCCUCCUGCAAGUCAACUCGGAAGCUUGUCAGUGCUUAGUAACAGAGGUUGUCUUGCCUGUUUGGAUGGAUCGGUAGGUAGAUGUUGUGCAAGUCGCACAUUAUUUGGAGGACUGGAGGCAAUCUGGAAGGAGCAUUUGUUUUUCGAACUGCGCGGCUGCUUGAGUAACGACCAUGUCCAUGUGGAACAGAUGCAGCACUAGGGUGCAUCUAAUUCCCGACCAACCAGCGACUUUCCUUUUUUUUUUUUGAAGAUUUCAGCUCUGCAACUUUUCAUUUUUGAAGGUACAAACUUAUGAACAUAUUUUUUGCGUAUAAUUUUUAAAAGAAAAAAAUAUGAUCAUAACUUUUUUAUAUAAUUUUUUACAUAUAUUUUAGUAAACAAAGUUAUCAUGAUAACUUUCUUGCAUAAUUUUUUUCAAAGCACAACUUUUACGCAUAACUUUUUACCGGACAAAAUUAUCAUACAACUUGUACCAUAUAAUUGUACUAAUAUAACUUUUACAAAAUAACUUAUAUAUGUUACCAUUUCUAUGUUCGAAAACUUAUACACACAACUUAUUGAAUAUAAUUUUUGUAUAUGUAACUCUUUCUAGUCAACAUAUAUAUUUGAUUGUAGUAUACACAAAUAAAGUGGUAGAUUAAAUAUAAGGAGAAAAAAGAGAAAGUGAAAGGAAAGGAAAAUUGUUUGCAUCUCACGUGUUAAUGAUUCUAUUAGUAUGUGUUAGUCACGAGUUGAAAAUUGAAAACGAAACAGCCAUGGACAGUUAAUCAUGAGUUGGAAGAGUUAAAACAGUAGGAUCAUCACGUCACUUUUGGAGUCCACUCACUAAGGGGGUGGAUAGGGAUGUUUGGAUAAGUUUAGUCCGUAUCACAUCAAAUCUUUGGAGUCUAAUUAGGAGGAUUAAAUAUGAGUUAAUUAUAAAAUUAAUUACACAGAUAGAGGCUAAUUCACGAGACGAAUCUAUUAAGCCUAAUUAAUUCAUCAUUAGCAAAUGGUUACUGUAGCAGAACAUUGUCAAAUCAUGGACUAAUUAGAUUUAAUAGAUUCGUCUCGCGAAUUAGCCUCCAUCUGUGCAAUGAAUUUUCUAAUUAGUCUAUGUUUAAUACUUCUAAUUAGAAUGUAAAUAUUCAAUGUAAUAGGUACUUAAAAAUAAGCAAAGGAACCAAACACCCCUUAUAUCGUGUCCCGUGUUGAUCGCUGGAAGCGCUGCAAGCGCUCACGCGCAAAACCAAUAUUGCGUGCAGCACUGUCCAAUCUUGGUCGUGUGGGCGUACACUCAGGGGGUGUUUGAAUACCCCUUCUAAGCUUUAACACCUAUCGCAUCGAAUGUUUGAUACUAAUUAGGAGUAUUAAACAUAGUCUAAUUACAAAACUAAUUGCGCAGAUGGAGUCUAAUUCGCGAGACGAAUCUAUUAAGCCUAAUUAGUUCAUGAUUUGACAAUAUGGUGCUACAGUAAUCAUUUGCUAAUGAUGGAUUGAUUACCCUCAAUAGAUUCGUCUCGCGAAUUAGACUCCAUCUGUGCAAUUAGUUUUGUGAUUAGCUUAUGUUUAGUCCUCCUAAUUAGCAUCCGAACAUCCGAUGUGAUCCUGCUAAAGUUUAGCACCUCGUAUGAAACACUCCCUUAAUCCGGGAUACGAAUUCCGGGGGACAAAGAAAUUCUGUUCUAGAAGCCGCGACCACAGCACUACUGCGGCUUUCAUCCUUGUCGUUGUCACGGAGUAUGCCCUUUUCCACCACGAGGAAUGGGCACCGCUUCUAGUACUGGUUUGUUUCCCAUUAGAGAUCAGUCAGCCUGCAGAAGAUGGCAGAUGCAUUGUAUUGUAGUGGGACUGGACCUGGAACGGAACAUUCCAUGCCUGCUCGGAAAGCGGGGCCAAAUAUUCCCGGCGUUCCAUGACGGGUGGAAUGUCCUAAUAAAAGCGGCCGAGCUUAUCAGUGGCUGCUGGAAAAAAGUGGAGCCGUUGGAACGAGGCGACGACGAGGGAAGACGGAGCUGCCCGAGAUGAAGUAACAAGCCCACCCACCACAGCGAAGUAUCGGCGCCGGUGCCUUUGGGCUUUGGUGACGGGGGAGCGAGCGUGCAUGCCGGUUGCAGUGGUCUCUUAUCCGGCGUGGCGUACUCCAUGGGACUGGACUCGCAGGAGUUUGACUGAACAAAGCAAGCGAAGCAUGUAUUGUGCCAUGACGAGUGACUGCGAAUCUGUCAGCGAAAUGAUCUCACGUGAUAACGAAAAUUCAUUAUUCUAAGAGCAAAUAAUCAGGAAUUCAGGAUGAUAUUUGCGUGGGGCUGCGGGAGUGCAGCAGGUUGCCUUGCGAGUUGGGCACCUGAAGGCCAUCCAUGCUGGCUUGCUCCUCCGCCACAAAGUCGGAUCUCAUUAACCACGGAUCACAUCCGGAGACGAAGUUCGAAAUUACCCGCCAAGUUCCUCCGGUUAACGACGCACGAUAACGCACGUCCCCAGACUUGCUUAGGCCUCCCGCGCUCCGACGCCAAGCUCCUGCACGCAUCCUCGACGAACCGGCCAUCCCCGUCGAGAGGUGUAUCCUGAGUUGGCGCGUGCAACUCCUCACGUGCGGUGGGUGCCUGAUCUUGACCAAUGCGGUUAUGUCUCUGAAGCCGGUGUACGCCAUGGCGGUGAUCUGCCUACAUCUGUCCACCAUCGAGCGCAUUGACAAGCCCUGCCGGGACAGGCUCUGGAAAGGCACUCCACGUUGCUUUGGCGGGGAUUGCCAGGUCGCUUGGACAACUGUGUGUAGGCUCAAGGAGGAGGAUGGCCUCGGCAUCAUCAACACCUGCCUCCUUCUCAAGAUGGUGGACAAGCUCAUCACCGGUCACAGUAACCCUUGGGCGGACUGGGUCAGGUUUUGGUACUCACCGGAACGCCGCUCGCCUCCAACGUCCUCAUGGAUUGUCUUCCAAGGGCCGUUCCCCCUCUACAGGGCGCUCACCGGCGUGGCGCUCGGGCGGGGCGACUCCACCCUCUUCUGGCACGACAACUGGUCGUCAGCGGGGGCGCUCGCCACGGCGUUGCCCGCACUCUACUCCCAUUGCACGGCGCCAGGCAUCAUAGUGGCUGUCGCAUUCCAGACCGAGAUGCUCUUCCUCCCCAUGCAACCGCACUUGAGCGUCGCUGUUGUUGCGGAGCUCUCUACCCUCUGCAACUGCCUCAACGGGCUCCGCCUCAGGCCGUGAUGGAUCGUCAUCACCUUCUCUGGGGUUAUGAAGGCACCUUCCGCUUGGAGCGGUGUACCGAUGCUCAAGCAAACCGGGUGUGGCGCGCCGCUCGCGGAGGCCAAUUGGGACAACUUCGCACCUGUCAACGUGGGAGGGUCUUCUUGUGGUUCCUGCGGCACGGGAACACGCGCACUAGGAGCUUUCUUCAUCGCCAUGGUGGGCUGGGGACUGACCUAUGUCCCUGCUGCCCCGACUCACCGGAAGACUUGGAACACCUCUUCUUCACCUACCCCCACGUCUCUGCCUUCUGGGCUGCGGUCAACCCUGGAGCGCCUCCUCAAGGACUGCUCGAGCUGACUGACACCGUCCCCCUACCCUCCGAGAAGCUCUGCCACACAGCCUCUCUAUUGCUGUGGGUCAUCUGAAAAAGCCGCAACCAGAUGGUGUUCUGCACCGCCAUGGUGGCCGAGGUGGCUAGCCUUGUGUGGCUAUGGGCCAUCAGGGCUCCCUGGCGGCUGGACCUCACCCCCUAGAUGAUUGGUGCUCCAUCAUUUUUAUGUAAUUUCUGCUUUUGAGUGAUUUGCUUCCCACUCUUGUGUACUCCUAACACGCCGCACCGGCGUUAUAAACACCAUCGGGUGGGCGAUCUCCGCCCACCGUUGCCGUCUAAAAAAACCAGGUAACGCACGUAUGUGGUCAAAUGACGGAUUGAUUGAUACGAGAGACGGUGCUCUUGCUGGCACGCAGCACAUGUGUCGUACGUGCGGCGUUGCGUGCGCACAGCGUGCCUACCACUCGGGGACGUUUGGUUCUCUUUGCUUAUUUUUAGCACGUGUCACAUCGAAUGUUUAGAUACUAAUUAGGAAUAUUAAACGUAGACUAUUUACAAAACUCAUUACAUAAGUGGAGGCUAAAUGGCGAGACGAAUCUAUUAAGGCCCUGUUUGGAAAGGGGGUGUUAAAGUUUAACACCCCACUUUUAACACUUUUUAAUACUUUCCUAUCCAAACACUUGUGUUAAAAGUGGGGUGUUAAAGUUUAACACCCUAUUUUUCAUAAACACAUGGAGGGGGUGUUAAAACUUGCUAAAGGUGUUAAAAGCGGUCCCCCUCUCCACUUUUUCCCAGGUUACCCCUUCUCUCUCCUCCCUCUCUCUCCGCCGGCCAUAAAUGAGGGGGCAAUUGAGUCAUUUCCCACCAAAGGUGUUAAAGUUUAAUACAUCAUCCAAACACCCCAAUGUGCUAAACUUUAGCACUCUAUUUGAGAGUGUUAAAACUUUAACACUUGUUAAAUUUUAACACAGGGUAUCCAAACAGGCCCUAAGCCUAAUUAAUCCAUCAUUAGCAAAUGUUUACUGUAGCAACACAUUGUCAAAUCAUGGAGUAAUUAGGCUUAAUAGAUUCGUCUCGCCGUUUAGCCUCCACUUAUGUAAUGGGUUUUGUAAAUAGUCUACAUUUAAUAUUCCUAAUUAGUAUCUAAACAUUCGAUGUGACGGGUGCUAAAAAUAAGUCAGGGGAACCAAACCAGGUGAAAUUAGCUUCACGCUCAAUGCUCUUAUUAGAGUCAGUUUAGACACCUGAUGAAUGCUACCGUAUGAAUUUUGCCACCGAUCAUUUCCGUCCAGUUCCUCUCGGAUUCUUUUUUGAGUUUGCAAGUUUUGUGCUCAAAGCUCUACUAGCUUGGUACCACGAGAGCUCCCGGGUCAUUCAGUAAGCAGCCUCGGACAGUAGUACUCUUCGGUGCAACGGAAAGAAAAAACCAAAUGCACGAAGUACAAACACGCGCAACGCGCUCGCUUCGUGCACAAGCUUAAUUGACCCUGUUAAAUUGUUAGCUAAGCUCUCAAGGGAUCGAUUGAGCUACUAGCAUGAUUUCCUCGUUUAGUAGAGUAGCAGUUCUGAUGGAAUGGAAGACUCGUGUGGAAGAGAACAAAUCAAGUUGCUUCAUACUGGCAAAAGCCAGAAGGCCAAUUAAGCACGAGGUUGUGCAAGGGAAAGGAAGCCUGUCAUCGGAAUCGUUAUGCCUACGCGAACCGAGAGUUCAGAUAAACGCACCAGGUUCGGGUCCUAAUUAGCCCCGCUAAUAAGUUGAAACCCGGCCCAACCUGCUUUAAAUUAACUCAUUUCCCCAUCCCGCCCCGUCCUAUAAUUUUAUUGUCUAAACCCAACCCUACUCGCUCCAUCAAUUGAUAUAAUGUAUAGAUUUGAUAUGUGAAAUUAUGAACAUAUGGGCCCCGCAUAAAGAGUCAGACCUUAAAACGAAAACCUCACACUAACACCUUAAAAUUUUAGAGAAAUUAAUCGAAAUUUGUUGGAGAUGACUCAGUUUGACGGUCCACUAUUUUAUGCAAAUUGUCGCGGCUGGACUUUAUAUGGGCCCCGCGUCCAAAGCUAGACCGUAAAACUAAACCUCGCGUUCACACUUAAAAUUUAAAAUUUAAUCAAAGUUGAUCGAAAUUUGUUGGAGAUGACUCAGUUUGAUAGUCCAUUCCUUUGUGCAAAUAGUAUGAACUAAAUCUACAUAUGGGUCCCACGUCAAGAGCUGAACAGUUAAACCCAUACAGACUGAAAGAAAAAAGAACCACUUCCAACCCGCACUCGUGAUAUACCCAACCCAUUAGAUGCUAAAAUCGAUUUUAACCGAUUCACACACACCCCACGUCACAACCUAUCCCAAAACCCAUUUCAACCCGCUCCAUUAGCAGGUAACCCGGAGUAUAUCCUCUUCUCAAACAUAGAAAGGGAGAAAAUAGAAACUGCUGGCUCGUAACUCGUAUAGUCCGAGAACUAGGCCCCAGGAGCUGUGCGUAGCCGUACACAAGCCGCCAGUACGGAAUGAAUAUACGGAGUGGAGAUGCUAGUCCAGGCCUCCAGGGUGAUGCGGCGGCAGAAGCGGCGACUGGCGUGGCAAGGCGGCAAAGCUCACCGUGCGACAGGUAGCGCAUUUGGCCAAAAGUCCAAACGUUUCACGGCGCCUGGAAAAGUGCCCUUCAGAUGGCCCCCGACGCGUCAGGCAUGCACGGCACUCGGGCAGCACGGCAAAGUCGGCACUUGGCACACGGGCGCGCUCGGGCCGAGAAGGCGGACGCGCGCGGGCGCCGCCCCCGCUUCCAAGCAGGCGGGAAGGAAGCCACCAGGAGUCCAGGACGGCCGCGAUGCGGGCACUGCCGGCGCGCUCUGACCUCAUGGCUCGUGCAACCGAUGCCAGCAUGUAUGGAACCGCGCCGGGGGUCUGGCUCGCCCUCGCACCGCCGCGCCGGCGCCGCUACACUACACGCGUGAAUAAAGUAAGAAGGUACUGUCGCGGUGCUGCGAGGCGGCGACACCUACGCGGGGUUAGUUGCCGCCCUAUCCGUCGGGCCGUCCCUGGUUCCCUGAAUCCCUGCCCACGCCGAGUAGGUCUUGGCGAUCGGGUGAUAGAUUGGUUUGGUUUGUGUUGCAGCAAAUCAGGAGGCACAUGCCCAGACUCGAAUCGUUGUCCCGUGGCAAAUUUUGGAGCGUGUGGCGUCUCCCACGUGUCGACAAGUAUAAUACACCAGUGACGCAACAAUGGAUUAUGGUUAUGGAGUUGGAACGAGUUUUCACAAUUUCCAUGUGCUUGCUCUCUUCUCUUGCGUUCGAUACGGCGGCUCGUGAGUCGUGAUUAUAGAAGAGAAGGGACCGCGCGCGUGUUGCCAUGCGAAGUAAUGAAAUGGCCGGUCCGGUCGAUGGUGAUGACAACCGUACUAUGCGGGGCUACCACCAGGCCCCCGGUGCUACGGGCGAAAAGUGCAAAACAAACAGUUCAAUAUGAGAGUUUCUGUGCGGAUGAAAUUUCCCCGUUGCACACGCUAUUUGUCUUCACACCGAACGGUAUUCGCAACACAGCUGGAUCACAGCCUUCCCCAGUUUCCCCUUGAGCUUACAAGACGCCUACGUGCGCAUGAGCUUUAUUCGAUCCAGCCGACUCCGCGGCCUCUCUAUCUACAGCUGACCGGAUUAACGGCUGCUUGUCUCGUCACAAGCAAGCGCGAUCUAAACCAAUUUUAACCGGGCUAAACCAAUGCAAAGUGCUCAUGUUUAGUUGGGUGACUAAAAAUAUCCCGGUUUGAUAUGCUCAUGUUUGGUUAGUUUGCACAAGGUGAUAAGAUGGUCCUGUAUUCGCUAGAGGUGAAAUUACCACCGUCCCAUCCUCUCCGGUCCUCUCCUUCCUCCCCCUCAUCUAUUACUCCUCCUAAUCCCCAACCCUGAUGGUGCGCUGCCGCAUCACUGCCCUCCUCGCGGUGUCGCUCCUGCUCCUGCUCACCCACCCGGACUCCUCCUCCCUUCCGCCGCCACCACCAACACCUCGUACGACAAGCUCCGCCUCCGGGGCUACCCUCGGAGCCUGCUCCUGGCAGAGUGUAGCUAUCAAGCACCCCAAAAUUGGGUGAUGGACCGAUUCAUGUCCGCAUUGAGCUUCGCCACAGUCGGAUAAACCUCAAGCAUGGUCGAAUCGAGCUCCAGCGCCACCCGCGAGCCCACAUCACCGCUCGCCUGCUCCCUCCGGUUGGGGUCGUCAGCCCGCUAGACCGCUGGCUAGGCGCCCACCGCCAUGAGCCGCGCCUCACCGUCGCACCCCCGCCACCGCCGCGAGCCAGCCGGGUGGCACAUACCCCACCCGCUUCGCCCAUGGUACCUCCGUCCCGGUUAGCAGCGCGUCGAGCUUUGAUGCGCCAAGGAGCUCUGGAGGCCGCCGUCGUCGCGACUGAUGGCAGGGCGUAGGUGCCCGCGCAGGUCCGUUGGGAAGGCGAGGUACGGGGUGUAUUCCAGCAGGGAAGACGAGAGGGUGAGGCGACUCUGCCAACUUAAACCACCGAGGCUUGUACGAGCCUACAUUAGCGGAAACGGACGCUCGCUACGUUCCCAGGAAUUCAGGCAACGACCCCUCUUUUGCACUACUGAAGCUAGGCUUAGGAGCAUCCAAUCACAUACAUGCUACAUUACCGAAGCCUAUUCGGGGAACCAAUCACUACUCGUAGGGGGUGUUUGGUUCCACGGACUAUAGUCUCUGUCACAUCGAAUGUUUAGAUACUAAUUAAGAGUAUUAAACAUAGACCAAUUACAAAACCAAUUGCACGGAUAGAGGCUAAUUCACGAGACGAAUCUAUUAAACCUAAUUAAUUCAGCAUAUAUUUACUGUAGCAUCACAUUAUCAAAUCAUGGACUAAUUAAGCUUAAUAGAUUUGUCUCUCGAUUUAGUCUCCAUAUAUACAAUUGAUUUUAUAAUUAAUUAAUUUAAUCCUUCUAAUUAGUAUCUUGAUGUGACAGGAAGUGAACAUUAGUCCGUUCAACCCAACACCCUUUUCGAUCCAGCCGAUUCCGCGGCCCGACCCGAUUAACGGCUGCUUGUCUCACAAGCAAGUGCGAUCUCGGCAAAUCCGGCGGACCCUGGCCCUCUUCGAGAAUUUUCGCUAUAUCAUGUGUAAACCCGGGAAAAAAGUUGCAGCAACUCGCGCACACGCACACGGAACGCAACCGACACCAUCCCCAAGAAAAGAAACGAACACCGCGUGCAUCACGAGUGACGUGUAGCGGGGCCGAGGCGGAGGCGCCUCCCGUCCCAAGCUUAACAGAGCAGGCGCCGCGCGAGUCAGAGGCUCAGAGCCCCCUUCCCUUCCAGAAGGUCGCCUCCCGCUACCGGUUUCCUCCUAUUUAUACGCCGCUCCCACCUCCCCAACCAACUAGCAGUUGCUUCCCUCCCUUUCUCCGAACCCCCAAUCGCAAAGAAAUCGAGCAGCGGACAAACGAACAUGCGGGCCAUGGCAGAGGACAGGCCGGGUGGCCGCCGCCAGGAGCGAGCCACCGCGGACCUUCCGAUUCCAAGAGACGACGGUGGCUCUGUGGCGUCCGACGACGAGGACUCCGACGGCGAGUUCGAGUUCCCCUCCGUGAGCCGGCAGCCGGCGGCGGCGGGCGGGGGCGCCGCGGCGGCGGACGAGCUCUUUGCGGGCGGCCGCAUCCGCGCGUUCUACCCGGUGUUCGGCCGGGUGCUGGACGACGCCGCCGCGGCGCCGGCGCCGAGCUCGAGGGCGCCGCUGGGGCGGCUGUUCCAGCUGGAGCAGGCGCGAACCUCCUCCGUCGCGUCCACGUCCUCCUCGUCGUCUUCGUCGUCGGCGUCGAUGGCGGACGCUGAAGCGAGGCUCGACGGCGCGCCGCCCGACAGCUACUGCCUCUGGACGCCCGGGUCGUCGCCGGCGUCCUCGCCCUCGCGGCCGCCGCGGAAGAGCGGGUCCACGGGCUCCAUCGCGCGGUGGCGCCGCAUCGGGGAGCUCGUCGUCGGCCGCAGCCACAGUGACGGGAAGCAGAAAUUCCUCUUCCUCUCCGCGCCGCCGUCACCGGCCAGGGACAGGGACCACCACCAGUCCCCCGCCGGCUCCAAGUCGAAGCCGCCAGCGAAAGGAAGUAAAGCCGCGACCGCCGCCGCCGCCACCGAGCUCGACACGGUCGCCGCGGGGCGGCGGAUGUCGUACGGCGGCGGCAAGGCGUCGCCCGGGGGGCGGCGGACGUUCCUGCCGUACCGGCAGGACCUCGUGGGGCUGUUCGCCAACGCCCGUUCUGAGCCCCGACGCGCCGAACCGUCGCAGCCGUGGAGGACCCGUUCCAAACAGUGAGAUUCAAGUUUGAAUCUGGGAUUUGAAAUUUCAGACGAUUUGACCUGGUGAUCCCCUGCAAACCUUCUUUGUGAAGACCAGUUUUAGCAAUUUAGCAUACGUGUGGGGUUAAAGCGGCCAAGCAGGUCAAAAAGAACAAGUGUGAAAGUCAGACAAAGCAGGGGAAAUGUGAGCCUUCCUUUUCGGAUUCGUCGCGGCAAUGAGGUCCGAAGUCGGUGGCAGCCACUUGAAAUUUGUGAUGAAGGUGGUAGGCGAGUACAGUACUACGGAGAAGUUGAAAAAAAGUUCGUAACUUUGUAUAUGUGACUUUGUACAUACGGUGUAUACAGGGAGUCCUCCCCCUAAAGUUUAGCUCCUGUCAUAUCGAAUGUUUAGAUACUAAUUAGAAGUAUUAAAUAUAGACUAUUUACAAAACCCACUAUACAGAUGGAGGCUAAACGGCGAGACGAAUCUAUUAAGCCUAAUUAGUCCUUGACAAUGUGAUGCUACAGUAACCAUUUGCUAAUUAUGAAUUAAUUAGGCUUAAUAGCUUCGUCUCGCCGUUUAACCUCCAUCUGUGCAAUUAGUUUUAUAAUUAACUCAUAUUUAGUCCUUCUAAUUAGUUUUUAAAUAUUUGACGUGACACGGAUUAAAGUUUAGCUCGAGGAAGCAAACACUCCCAUAAUGUAUAUUAGCGAAGCAGGUGGUCAUAUUUGCGAGGAAUUCACCUUCCCUUGUUAGCAAUCUAUUCCAACCAGUUUUGAUUUUCAGCAAAGCAGCUCGCCAGCCCAGGCAGCAGCGCCAGCCGCGGACGCCUGAGAUCGCUGCCUUCGAGGCAAGUUUGGCAGGACUCAAAGCAAACAGGCUCAAGUUUAAAAAAAAAAAAGCAAACAGGCCCAUGCGUCAUCCAACGGCUCUUUCAAAAAAAAAAACCCGAGAUAUCAGAAAAACUAACUGCGAUUUGACCGAUUUUCAGGCAUCAAUAUUAUGUUUGGUUCGUAUCACAUCGGAUAUUUAGAUACUAAUUAGGAGUAUUAAAUAUAGAUUAAUUAUAAAACUAAUUGCACAAAUGAAGGCUAAUUUGGGAGACGAAUCUAUUAAAUCUAAUUAGAUCAUGAUUUGAUAAUGUAAUGCUACAGUAACAUGUGCUAAUGAUGGAUUAAUUAGAUUUAAUAGAUUCGUCUUGCGAAUUAGCCUCCAUCUGUGUAAUUAGUUUUAUAAUUAGCUCAUAUUUAGUUCUCCUAAUUAACCUUCGAAUAUUCGAUGUGACAUAAAUUUUAGUUCGGACUAAAGAUCCAAACAUCCUCUUAUUUUUGCCAACUACAGAGCUGCUAACGCAGUAUGGUUUCAGUUACCAAAACUUUCCCAUUUUUCUUUCACCUGAACAGAGAUCGUUUACCGAAUUCUUUUCAUCACCUAGCGUUUGAGUUGACCGCCUGCCCGCGCGCAGACCGUAAGUUGCCGGGAGCAGAGGGAAGACCGUAUGGAAGAGGGUCAAUGCGUUGCCGGUGCAGAGCCACUUGCUAACAGAGUACUCCUCCUCAUUACGUACUCCAGCUCUUAAUCACGCAAUUAGCCAAUAGCCACUCCACGAGCUUGUUGCGCGCAAGCUGGCAUGCAGACGUGCGCACGUACGCUUUGGACCGGUCAGCUUGGCGCUGACACUCCCAUCCGAUCCAACUACACAAGCAGAGCCUGUCCCUGGGUUGCAUUGCGUUCGGUAGUUUCAGUCAGAAUUCAGAUACAGGUCAGGUUUGUGGUAAGGUUUCGUUGUGGCUGGUGCCGGUAGAAACUCCAAAAUGACGGAAAGGGAACAAGCUAGCUGCACCGGAAUUUUUACCAGGACCUGGCGUUAGUCAACCGAGUGAACGGGCGGAUUGCUAGAGAUCGGGGAUGACACGAUCGAGCUUUUAAUUCAGUGCCUUUUUCUCGCGCGCGUCAGAUCAAUCUCGCGGAUUGGUUCAACGGCGGGGACCUGUGGCUCCACGCGUUCGCACAGACAGUGCCUGCCUCGGACAGGAACACUGGUCGUCUCCCGCAUUUUACACCAGGACACCGGGGAGGCAGCAAACGCGUCAAAGCUAAUCCGGUAAUCCCUUGUCGUGCCAGUUCCCUUCUUGUGCAGUAAUAACUGGAGCAGCGAGUAUACGUACGAACUCGGUGCCACGCGAUGUGAGAGAUGUUCAGCUUUCAGACUCACCUAACUGCAACACUGUGUUUGGUGUGAUUAGUUGCAGGCUAUGUAAAAAAGGGGACAACUCGACGGUAAAAUACACAAGUCAACAACUAAAUUUUGCGAGUUGGUUCUUGCGUCUUGACCGACACAGGUCAGCCGGUGUUGUUUUUAACCUCCCAACCGGGAGGGUGUCGAAACAGCUAAUGUGGGCGAACAACACUCGUCGGAGCACGUAAAACAAAAUGCCCGGACUGAGCAUCUGACUCACCACAUCUUGACCUUUUUAAUCUCGACGGAGCUAUCCCAUGUCUUGUUGGGGAAUGAGCAUGUGCGCUUUCACCUACCUCCUACUGCAUUUUUGUGUUCCUUGAGGAUGGAGCAGUCCACGACAUAUUUGAACUUCCUUCUUGUCCUGACCUGCAUAACCUAACACAGCAGACGUAUGCACCAGGUUACUCUGGGGCUGAUUGGUUCGCAGCACGCCCCCUCAUCCAGACUCCACGCGUGCGAUCUUAGCAUGAUUGGUUAGGUACUGGGUUUGAUCCGCAGCAUGCAAAAAGGUCCCCGAGCCUGACUUCCAGGGUGCAGCUAGAACCUUCGUCUCCUUGGAGCCUGGCUGGCUGGAUGCGGCGUCGAACACGCGGGUAAGCGCAUGUAAGAGAAAAAUAGGUACAUACAUGUAACCAAUCAAAAUCUCCCUAUAACCUGACUGACACGAACCAAGCAACCAAUCAUACACCUCUUGUGCGCAAUAAGCCUGUCCUAGCCGGCCUGGCUCCCUCGUACGAGGUGGGCUACGCUGAGAAGAGAAUCAAUCAAACCCUCUGAAAUCUGAGCACUGGUCGGGGAAGGAGCGGUGUUGGAGAACUGCCGGACGAGAAGUGACAACAGUGGAUUCUUAAUUCCUCGGUCUUACGUCGCUGUUUCGGUUGUUUAUGGAUUUCACGUUAGUCACAAGUACAUUUUAAACUGGAAGCACUCACUAGAGCAAACCCUAUUUAUCAAGUCGUCAGCUGAAGUUACAGUUGCCAAUCUAGUUUGGGCCGGUUUGGGGUUGAACUCAACUACAUUGGGCUUUUCUAGGCCUUCAGUGGGUUGGGCUAUACUCCAGGGGAAAAAACAAAAAUGAGUGGGAAUACUAAAGCCCUUAUACACAUCAACAUGGUGUCCUUUUCGCAGUUGUGUACUUGACAAAAAUCAUUUUUUAAACGAUGUACUUGACAAAAUCUUGCAGUUUCUAUAAUGUUUAUGCCUCUUCUUGCUUCUGCCCAGCAAUUCCUUCAUUGUAAGUUUUUCGAGAUGAAUUGUUUAGAAGUUCACCUCAAAACCAAGAGCUCUUUUAUACUCCCUCUAUUUCAUAGAUCGUUUUGGUUUUCCUAAUUUCAUACGUUUUGCUAUGUAUCUAGACAUAACCUAUAGGUAGAUGCAUAGAAAAAAAUCUGUAUCUAGAAAAGCUAAAAUGACCUACAAUUUUGGAUAGAGAGAGUAGUUGUUUAUAGGUACCAACGUUUACUUUGAGGUACUUUUUUCUCCUUUUUUUCACUCUUGAUUUGGAAAAGACAAUUAAAAAAAUUAAAUUUAUGGCUCCCCACACAUUGUGUGUGGUGGUCGGCGACACCGAGAAGACAUUCAUCCUUCUUGAUCCUGUCAUCCAAGGCUCAUGGAGGAUCUCGACAUGGUAUCAAAACCCAACCCCGCCCACCACCACCACCAUCAUCAUCAUCAUCACCAAUCGCUGACCUCACCUUUUCUCCUAGUCCCCUCUGAUUGGGCGCCGUGUUGACCUCCACCUCCACAGGUUGAGGCCCCUCUUCGUACUAAUCUGUGAUUAGGCUCAAGUGACACGCUUGUUCAAAAUUUGGCGAUCGAUUUUUGUUGUUUUAUAGUAGCCUACGUGGUGUAGUAGAUGCCUGACUUGGACCUGUCAGAUGUUAUUGCUCCUAAUCCAAGGGUGGAAUUAGCUUUUACUAACGAUAUGUCAUAUCCUUUUGCAGUGCAGUUUGAUGCUAUCCUCAGUCAUCUCAAAUCAUUAAGCAGUGGUUAUUUUUUUUACCAACAAAGGUUGGUAACAUGAAUUUUAACUGUUUGAAAAUCACAAUUCAUAUAGAAUUCAUAAUCUUUGAUUUGUUUUGAGAGCUCAGUCUACCAUGCUUAGAAUGAGCUAUUUUGUCAUCACACUCUAUUGUACGGCCUAGUUGAAUGAGCUAGACCCGGCAAGUUAGCAACUUUGAAGCUUCUGGAAUGUGAGAUCCUAUAUGCUAAUCCACAUUAUUUAUCUUUUGCAAGCAAACAACUACAGGGGACCAUACCUUUCCAAUAUGUGCUAUGUUGUAAUUAUAAUUUUAGUUUCAUCAUGAUUUGUGAAUUGUUGAUUGAGAUGGCACAUUUUUCACUUAUUUAUCAUGCAUAAUGUAUUGCAUUUUUUUACUAUUUUUGUAUAUAGGGUAAUGUGAUCUGAGUACGUAAUUGGUCAAAUAACACUUUUUGGUUGAGAACUAUGAAAAUUGGUUAACUUUGAAAAUGUUGAGGAAAUAGCAAGAGUUAGUUAGCCAUUUACUGUCAGGCCAAUAUUGGGAAAGUAUAGGCACUUGUUUCAGUUAAGUCACUCUAGUUUAACAUCUCAAUUCAGAGUUAUUUUAUUUUCCAUACUAUGUUAAUUUCUUUUUUCUACCUCUUUGUAUCUUCUAAUGACUUAGGUAUGUGUACUUAUGAUUUUGAGGAAAGUAGAGAAUUGUUAAACCAAAGCGUAAAAUAUAAACUCCAAAAGUUUGCAUUAUAUGCAAUUAGACCAUAUUACUGAAAUAAUAAUCCUUGCUCCGUUACUGCAUUUUACUGGUGAAUUUUGUCAUGGUAUCCGCUGCGCCUGGUUGUUUGGUUGGGUGUUGACGGUCGUUAAGUACCAAAUAUGACUGUCAAUAUACUCAAGAAUAAAGGAGGAUUGACAUUUCUUACAUGCAUAUUUGGUUUUGAAUAAUGUAGUUCCACUUGUCCUUAGAGAUUAUUUGAUUGUAGGUGAAAUAAUAUAAAAGGAUGGAGAAAGCACUGGAUCCAAGAAGCACGCUUCCAACCAAUGGGAGGUUGCCACAUGUGCCUCCCAUGGAUUGAAGGGCCCACAAACUACCACAACCGUCUCAAUCCACCGGAUAACACACGCAACCGUCAUUGGGAUCCACCAGGCAGUCACCCGGAGAAAGGCGGUUGCAAGGAGGACCCACAUGGGGUCGGCCGAACCAGGGGUUCAGCCGAACCGCCAUUGGCUCCUCUCGCCUCCAGCCUUCACGUGGCAACGAUUGACAGGCCCCCUAUGUCGGUUAUAGGAUAUUUCUCGAAGAUUCCCUGCCAGAGCCGCCUCUUGGAGCCUAUAAAUAUAAGGGUAGGGGCUCCAUUCUAGGACACACACCACAAGUGAAUCAUUUUCUCCCUCUUAGCUUCCAAGUUAGUAGAGUUAGGCUAGAGUAGCUCUCCUUUAGGUUCUAGGUCUCCUUGGAGUCUAGGGUAUAACUCUUGUAUCUUUUAUUCCUAGGUUGACGUUAUUCUAUUCAAAGUAUACAUAUUCUUUAUAUAGUAUUGUCCUUGGUUCUUAUAUGCAUGAGUUAGAGAUAUACGCUCAUAUGUUGGUCGUAUACCCUUGCUAUCAUAGUAUAGGCUUAUAUACUCUUAUGUAUGCCUUGAGACCAUGCUUCAGUACAUACUCUGUGUGGGGACCGUCCCUCGGGUGUCCCCACUUAAGCAAUACAGUGCUAUUUCCUGGACCAGAAUCCAGCACCAGCAUGAAUCGAAAUGUUUAUCAAAGUAAGAGGGGAGAAAAUAGAAGGGUUAUGAUGGUGUCAUCUUCACCUUUAAGGAGUAAGCAGGAAGCAAUCAAUGCACAACGGAAAGAUGAAAGCUGGCUCCCUAGAAGACUUGACAAAACAAGCAAGAUUGAGUACUUUUGCCAAAAAUACUCAGCAAGUAUCUUAACGUUGAAAAGUUAAUGACAUGUAAGGUAAAUCAAGGUAAGAUUGGAGUUUUUAUGCAGAAAGUUUGUAUGCAAGGUGUAACACCGUUGGGGCUUUUUAAAAGGAAGUUGUUAUUAUGAUAAUGUUAUUUUAAGGGGUUAUGAAACUAUCUGGGUAAAUUUUAGUAUUCAAAAUAGAGGAUAAAAGCAUGAUCAAGGGGUUGGUGUCAAGACUUGCCUUGCUUGCUGAGCGACGAAAUCGAAUCUUAGUAAACAAAGAAAUAAACAUGCAACCAAUCACCUCAAAGUUAUCCAAAGCUCAACAGAAGGGUUUUAAGAAGGGUUGUGAAGGGGGUGGGGCUGUGGGAUAGGAUUUAGACGGCUUUCCUAAGUUUCUUGUGAUUUCCUAUAUGUCAUGUGAUUUCUCCUAUAUUUUAUGUGGGUUUUUUGAUGUAAGCGCAUGGGUUUGAGGAUGACUUGAUGGUGGUUUCUGUGCUAUGGGGUUUGGAUAUGUGCUAAGAAUUUCCUAAGCUCUUAGGAAUGAUUUGGAAGUUUGGCAUGAUUUCUAAUAUAAAGAAAAUAGGAUUUAUUAAGUGGCUUCCUAGUUUUGGGGGUUUAGGACAUAAGUUUGGGGAGUUGAACUCAUGAAUGUGUCUAGAAUAUAUUCUAAUAUUUUUAGGAAUUUAUUUGAUAUUUGUUGAUGAUCGUUAAGUACCAAAUAUGACCAUCAAUAUACUCAUGAAUAAAGGAGGAUUGGCAUUUCUUACACGCAUAUUUUGUUUCGAAUAAUGUAGUUCCAGUUGUCUUUGGAGAAUAUUUGGUUGCAGGUGAAAUAACACAAAAGAAUGGAGAAAGCAUCUAUACUCAUCAAUAUACUCAUCAAAACAUAUUUCAUAAUUUGCAUAAUAAUGAUGUUAGGUAAGAUUUUAGAAAAUUCCUAUAUGAUUGUUGUUCGGUAGAUGAGUUUGAGAGGAAAUUGGUAGAGUUCUUAGAGAUGAAUCAAGUUAUAAGUCAGGACAAUUGGUUGCAUUAGAUGUAUCAAAUGAGGAACCUAUGGUGUGCUGCAUAUUAGGAGUACAAUGUUUCUUAGGAUUGAGGAGCAACCAACGGAGCGAGAGCCUAAGCUCUAGACUUCAUAUGGACAUUGCUGUUAAAAUGUCAUUAUUUGACGUGCUACAACACUAUGAACAUUGCCUUGCAAUAUUGCGCAGAACUGAGGCGAAGUUUGAUAUUGAAGUAUUGCAAUCCGUUCCAUUCAUAGAGCCAGAUGCUUCAAAUAUUGAUAACCACAUUGCCCAAGUGUUCACACCUAUGGUCUUUGACCUGGUCAAAUGGAGCAUACAUGCUGCCAGCAAAUGCAUUCUCCUUGAAUUACUAAAUGGAUGUGAUUUGAUUUUCGUACAUUGUGGUUAGGAAGAAUAGUACAGAGACAAAUUUCAAGGUGCAUUGUGUAUUGAAGGAAGCCUCGCUGUUCUUGCCGUAAGCUGCCAUGCAAUGGCACACCAUGUUCGCACAUAUUCUAUGUUUUGAGAAUAUUGCGAGUAUAUUGACUUCCCAAGUGGUUGCAUGUAUAUUGACUUCCCAAGUGGUUGCAUGUAUAUUGACUUCCCAAGUGGUUGCAUUCCCAACAGGUGGAUGACGAGUGCAAAGUCAAGAUUUCCUCCAACUACAAAAAAAUAGCAUAUAUGAUUAGUCGAAAAGCCUGGAGAGGUACCACGAGUUACGAAACUUGAGACAUGCAGCAUCCUUUAAGCCAUAUUAGCCUACUGAAUCAUAUGAGCGUAUGAAACAUGCUCGGCAAGGAGAAGCUAGGACCCAUCUAGUGGUAAAAAAAAAUGAAUGCAUAAGAUAUGGUCGCUACUUCCACAAAACAGCAAUUUGAUUAUAGAAAUGGGGAAAUAUUAUGGAUCUUGUGCAUGUGAAAGGCCGAGGUGGACUGAAGAAAAGACUGAAGGCAAUGAAGAAGAAAAGAUCAACAAUUAAAUGCAGUCGUUGUCAUCAGGAGGGUCACAAUUGGCGUGCUUCAGGAUCACACAACAUUUUGAUUAAACCAUAUGGUGCUUCCCUCGCAAGGUCGAGGUAGUACAUUUUAUAACUCCAAUUUAAUCUAGCACACUCCAAAGUAUACACCAAGGGACACAUCUCCAGUUGGCAGGUUUCUUAAAAACAUACAUGUCCUUCCUCCGUGAUGUUUUUCGAGGUUAUAAAAAACUUCCACUUCCACCACAUGAACUCUAGUUUCCAUCACAAGAUCAUGAAUUACAACUAAUCAGCUCAAAAUUACAAAAGUAUAUGAAUAAUGAAUAUGUAGAAUUUCAAAUGUGCAUCAUGUGCCAUAUAAUUAAAUACCGGUUCUUCUUCCUCAGAAAAACGAUAAUGAAAAUAGGAUAGGGAGAUGAGGUGGGCCAACUAAGUUAAUUCAUAUACCACAUAUUAGAAUAUAUAUUUAACAUGUUCUCAUUCUAAAAUUUAAAGGGCCUCAUUAAAAACAAAUGAACCAUGAGGAGGACCAUGAACCUUGCCAGUCCUCUUAGUGGCUACGUCCCUGCUAGAAAGCUUUGUUGUCAUAAAUUGUGUUUUCAUAAGUUCUUUAAGAAACUUAUUUAAAUAAGUUUUUCAACAAACUUGUUUGAAGAAUUAUGUUGGCAAACUUGUUUGAAGAAGUUUGUUUUACAAACUUGCACGAGGAAGAUUUCUAUGGAACUUUUGAAGAAAUUUUCAUGAAAAGUUAUGUUAUAAACUUUCUUAAGAAGUCCUCCUAAAACAGUCCUUCUGAUAAGUUCUCGAAAAAAUAUCUCCUAAAAGUUAUCAUGAGAAAUUGUUAUGGGAAGAUGCGGAGAACAAAAAAUAUCAAGAGAGGAAUUUGUCAUUGUUGUAGCGUUUGCCUUGUCUCCUGGGCUUGUUGUCCUAGUCAUGCUCUGUCUCGACCUGGACACCAAGCUCACCAUGUGUCUAUGGUGUCGCCAAAAUGAGCACAUCCUGUUAGCUUGUCAAUGCUCAAGUGUCAACCUUCCACGUACAUGUACGCCGUUCCCUUCCGUGCGCAGGCAGCAUAAGUAAUGGCCCGUACGCAAGUUCUCAAGCUGGAGCUCUUCAGCUCCUUGCUAGGUCACUGGCAUGGUAUGGCUCGCGUGGGCGUGGCAAGCUGCGUUCAUCGGAACAGGAUCGACCGCGCGGCGGCAUGGAGCAGCCGUGCAACCGCAAAACUUCGGCUUGGAGUCCCUGCGACUAACGGGGGAAUAGAGAAUACGGUGGGUAUGGAGAAAGGUAAAUUUACACUUCAUUUCUACUAUAUAUGGCGUUCACUUCUUUUUCUCUCCCGUAGCUGUAGUAAGAGAGUGUGUAUAUGGCAUUCAACCGCAUCUUGGCGUGCCCAGAAUUGGAACCUGCAAGUUGGUGCUACAGCCAGAGUGCCAGUCUUUCACGACAGUCAUCCCCGGCCACCGCUACGGAUGCCCUGAGUGCGACUACGGAUGCAGAUGCGAAGGUCUGGCUGCAACUGCAACUGCGACGCAACAUUCUCAAUCUUUCAGAGCGACAGGGCCAAAAGAAGUAAAGAACACCUCGAUGGAGCCUCAAGAUAAUGGCCACUCGGUCGAAGUUCCCAAAAGUGAACUGCACAUGGAACUCCCUCAAAUGCUGUUCUGACGAAAGAGAGUUCUCAACCCUAAGGCAGGCAAUACGCAAUUGUUGUGCUGAUCUCUCUAGCAAAGUUACCAGGCGUCUUGCUGCUGUACAGCGGGGCGCAUGGGAGCCUGGGCCCAAAUCCAGCACGGGCCAGCUCGCCGAAAACAAUGGAACAAAAAUGGCCCGUGUGAGUUCAAGCGCCGCGGCUCAACCUGGUGAUGGGCCGAAUGCUGAUAUGUCUUCUCCAUCCAGCGGGUUUUGUACCUUUUGUACCACGCACGACCCCAACCAAGUUAAGCAACAACACUAAGCCAACCUCCGUUACCCUGGCUCUUAGCUCAAAUGCUCAACACAGGAUGAAGCCAAGAGCUAGGAACAAACCGUGAGAGCUAUCUCUGGAUGAGUACUGGUGUAGACCCUGCUCGUUUUUUUCCCAAAAAAAAACAGAGAUAAAAACUUACGAAUUCUGCACCAGGCAAGCAGCGCUUCGCCGACGUGUCUCAACCUCCAGCACGCUGCUGCCUCUCGAACCAAGAUCACGCGUUCAAUCACCCCCUCGACAUCACCUAACCACCACCCAACCAUCCGUCCCGGUGAUUAAUCAACGGCACAGCCACACCACACCUGCGCCGUCAGAGACCUGAACUCCGAUAGAUAUAUUUCACCGGCGCGCCAAGAAAAUAAACCCCCAUCACACGCUUGGCGCUCUGCGGCUGUGCCACCUGCAGCCCAAGCCGACCCAACGCCCCCCCUCGCCGCAGUCAGCAGCCUCACCAUUCACAUGCACAUCCAAGUAUCCAAUAGAUACAGACAUACAGUGAUCCACCACAACAGAUACAGACAUACAGAGAUCACCACAACCGCGAGUCAGCCACCCAGCGUUUCUCCUCGACGCCGCGCCUUUCGUUUUCGUUUCCGUUAAGCCCCGCCUGGCCGCGCGCGCUCCCGACAUCCCCCGUGUGGUCCAGGGCGCUGGUGUGCACACGGCGCGCGGCCGCCGGCCACACGGUGCCCCGGCGCGUUAUCCCGAGCCCUAUCCCAUCCCACCGUCCCCGCCGCCGAGCGAAGCGAGUGGCGCACUGGCGGAUGAGGCGCCGAGUGGCCCGGAUCCACCGGCCCAGGCGAGCCGCACACGUACGCCGGCGCCGCGCACCUGUCGGCACGCGGGCGCGGCGCAUCUAUUUCUCGGGAGCGCGCGUAUAAGGAGGCGGCACGGAGCAAGGGGCACUCUCACAGACGAAUGUCUACUUGCUUCGCUGGGUUGAGCAUCGUCGCAAGCCUCGGCACCCCCAAGCCGUCCUCCGCCUCCGCACGCCCCAGGCUCAUCAGGAACGCGCCCGUCUUCGCCGCCGCCACCGCCGUCGUGGUACGUACGUGCAUGCAUCGAUCAAUAAUGCAUGGGCAUGGGCUCACUACUGUACCGCACUGCACCGACCACAUUGUACAUGCAUGCAUGUCUAUCCACUUUCUCUUUUCAGUGACCAUGAGCCUGAGCUGUGUAACUAACAAGUUGGCACGUGUCCAUGUCCUUGCUAUUAUCGGCACGUCACACGGCUCUUCACGAAAUGCACUACUGCAAAAAGCAAAAGCCUCCCUUGUCCCUUCCCACAAUCUCGGAGGUUGGUAGCGUACAGACCAGGACUUUCUGAAACGAAACAGAAUCCAAGUGCCACGCGAGUGUGCAAAACGGACCACACGGUCAACUAAUGAUGCACCUUGCAUUGCCACCUUUGGUUAAUUCUUCAAGCUCAAACCACAUUUUUCCUGCUACAGAAACAUACGUGUGCCAUUGCCCUCAAUAACAAUAGAUUUUUCCCUUAAAAAAUAAACGUUCGUGUCUUUUCCUAAGAGCAUGGAGGCGCCGCACUGUUCCGUUGUACCAAGAGCCAAUAACAAGGCCCAGUCUGCAAAUGCGGCACGCCAUAACCCAUAACCUCAUGUUCUACCCCUCCGUUUCUAUUUAUAAGGCAUGACAUAACUUAGCACAGUCUUCCAAAUUACACUUUGACCAUUCAUUUAUCUUAUAUCAUAUUAUUUAUGGUUAUAAACUUAUGAUCAUUGUAAAGAUUAUUUAAUUACGCAUCCAACCAUAUAAAUUUUAUAUUAUAAAAAUAAAAAAUUGGUAGUUAAAUUGCUAGUUAAAGGUUGUAAAGUUUGAAUCUAGAUAUGUGCAUGUCCCCUUACACAUAACAUUUCAUUUCAACCAAUCAUUGCAUAGUAGUAUAUACCAGGUCAUACUUUUUCUCCUGCUAAUCUAAUCAUUUCCCCGUCCACCAGUAGCAACAUCAACAUGCAUGUCAACCACUGCACCCCGCAAUAGAAUAAUCGGGAAGGGAGGGGGUUUCCAAAGAGGUGGCCAAUGAUGGUGCUAGUUUAAAGGCCACAGCUAGAUAGAUGCUUUGGACAGAAUAUAUAUAAUUCCCCAAAAGUCUCAAGUUUCAGGGAAGAAAGAUGCAAGUACACUUGCUUAGGCGUGUAAUGGCUGGCCUUUUCCCUAAACAAAGCGAUAAGGUGGGGAGUAGGGUCGUCAGUGGACUCGUUGCAUGAUGAUAGCAACUCCACACAAAACAGUUAAACAGAAGAUGUGGAGAGCUAGCCCCCAUCCGUCUUUUGGCUUUUCAGUUCCGUUUUGAACCAUCACGCAUCAAGAAAUCCAAUAACCGACCAUCUAUCAAUUUAAGCUUUAUAGUGCGCGUCAACGUUAGCUUUUUCUCUUUAGUAACGCCCAUGAUUUCCCGCGUUGCUUUUGCUCACUGUUGAGUUUUUUGCAGACAGAGCAACGAACUACCCACCAAGAGAUUCCUUGCAACUUCACAAAAGAAAAAAAAAUCUUCCUUUUCAUCAGUAUCUGGGAGGGGGGAAAGAACUUUGCUACGUAUUGAACCGGUGGAAAAAAAAAGGUUACAGUUCUCUGUGGUAAACUGGCAGUACUUAGUACUAGUAGUAACCAAGUUUGUUAGCGCUAGGCAGUAGGCCUAGGAGGAGCCCAGAUUUUCGUUGCCUUCACCUCAUCACGCUGAUGCGAGGCGCACGGCUUGACACCGAUCGCACCAUGACUCGGGUGGUGCAUGCAGUCCAAACCUGUCGUAGGCUAUAGCGGCUGCCAUUAGAUAUGCACUAGAUAUACGCGAAAAGGAAAUAGUAGAAUAGCUAGCCCCAAAGGGAACCUCAUCCCUUCGAUGGUUGAGCGAGCAACCGUUGCAUGUGGAGUAUAUUUAAAAGUUCACGAUUAGUGCUAGUGGUUCCUCAUUAGUAGACCGGCAUGAUGAUCGAUGAGUAAGCACGGCAGCCUAACAUACCGGAUUAGGAGGGCGCAUCAGGGGGACAAGGUCUCGAUGAGCUGAGCUCGACUGCAAGAUCAGUCUCCAAUAAUUUAGGAGGUGCUGGUCCGUGGUCCGGGCGGUUGGCACUGGUGAAGGGAGUAAUUUAGGCGAGCCGAUAAGGAAGAUUCGGUCCCCAAGGCCGUGCCAUUGGUGCCCCGUCGUCCGGCGAUGCGACGAGCUAAAACGACCUCUUCUCUGAGUGAUUACCCCAUGGGGAAGUAGAGUAGCAGCCCCGUAGGCAGGCAGAUGGCAGUCUGGCAGAUCUGGGUGAGUGGGCAUCGAGAUUCCUUGGUUGUGGGAAACAACCCCUGGGGAAACGUUUUCUCGAUCGGGGUGUGGGGGAGGCAGCAAAAAGGAAAGGUUCCCGCAGCCAGCAACCUGGCCGUGGCCGGCGCCACUUGUGCUUUCGCUCUCCGUACCCGCAGCUGUGCCUCCCAUCGCAGAGCGUCAUCUGCCCAGUAGCAUAUGGUCAACUGGUCCCUCCAGCCUUGGCCUCAGCAGAUGACGAGUGCCCGUUUACCUCUUGAGCUCCUGGCGGAACUUUGCAGUCCGAAUGACUCUUGGGGUUGCCUGACCUUUUUCGCACACCAAUAAACAUUUUUUCUUCUAGAGCACCUGAUUUCAUCGGCUUAACUCAAAAGCAGAGUUGAGCACACGCGUCCGCGUCACAUACAGAUCACGGGCGCCUAAGAAUUAAUUUAACGACAAAAAGGGGAUAAGGCUGUUGCCGUUCCGUCCACAGAAGCCGCACUCACUCCCCCAUUACCAUUACUACUGCUGAUUUUUCUCCUGCACGCUCUCGCUCACGCUAUUAUUGCACGUGUCAUGUUGCUAGUAAGCCGACGAACGAGAAGCUCAUCAAAAAGUCAGACGAGAGAGAGGCGAGGAGUAGUAGCAUCCAAGCCGGCCGGCCAUAGGAAGAGGAGAAGAUGAGCGGGUGCCUUUGCCUCCCUAAAAAGAAGGAGGGGGUCUCCGCAGCGAAGCAGUCCAUAAAUUCCCCCGCCUCGUCACUCCUCCAGAACCAGAAGCCCACCCAACCUCCACCUCCUCCUUCCAAGAAGGUCCGUUCCCCUCCUCCCUUCUCCGUCCUUCCUCCUGCAGUAAUCCCCAUCCAUCCGUCACUCUUCUUUUUCCUCUCUUGCCCCCAUCGCUCAGUAGCACAGCGGCUGCGGCUGCAGCUGCCCUUUUCUUCACCCCCUUUGUGCUGCUGCAAAGCAGAUCCCUGCAUGGCUGCAUCCCUAUCCCCAUUUUAGAUCACCUUUGCGCAUGCUCCCUUGUGGUCUGUGCGCAAGGAGGCCAGAAAAUUGCUUCUUGUCCCUGUCCCUCUCCCUCUCUCUCUCGAACUGCAUCACGAGCAUACAGGGUAGUGCCUUAGUGGGGAUGGCUAACUGACGAUUUGUCGCUGAUCUUUGAUUGCAGGGCAUGGACGCCGUCGAGCGCUUGAAGAGCGGGUUUGACAAGUUCAAGACCGAUGUCUAUGAGUAAGUCACCAUCAACUGCCCCGCGUUCGAUUUCAGUUUCAUGGCGCUUGAUUUGCUUCGAGAAUUUUGGGACCUCCCACUGACGACCCUGCUUUGCCCCCCGUGGAAUUUCCUCCUCGCAGCAAGAAGCCGGAGCUGUUCGAGCCGCUCAAGGAGGGCCAGGCACCCAGGGUAUGUGCUUCCUUCUCCGCCCUAUCUCAUCACCCUUGUAGACUGCUAAGAUUUUUGUCUGGAGCGGCUCCGGCCGGCUGGAAUCCUCGUCAGAAAUCAUGGAAAGCUUAAUUUAGCCAAACCGCGUUCAGUAACUUGGGUUCCCGUGGGGUCCGGGCAACGCCUGGCUGGCUGGCCCACAGAUUUGGUGGUACCUAGUACGUCCUGGUUGCCCAGGCGUCCAGUUAGAAGCAAGCUCUGAACAGUGUCGCUGGUACUUGCUCACCAUCAGGAUCCCUGCAUUACAUUCUCGUUUGCAUCUCCCAGGCAACCCUGCUGCCAUCCGUUACUGUUUCAUUUGCCGAGGUCAGAGUCGUGGUAGACAAGCGGAAACGGCUUGUCCUAAUUGCAUGACUUAACACUGACGGGGACAGCUUGUCUCCAUUAGCGGCCAGUGGCCCGUGAUCAGGUUGGAGAAACUGAAACUGUUCUUGUUGGACGAGCCUGCUCCACGGGGCACAGCCUUUUCAACUGUGCAGAGAGAGAUUGUAGUGGAUAGCAACCACCCAGGCACUAAAACAUGCGCGCGGCGAGUGCAUCCCCAUGUGCAGGCCAUGUUGGUGAUUUGGGCGUUGGCCUUGUAAAUUAUUGAGAGAGAUGUCGCCGUCCCUGUAUAGGCUCACUUUCUGGACUGGUGGUGGGUGAUGAUGGAUAUAGUAUAGUCUUAUUUCCUUCUCGUUCCUAGUAUAAACCUGGUGCCAGAAUCUCGCAAGUACAGAGUUUUAUUGUUUUCUUUAUGGGGGUUCUUGGCUGGCAUCGAUCCCAUGCGCCUAAUUACUCCAUGCAUGCUGUAGUUAGCUGGUUCCAGGCCCAAGUAGUCUAGUAAUUUUAUUUGCCAAAAAAAGUGGUUGGCGUCUUACUCGGUCUGUGGGAAACUAAGAACUAGCAACUAGCCGUGUUGAAUUCAAAGUUCAGACUAGUUGAAUUUUGUCAAGGUCUCCUGCAUCGUUUUUUUUUUUGGGGUGGGGUGGAGUAUAGUGCUCUAGUCCAUCAUUACACUAUAUGGUGGUGGUGAGUAGGCAUUUCAGAUGUCUCAUCGUUUUGAAAGUUCUUUUUGACGCUGCACAAAUCAUACACUAAAAAGUGACGUGAGCUCCAAGUUUCCAUGGCUAUGAAUAGAAUGGAAAAUGCAAGGUGAGCCAUGCCCACAUAGAUAGGUGAUAGGUCCAGGAUCCCAUCAUUCCAUGGCUAAACGUGUGGUCCAGCCAUGAUUGAGCACAGGCCCUACCUGGCAGCUAGCAACCUGUCCUGUGGCUGUGGCGCACUGGUUCCUCACCUCAUAGAAUUCGCUCUUCAUCAGCAUGUAGAAGAGUAGUUGGUUUGAGCGUGUCCUCUAUUCCCAGCCAUUGCGAAAAGUUAGGGGCAUAAACAUUGGCCAGUGCAUGUUGCUUUAGCCUUCAGAACAUUUGUGUAUUCGCAUCCAUAUCUCACUGGCCAUGCUGAUCCUUGAAAUAUAUGCUAUACUAGACACGUCUCAAAGUGUAUAAAGAGCAGAAGAUGAUUGCAUCACGUCAUGCCCCUUGCCCCCUUUCCAAACCCUGGCCUCCCAAGUGUGAGCUAAUCCAAAUAGGAACGAGGUUCCUUUUCCUAAUCAUCCAUGGACAUGGUGUCCGUCCAUCCAUUGUGGCUGCUCUUGUCACCAAGCUCAAUCUGCAGUGUGGAUUUGGCAGUUUUGAUCCGGCCUUUUGCAUGCAAAUUGUUCUCGGUUCAUGCAUGCAGGCUCGCCUUUUGCGUGUCAACUUGCCCGGAAAUAUUCUUGCUUUACGCUUGCGGCUUCCUCGCCGGGAAUGGGAUCACGUUUUGUUUCUGGCCCGUUGAUCGCCCCGGGAGCCACAUGAAAGUCGGCGUAGAAUAUCCUCGUUUCGAGUAGUAGCAGGGAACCUUCCUGCUUGGCUUUUGUCCAUCCUGCCCCCCUGGUAAAAAGUGGCUCGGAACAGAGACAACCAGGAAAUUUUUCAAAAACAGAGACAGCCAGGUCAAAAGCGGUAGCCUUUUUCGAGCGCAGUGGUACCAGCAUGCAAAUCCAGCAGAGCCACCAGAAUCGUGUACUCCACCGAUCAGCGCCGAUCUGCCUACCUGCUUAUCGAUAAGAGCCGUGGGGGGCGUGAGAUGUCCAUUAGCGAUAAGGCUGAUUAAGCGUGCUCUUUUCGUUAACCUGAUGCUUGAUUUUUCUUCUCUUUUGUUAAUGAUGCUGAUUUCCCCCUUUUGUCAACGCUAUGCUGCAGUACAUGGUGUUUGCCUGCUCCGACUCCCGUUGCUGCCCGUCGGUGACCCUGGGCCUGCAGCCCGGCGAGGCCUUCACCGUCCGCAACAUCGCCGCCAUGGUCCCACCUUACGACAAGGUAAACACUGUCUGACUGACUGACGCAUGGACAUCUGUGUUUUUUCUUUGUUUGGCCGGCCAUGACCACUGGUGUGUCUUUGCCUGUCGACUGCUGCGUGCGCAGACCAAGUACACCGGCAUUGGGUCCGCCAUCGAGUACGCCGUCUGCGCCCUCAAGGUGGAGGUCCUCACCGUCAUCGGCCACAGCCGCUGCGGUGGCAUCAAGGCGCUCCUCUCCAUGAAGGACGGCGCACCUGACAACUUGUAAGUAACGGUGGAAUUAAGUUACAGCUUUGGAUCGAGGAACCUAUCCUGCAGCUUGGUGUUUCUGACUCGAGUACUAUCUCUUUAAUCAGCCACUUCGUCGAGGACUGGGUCAGGAUCGGCUUCCUCGCCAAGAAGAAGGUGCUGACCAACCAUGCCUCGGUUCCGUUCGAUGACCAGUGCACCCUCUUGGAGAAGGUAUGUUUGAGCUACUCAAUUACCAUGGCGAUCUUACUUUCCCAUACAGUAGCAGUGUUUGCAGUGCCAAUUGCAUCUACACGUGUGUACUGCCUAGUCUGCAUGAAUAUCGAAUUGGUUUGCUCAUGAAAGGAUCCUGCAUUUCUGAAUAUUUUUGCAGGAGGCCGUCAACGUGUCCCUCUACAACCUCCUGACCUACCCCUGGGUGAAGGAAGGUGUGGCCAACGGGACACUCAAGCUGGUCGGCGGCCACUACGACUUCGUCAACGGGGUGUUCUCCGUGUGGGAGAAAUAAGCCACCCGGUUUAUUCAUCAUACAUACAUACCGAAAUAAUGCAUCCAAUCGAUGUGAAUGCAUGAGUACUUACUACCUAUUUUCGGCCGCUACAUAUAUAUCAGAUCGGCCGAUGUGAAUGUAAUAAGAUAUAGCAUUUUCUACCGCUUUACGACUUCUAUGUACUAUAUGAUGCGUAAUUUGGCCGCCUUGUGGUCAAAAGACAUCAGCUAUGUAUAAGCCGUUUUACUACCAUGGCUAUGUAUAAUUUCAUAAUAUUUUCGUCAAGAGUUUACCUUUUACUACCCCUUCAUGUUGGCUUAUUUGUCUGUCCCCUUCCUGGUUGCUGAUGCAGUAUUUUUAUGUGAUAACAAGAAUAAUUUUGUAUGCA
This 91073-nucleotide long non-coding RNA is filed under the name Setaria italica (foxtail millet). RNAcentral's name for it is "long non-coding RNA (SITA_LNC003851)". The stretch from base 10177 to 10376 matches the Rfam family "MIR1435 microRNA precursor family". Lineage: Eukaryota; Viridiplantae; Streptophyta; Magnoliopsida; Poales; Poaceae. The record is from RNAcentral.